RNAcentral lists this long non-coding RNA (101377 nucleotides) under Triticum aestivum (bread wheat). RNAcentral's name for it is "long non-coding RNA (TAES_LNC015196)". Lineage: Eukaryota; Viridiplantae; Streptophyta; Magnoliopsida; Poales; Poaceae. The record is from RNAcentral.
UGAAAGCUGUCAAGAAAAUACAAUUAGUAGAAAAGUUAGAAGGAUUUUGAGCUCUAAACUCCAGUUAUCAAUACACUUGACUGUCUACAGAUCUUCAAACGGUUAGUUUAUGAAUCAUCAGAUUUACCUAUAAGGGAGCAAUUGUCUGUAAGAUGUGACUUGCUUGCAUGUAUUUCAUAGAUAAAUAUGUAAAUAAAAGUUGACUCGCCUACAUACCUAGAUAUUUACAUUCACAUACAGAGACAAUAUAUCUUCAAUUUCACAUAUAGGACAAGAAUGUAUAGUCACAAACUCACAAUUCCAUGGCAGCAAAAAUCUUAAACAAUCCGUGAACUCCAUAAAACAAUGAUAUUAGAGAUCUCUUGAUUUGUUGAUAUAUUGACAUAUAGAGGAAGGAGAUGUAGUCGAUAGGAGAGGAGAAGCAACCAUCAAUUGUGCUAAUGUCACCUCUCCAUAGUACCAUAUGUCCAAAGGCACUCGGGUAAAAAUUAAAACACAAAAGUGACAAAUGGCACUGGGAGUUUGGAGCCCAUCCAUCUGAUUUAGAUGGUCUAGGAAAGAACAACGAUUUUGCCCUCUUGUGGAUUUAAAAUACAAUUAUAAAAGUUCAGUUAACUGGUGAAUAGGUGCUUUAAGCUCAUCCAACUUCCUUAGUUUUGAAUAUGAACAAAUCCCUCUCAUAACAUAAUUUAAUACAUCAUAUUUAUGCAGACAUUGCCAAUUCAAUUAUCUGGCACACAAUAGUUAAAAAAUAGGAACUGCUAGUACAACAUACAUAUACGUAGUAUAUCACAAAGCAUGGCUAGAGUUCUUUGGUUAUUAAAAUGCUCCCUCUUGUGAGUAUAAUAGCAGUUUAGGAUAAAAUCCUGGACCUCUAGAGUUCUUUUGUUGACAGCAGUUUUUGUAGAAAAUAGAAGCUUCAGCUAGCACCAAGUCAUAAACUUACAGUAGAUAACUCCAAGAAGUAGGUUAUCAGUCCCUUGUGGAUUCUUUUCAUAAACAAUGUUACCAUGCUUUGAAGCCUCUCUGUACUUCUUGUGGGCAAAUGCGAAGUGCCUCUCUUCAUCACCAGCUACAGCCGCUCCUUCAGCUGCAGCCAUGGAAAUUGUAGCCCAAACAAACACACCCUAAGUAAUAGUAAGAAAUUGGUUAGGAAUAAUAUGCAACGCAUAUAUAAAUAACCAAGAGAUAUGGAAAUUCACAUGUAGAUUUUAUUUGAUAAUAGUUCUUUAUCUAAGAAGAUACAGAAUUCCAUGUAACCAUAUUUCCUACCACCACAUAACAUAUUAUGGUGCCAUUUCAUUAAAAAUCAUCGAGAUUAUUAAGAAAUGGAUGGAAAAGAUGAACCAUAAAAUAAAGUAGCAUCUCUAUACGAGCAUUAAACAAAUCACCAUGCUGACCUAAUAAGCACAUACAUGUAGCAUUAGCACUGAAUAGAACAUCUGAACAUGAAUAAACAAUGUCAUACAAUAUUAAUGCAAGGAUGCCAUGGACAGAUAAAAAUGGAAAUAGGGCCUAUAUAAAACCCUCUUUGAAAUUCUAACUGGUGAACAGUUUGCGGAUGCUUACAAAUUCAUUCAAUGAGUUAUGGCCGAAAGCAGUAAAUUUAAACUAUUUUUGUUCUGGCGGGGGAUCAUAAUACACACACAAAAAAACACUACUUGUAGAUAUACAUAUUGGAUAUAGACAUCAUCGAGGCUCCAAAUUAAAUAUACCUCUAUAAUAAGAAAAUUAAGAAAAAUCUAAUUUCAUAGUUUCCAUCUUGUCAGCAUCAAGGGUCGGUGUGAAGCAAUGAUUUUAGGUAACGGUAUGGUUCAAACAUUUACUAUGUCAAUGCGUGUGUGCUAUCUCCCAUAUUUCUACCUUCCAGUAACCACGAAAGAUUAUUAUUCCAAAACUACCUAAGUGAACAUCAUUGUAUGCAUAUAUCGAGAAACAAAGAUAAAUUCCCAUAACUGUUGGCUUGUUCACACAGGAUAAAUACUUUUUUUGGUACUUUACCUUGGCGAGCAUCAAGGGCAUUCAGGGAUCAGCAUCAUUCUUAAAUAUGCCUCCGUCACAGUAACCAUGACAGGCACCUGCUGGCAAAAUAUGAACAAUUCAAAUUUAUCUGCAUUCACAUGGUUCCGCUGUUCAAGAUUUAAAUACGCAAAUUUGACAAAGCAUGUUGGAGAGCAGGAAACAACUACAGGUUUCUGAGGUCACAAAAAAUCACUCCUUAAAUAGCAUAUAGGCUUCAGGCCAGAUCUGUUUUCUUUACAAAAUCGUCUUGUUGUGUUCAUGCAAUAGUAUGCAUCUAACCCUAGGCAUUUAAGUAACCAAAUUACUGUGAAUAAUGUUUGGACCCAUAUUUAUCAAUUCUGAUACAGCCGAAUCGAAGCCACUGAAUCAAGCGGAUGCUAUGAGCUGCAAAGCUAAAGAGAAUAUGUUACGACCAUUUGUUUAUCAUCACAGAAGCAAGUAUUUAACCAGCUAAUAAUACAUCAUAAUAUGUGAAUGAGCAGUAGUGAAUUGGCUAGGCUGCUGCACAUUGCAAGCAAAGUCUGCAGAAGAAUCAGACCUUACAAAAGGUUGGGAUGUUGGGUUCGCCACCUGAAUACUACAUCAUCUAUCUGCACCUCCUCUUGUGGUAUCUAACUGCAGAAAUUUCACCUCGGUCUUCUUCCACUCUUAGCUAAACUUAUUCUUCCUCUCUUCUAUGUCAGACACAUCAAGUUUAAAAAUCCAUAUAUUAGCAAAGUAAAAUAUGAGUGAGGAAGGAAGCAAGAGAGGGAGAGAGGGAAGAGUGGAGCACCUAGUUGGCCGUCUCAUCCUUGUUUUGGGUCAUUCCUAGAGCUCCCCUCGAUUGAACUGUUCCCGGAGCUCCUAAGCUAGACUCGGCGUCAAGUUUGUGCCAAGGGCCAACGUCCCAGCCACCGCCCCAUACACCAGCUGAGUGAGUCGGGAUUAUAGUGAUGCUUCUGAAACACCAAAGUCCUUAUUACAUAUGCAUCUUGCUGCAAUAAAAUCUAGAUGACAUAAAUUUUCACAAAACGUAGAUGGUAACUGGCUACAGUUGACACCAUUGAUCAGAUGUAAUUUCGGUACCAUGGUCAAAACUGAUAAAACAGAAAGGGUAGAACAACCACCUGCAAAAUUAUAAAGGAAAAGAAAGACAGGAACAGAGUCAGUCAUGAACAAAGCAACAAGGUAUCAAUAGACCAGCAUGAAAGAGACUUUCACCGAAGAAGAAACAACUCAUACACAUAUUUUUCUUCCCACAAUCCUUGCAAAUCGGAGGAACACAAACAAAAGAGGAAGAUAUCGGGAGAGGAGAAUGAUGAGCAAGAGGGGAUCUGGAGAUAGGAGGAUAAACCAACCACAACCACGGCGCCUCGCUGCACCAUCCCAGCAGGCCGGCGUCGCUGCUCCCCCACCGCUGGCCUCCUGGGCCUCCCCUGCUCCACCCCAGCGAAAAGACCCCGCCUCCCCAACCAUUGGUCGUGGGUGGAGAAGGGGCUAUGGGGUGAGCCGCUGCUCAGCGUCGGACAGAGACGAUGGAGGUGGAAUAUGGGGACGGCUGCUGACGAGAGAGGAUGGAGGAGAAGGGGAGGGGUGCUGCGCUAUGAAUCCAUGGGAAAGAAAGCUAGGGUCCGUGGAACGUCCGCCCGUAUGAAACAAUCCCCACGCUGGGAGGCGGAGCAGCACAGGAGGGUUUCCUCCUCUUGGUCAGCCACCAUGGCUGCUGUGGGUCGGCACGGGGCUGGAGAAGGAGCUGGGCGAAGAUGCGGUAGGCAACGGGAGGUGGCGAGGUGCGGGAGGCCAUGGGCGAGUGGGCAGGAGGGGCCCUUUUUACCGCUGUUUUUUUUUCUUUUUUUGAGAAACUACCGCUGGUAGUCUAGGGUUGUUCACCCCGAGCGAUAUUGGCCACGGACUGGGGGAGGGUUGCUUAACCCUUCGCUGCCUCGUGGGCCAAGGAUCAUAUGGGUCCAGUAGCGGUCACAUAGAAAAAAAAGUUAAACUUUACAUCAAACAGUAAAAUCCAAUGGUGAAAAAUCAUUGAGCCUGUCAAUCGGAUGGCCAACAUGUGUGCGGACGAGAGAGGCCUCAGAUAGGCGGGUUGCCCAGCGUGAUUUAUAUGUGCGAUAACAUGGAGGUUAUCGAAACCAUGAACAAUGGAGGACGGUCAUCUAGUACAGCGAUGGCAGUGUUUGACGAUUGUUAUUUUUUAGCAUGUGACUUCCUGUUACUAAAUUUGAGCAUUAUAAUAGAAGAAGCAAAUAGGGUCGCACAUGCGCUUGCUAAGUUAGUUAGAUUUUCUUCAUCUUUGAACUGGUUUGAGGAGCCCUUGAGUGAAAUUGUAUCCCUCCUCAUAAACCAUGUACUUGCUAUCCCAAAUGAAUAAAGUUUCUAUGUUUCUUUUCAAAAUAAAAAAGGUUCAGCCGACAGUGCACGUGCACCCAACAGCGGAGCCAUUCCCUUGUGCAUCUUUCUUUAUUCCUACAGCUUCCUACUCUUUAGUCUUUACUACUACUUCCAAGACAGUCGGCAGUCCACGUGCACCCAACGGCGGAGCCAGAAACGAUGUGUGUGUGUGUGUGUGUAUGUCACUUUUCACCAUAGUUUCCAGCAGGAUCUUCUGCAAGCAACGCAUAUACUUCUGUUUGCCAACAUGAUGUGCGAAAGAAGAAUGUACAAGAAGCCACAUAACUCUUUACAUAUAUAAUCCUAUUAGGUCUUCAAAAAUAUUCUGCAUGUUGGGGGGAGCCGUGGCCCCUGCUGGUCCCCCCUGGAUCCGCCGUUGAGUGCACCAUUAUCUCUUACCAAGUUCUACAUGGUAAUGCUUUUGGGCAAUUCUAGCUUCCUGAAAUGCUAUUUUUGCGGCGAGUGAUGCUCUCAUUCAGCUAUAUAAUCAUUUUGUAGCUAUAACCUCCUCCAUUUUGCUUAUUUCAUGGUAGUAGUUUCACCUCGGUGUUCAGAUAAAGAUGUUAGAAUGGAUUUUCUAUAUGCAUAAUUCCACAGCUGGGUGGCACCAAUGAAUAACAGUAUUGACAUACGAGUAUGAGGCAUAAUUCCACAGAUGGGUGGCACCAAUGAAUCACAAGAUUGACAUACAUAUGAACUACAAUUCACAAUACUGUGCUAAAUUCUUGUCAUCAUGAUGAAAGCACAUUAUGGAAAUAUCAUGAAAUAGAAAUAUUAUCAUAUAAAGUCAAGGAAUGGAAUAGAGUCAGCGAAUGUAGCAUAUUCAUUAACAAUUCCAUUUACAGAUAAAAAAUGAAUAAAAAGGAAGAUUACUUCAUAAUCAGUGAUUCCGAAGCAGCAGCAUAUUGAUUCAUAUUGUCCUAAAGCCAGUGCUUACACUGCCAAUGAAGUUUGGCCAAAGAAACCGCAGAAUAUUCAGAGCCCUAGCAGUGCAAGGUUUUCAUCACACCCACUGAAACUGUUAGAACUAUUAGAACAAACCAUAUGUACUUUGACAGCCGCACUGGAACUGAACAAUCUGAAGUACAUCCUGUAUUCUCGGCAAAUGGCAUUACACAUGCAUGUGGUGACUCCACCACAUGGGAUCCAGGCAUUGCGUCAUAUCGGAGAUGGUACGAGUGCAAAAACUGGGAAAGUGCUACAGUAUGUUAGGUACCACUAAUCAACAAGAUUUUGAAGUCUUGGGAUCAGCACGUCUCUGGUGGUGCUAUACUUUUUUUUGAGGACGAAUGGCAGGUGCUCUGCCUUUGCAUUACAGAUAGAGAAUGUACAAGGGAGUUGCCAUUAGGCACAGUACAAAAAAUUAGCCCUGGCCAUCAGUCUAGUUCAGGUGGCGGUCUAAGUAAGGCUACCCUUAAAUGGUUGAGGUCAGAGAUAAUCAAGGAGGCAACAUCGUCAGUGGUUCAAGCAACAUGGUUGAAGAUACAUUCCAAAUGUUCCAGGCGAGGUACAUGGCUUGCUGGGCGUCUUGCUUGUGGGCAGAGGUGUGGCGAGCCCACCAGUCUUGAACAGUUGGGACCUGAAUGUUGUUGUAGCUGGUAGCAGCAUCUUGGUUGGGGUGCAGUCUACAGUGCAGCUUGAAUUGCACUUCGGCAGUAAACGGACAGUGGCAGAACAGGUGAGCCGCGGUUUCAAGUGUCUGAUCAUAGAGAACAUGUGUCUUCGUGGUCGCAGCCUCUUGCUUGUAAUCUGUCAGCAGUGGGAAGCCUAUUUUGUGCCAGCAGCCAAAUGAAAAAUCUCACUUUUUCUUCAGCCUUGAUGUGCCAGAUUUUUUCCAGGGAAGACUGGUCAAUGGAGCCAAGAAACUACAAACUGUAGGCCAAGGAAGCAGAGUAAUGAUUGGUCGAGGAUGCCUUCCAACCAUGCUGGUUGAGCUGUACUGAAAUAAUUUUCAGCCUACUGAGACAUGCCGGUUUCCCACUCACUUAACUGUGGAUAGGGAAAUUCUACAUCAUAUCCCGUGGCAUCCGGAGGAGAUUCCGUUGGUGGCGCUAGCGGUGGAUCACCAACUUUAUCAGCAAAAACACCGUCGCGAUACACAUCCCGGGAUAGUAUCCGGAUCUCCCUGAAGAUCUCCUCUGCUGACUUUACCUGACCAUCCAUAACAUUUUCAAUUGUGUACUCCUCGUUUUCUGAAAUAUACUUGUCAACCGCUUUCAUCGCCUGUUUGGAGUAGUAACCAUAAUUCUCUACCCAAAACGAGGGGGUAUGAGUUCUUAUUGGCCGAGCCGCACCAGCUGCAGCAGCACCGGCUGCAGCAACACCGGCUGCAGCCGGUGGCUUCAGCAGCACCGGCUGCAGCCUCAGGUUCAACAUCCAAAGUGGUUCACGUAUCAUCAGUCAUGGACUUGCAAACUACUUCAAAAACUGACUGGAGGCGGGCUGAUUCUGACAAGUGAAUGCUGACAAUCUUGAUAGCUUGUCUAAGAAGGUCUGUGUGCCUUCCAUCUGACUUGCGUAUCACAUGAAAUGCGUGACGGAGUGCAUCAACGCCAAUCCACGUGUCCUUGACGUCGUCUCCACCAAGACCGCCAUAGGUAUAACUGCUUGUGAACGAAAGAGUUUGAUGGUCUUCAUUUGUUAUGUAUAACCACCCUGUGACAUCUGGUGCCAUGACAAAUGUUCCCAACUCAUUUCUCCAAGCUCUGGAAUACAUGUCUCUUGCUGAAAAAGACAUGCGCAAUGACGCUUUGCAAUGCUGAAUUAUCACAUGGAAUGCCCCAGCUCCUCCUGCUGUGUACACCUUGCAGCCAGGUCCAUAACGCUUGGAGAGAUCAACUCGCUUGCCAUAAUCAUAAGAAUUCUGGCGCAUUUGCGCUAUUACACUUUUGAAGCUUAAUAAGACUUCUUCAAAACCAUCAUCCAAACACAGAAUGGCUAUGUUCCUUGCCUUCAAAUCUUCAAUUUGAUUCAUUGCCUUCCUCUGCAAAAAUGAUCAAAAAGAUAAUUUCACAAUUUGCAUUUGAUAGUGAAAAAAAAGGAAUACAUGCAUUAACGUCGUUAACUAAUGAUCCUUGCUUAGUGUGCCUAGGCUGUAAAGAAGCCACUGGGGUGAUUCCAUAUCUUUCCUUAUCGGUUUAAAUAAAAUGAGAAAGCCAGUGAAUUGCGGCGAACCGUAACGCAAAUCAAUGAGCAAAAAGCAUCUAGCGUGCACUAAUGUUAGUAACAAUUGUUAUCAGAGUAGCUAGAGUUGAUGAUCCUGAGCGAUGUCAGAUCCUGGCCAUAGCAACUCCCACACUCCACCUCACCAGAACCAAUGUCAGUCCCCUUCGUCGGCGCCGAAUGUCCACGUUACCAUAUGGCUUGUGGGCGGCAUCAAGUAUUUGAUCUUGACGCAGACAGACAAAGCCGAGUGGAGCCUCUUCAUGAAGGUGAUGUUGCAAGCUCACGGCUUCUAGGAGGCGAUUGAGUAUGGCAGCAUAGAAAUCAAGGAGGAUUGCAUGUGAUGGAGGCCAUCCUCCACUUAAUGCCGGAAGAAUAUAAAAUAAAUGUUUCUCCAAAUGGUAAAACAAAAUAUGAACAAAUUUCACAGGUCAAGAUAACUCUAGUACUACAGCAUUUACAAUUUUCCUUGGAAUUUUUAGAUCAUUAGAAUUAUCUAAAAAUUAGAGUACAUGUACACCCCAGCUCAAAAAAUCACUCUGUUUGAAAAUUAUUAUUUUACAAGAUUUUAAGAAUAAUAUAAAUUCUGUGAUUUCAUACCUGCUUCCUUGAUGAAAAAAAUCUAAAUAUUGCAACUGAGAUAAGACAUGGCGUGAAGAGAACAUCUUGUUCAGCAGUUUUCUCUGAUACAUUAGAAUGGAUAUCAAAGGAUCAUGAACCUGCAACAUAGAAUUAUCAUUCAGAUGAGAUACACUUAUAUUGGACUGUGGAGGUGAGUGUAGGAGUCUAGCCCAAGUUGCCCAUGUGUGCUUGUACAUAUCUAUACGUACCAAGGAUAGGAAGGAGUGAUUCCAGAAAUUAAAUACAUAUGGUGAGGUAAGUUUCUUGAUAGGAACAGCAGGCAACAUAAGAUUUUGGAGUUUGAUUGGGUACAAACUAGAUGAUACAUAUGAGUAUAGUUGCAGUAUAAUUUGAAGAUAUUAAAUUAUUUGGAACAUGAAUAUUUUAUGAAUAAUAUAAGAACUAAAACUUAAAAUACAUAUGAGUUAUUGUAUUUAAUUAAUAGGGUGAGUCUUUUCCUAUGCAUGUCAUGUGUGCAUGUUGAGAGAAAUAUGUUAGUGGGGGCUAGCUAUUUAGAUAUAAAAGAGUUCCAGCACAGCUCCCACGCCAUAGAAAGAUGAUCAAGCAUCUAAAUAUAACAAAAUGUAAGGAAUAAUGUGCCAAAUGAUAACCAAAAACAUGAUGAUCAUCAUAAAGAUUAGAAGGAAUACUUGUAACUUCAGAACGGUAAAGUGAAUGCAUUUGAUGCUCCCCUUGCUAAUAUCCGAAAGAUCCAACACCAUAUCCUAUAAGAGGAUAAACUAGACAAGUUAAAACUGGUAAACCUAACUGUGAGAAGUGACCCGUACAAAAGAGCUAAAGCACAUACAAGAUGUAAAGCAACAACACAAGAAAGGGAAAGUGGACAGGCCAACUCUUGCUGAGAAAAUCUAAUGGUCCUAGGUCCAGCUUAUUGAAUUGGAACACAUCAAGAUUGAAAAAAAAAACAAGCAUGCCUAAGAUUCAUGUAUCUUGGGGAGAACCCUUACGCAUGAGAAACAUACUGGAUGUCACAACUUACAAAUAGUUAGCAUAUCAACAAUUAACUACAAGGUUGACUACUUAUAAUGCCACAGUUUAGUUGUUCAGAACAAGGAAAUUGUGUCUAGCUAUUUCAGAAAGAACUACCUCAGUACACAUGAAGCCUCUUUCAAAAUCAGUGUGAAUUGCACCAGCAGCUUGCGGGGCUUUAGUUAGACACCUGAUCUGCCAGCACUUCACCUAAAAAGAGAAUUCAAGCAAAACUGAGACAGCAGAAAAUUUUCAGAUGUAUCCAGAAACUCCUACUUGAAACUUCAGAUAUCAACAUAUACAUCUGAACAAUCUAAUGUUCCUCCACGUUUAGGACAUAAACAGCCAACAAGAUGCAAUGCUGACAAUUCUUAUUGAUAUACAACAGCGAAGACUUAUGUUCCAAGCAAAUUGGGGUAGGGCAACCAUAAUCAUUGAUAUGUUAAAUAAUAAUACACAGAUUAUGAAAGAAAAAUGGUAUUAUUUUCAUUUUUCAGAUCUUAUUAAAUUCUUUACAUAUUGAUUAUGAAAGUUAGAGAUGUUUGAAUUGCACCCAGAGGGCAGUAACCGAUAAAGAGCAAUACUGAUGUACAAAGAACAAGCACAUGAAUUUUGCACAGCAAAAUUGUAACAGGUUGCUGCUAUGACAUGAAUCAAUACGGUUUUAGCAGUUUAAUAAUCACUACAUACUCAAUCAUGACGCCAUAGAUUUUGUUUUAACUUACAAAUUACAGCUAUGGCAGAAUAUAGAUGUAAGACUAAUUCUCAUAACUAUUUUCAAAGGUGUAUAGAAAUUUCACAUAGAAAAAUCACAGUAGAAUGCCAAUUUAAGAACAAUAUGCUCAUGCAUAUAAUAAGAACACACCCAUAAUAGAUCAACGAAUAACAAAAAUGUAAGCAAGUUGAUCAAAUAACCUUUUGUGCCAGUAUAAUUCCACAGAUGCUGUCAAAAUUGGGAGGCCCUAGGUCCAACUUAUUGAAUUGCUUCUCACAACAAAGUUCAACAUUCAUAAUUGUAGCAUCAGCAAGGUUACCAAUGUAAUGAAAUCCAUGUGAGUUGCCUCCAAACUUCUCAGGUAGAAACCUGAAACAAGCAUGAGAGGUCGAUCAAUUUUAGGACUGUGAGUAGGUAAUCGGUAAAUCCCAAUGAUUAAUUUAAAACCACUACUAAUCUACCUUGAAGGUGAGCAAAGAGUAGAAACACUAAAUGAUCUACACUUCAGAUUAUUCUUGGGGCUCUUGCUAUCAGAUGCGGAAACAAAAGAAUCCUCAAGUAGCACCUUCACUCCAUCAAACGCAUGACCAAAGAGAUCCUCAAAUAGCACCUUCCGAGAGAGAAAAUUGUUAAAAUUCGAGAUGGGGUCUUAAUUGUGUCUUAUAAAACAAUAAAUAGAGCAAGUUGUAGCAGCAUCACCUCAUCCUCUUCGGAUCGCGUAUCAUCGUCGGGCAGUUGUACGGCGCCCUGUCCCCGCCACCUCCUCCUAGAUUCACGGCCACCUCCGCGCUCCUCCAUGGCAUGGUCUCCUCGUACUGGAUCUGGUCCCUCCUAGCCAGCGUGAUCGAAGCGGCGUACCGUCGCAACCAAGUAGGACCCUUGUAGCCGCACCUCGCCGCGACCGCCGCCUCCACCAGCCGGAUCUCCCUCGGACUAUUCGCCGGCACGGGCGCCCCCGCGCGGCUCACCAGCUUGGAAUUUACCUUGAGAGUCGACAGGUCCGCCAUGAACCCCGAGCCGUCGGCGACUCGUCCUACCGCUUGCUUCGUGAAGAUGCGCCCACGGGGAAGGACCGGCGCGGUGUAGGUGGCGUGGCCACAUCGCACCAGCGCGGUCCAUGCGCCGCGCCACGGCCAUGGACCCAUGUCGCCGCGCCGCCGUCUCUACUCCUCGGCAAAACCCUCUUCUUCUCGGGGGUGAGGGUGGGGGUGGGGAAUGCGAGCGGAGGGAGGAAGGUGAGGACCCGGGGCAGAGGUGACGAGAAAGAGGCGGUUCCGUUUAGGCUCUGGGGGCGAGUCAGUCUCUGGCUAGACUUGGUGCAUGGAGCAGGCCUGCCUUUCGCCGUCAGAUUUACAAUAGAGCGUCUGUGAUUGUGGAAUACUGGCUGUGCCUUGGAGGUGUCGCUGGACUAGGACCAGAAGAUUCCCGCCCGGGCGCCUACCACUUUUCUGACACCUUUGAGGAGUCUGGUUCUUAGCUUGCUAAGCGCGGUGCAUGGUCUGGGACUCCGAGAUAAGAGGCCAUGCCAUGGAGCAACAGCCAUUUUCCGUAGAAACGGCGUAGCAGUGUACAUCGUCAUUUUGCGUCCUUUGCGUAUACCGGGCAAAACGGGGUGUACCAGCCUUGGUGCCAGAAGUGUUGUUGACUCCUUGAGGCCACCCCUUGACCGGACCGUGACCCAAAGAGCCAAGUACUGCAGCACCUGUCAUUUUGAAAAAAGGCUAGGCCUAUAGGGUGUGUGCACGCAGAACCAUCUAGAGACCGAUGCAUAUCACUAUGAUAGUACCAAUAUUACCCUUUUUUAUGAACUACCUAUAUCUCUACACUUAAAAAAAUGAGUUGGUGAUAAUGGUGUGUCUGCCAUCUUGCAAUAUGGACCGUCUAAUCUAUAUCUGACGACUAGAAAGCAAAUGGUGACAAUUUUUCAAAAAGAUACCCUCACCUCUAUCCACAUUUGCAGAUAAGGCCUUCUGUCGUGGAAUUGUCACGACAGAUGUCCUAGCGGCCAUCGCAACUAGGAAGUUUAAAGGGGUUAAUCGAGACAAAGGACAUGAGAGGUUUAUACUGAUUCGGCCCCUUACGGUGAAGGUAAGGCCUAGUCCAGUUGAUGUUGUAUUGCUAAGUUUCGAUGACCAAGGAGCGAAUCCGCUUGCUUGGCUAUCGAUUUGUUGUUUUCUGUCCUAAGCCGCCGCCGGGUCGUCCCCUUAUAUACACGGGUUGACGCCUGGCGGCCUACAGAGUCCCGGCCGGCUCAUAGAACGUGUCCGGCUCGGUGACUUCUUUUACACACCUUUCUUUACAAGUCUUCCUUUACAUAUGGCGGUUUACAAUAUUGGGCCUUAAGCCGCCUCUAGGCUUAGGCCUUUCUACAAUCCUCAAUAAACUAUCAUCCUGAAUAUUUACUGGGCUUCUCUUAAUGACCCGCCAUUAGGGUUGACCCGGCCCCUCCUAGGCGGGUCAUACCUGAAAGUUAUAUUCCCAACAUUAGGCCCGAGGUUGAUUUCAACCUCGUUCUUAUCAACCUUCAACACUUAGAUGAAAUCCAUCUUCCUCUGUCUGUAAAAUCUUUGUAACCCGCCAUAAUGUCAUCUUCCGAAAAUAUGAAAGCCUGUUAUGACGUCAUCUCCAAAGGAUCUUUUAUCUUUAAAUGUCUUCCAAGAAUCGAGGCGUCCGUUUAGCUGGAUAACCAUUAUUUGGAUCUUCCUUGAUUUUUGUGCCUGCCUAUUCACUUAUCCCCUUAUAAAUAAGCAUGACCAGGUCCUUCCUCAUUCUUCCCUCUCUUCCUCUUCUUCCUCUCGCAACCUCUCUGCCUCUCGAGCUCCGCCGCCGCCGUAGCGCUCACCGUUACCCUCAACGUCAGCCGCAUUCGUAAGUUCCUCAUUUUCCGUGCACUUAGAUCUGUAUUAGGGUUGCGAGUUCAUCAGUGUUCUCCCUGUUCAUCAUGGCCCUUCUUGUAGUUUCUUCUCAGUACCCUCCUUUGAUCUAAAAAGAAGUAUAGAACUUACACGGUAGCUGUUUCUCAUCCAUUUUAGACGCUAGCAGAUCCCCUUCUCCUGUAUAAAUGCCUCUUUAGAACUGACGAACUCCUCUGCGCCCGUUUUUAGGUCUAACUUUAUUUUUCUUUUUCUGAACCAUUUUGAUCCAUAAUAAUAACCAUAGCUCGGGAAACAUGUUUGUCUCAACACUUAGCCAAUUUUGAUUUUGGCAACCUUCAAAUACUCUUUAGUCAUGGCGGCUUAUGACUCCGGCUUAAUUUUCCUUUAUAUGUCAUUAGCCCUUAUUUAAGCCGCCAUUAUUCAUCUGUAUCAUGAUCCUGCAACUUCAUUAAUAAAUUGAACUGGCAAAUUACUUUCUUUUCAGCUUCCCCUUUUUCAUCAUGCCGUCAAAAGCACCAACAGUCUGCAAUUGGGUCCCCUCCACAGUAACUGAAGACACCUUGAAAGAUUUUGUCACCAUUGGAUUUUUUCCAGAGAAAAACAUUAUGUCUUAUCGUGCUCCUAACCCGGACGAGGAACGGCCUAAUCCCAAAGAUGGUGAAGUUAUUGUCUUCACUGACCAUAUGAAUCGGGGGUUUUCACCACCCGGCUCAAAGUUCUUCAGAGAUGUUCUUCAUUUCUUCAAACUUCACCCUCAAGAUCUUGGACCCAAUUCCAUAUCCAACAUCUGCAAUUUUCAAGUUCUCUGUGAGGUGUAUCUUCAAGAGGAGUCGAUUGUGGAACUCUUCAGAGAGUACUUUUAUUUGAACCGCCAGAAUGAGUGUACCAACGGCCCUAGCUUGGAACUCGGUGGAAUCUCAAUUCAGCGUCGACAGGGCGCCGUCUUUCCCUUAAUAGUCUUACCGAGUCAUCUCAAAGAUUGGAGUCGGACCUGGUUCUAUUGCCAAGAUACGUCACCAGCCAAUGAAAAAAAUAUUGUCGGGUUAUCGCACGGAUCGUCUGGAUUCCAAGUUUGUUCUCACUGAUAAGCUUACUGCUGCUGAACACAAGAAGCUUAUUCCAUGUAUUAAAAGGAUUCAAGCUUUAUUGGGGAAUGGCUUAACCGGAGUGGAUCUGAUCCGUUGCCGGAUCUCAUGGCGGGUCAUCCCUCUAAGCCGCUGAUCCAAAUUGAUGUAUGAAUAUGCUGGAGGCCCAGACGAUUCUCUGCAUCACAGCUCUGUACAACUAACUGAAGAAGACAUUGUUGCAAUGUCAACCAUCCUUGUGAAUGGAAAAUAUGAGGACUGCAGUAAGGUUGGGUUAAACCCCUUCUGCAAACUUAACCCGGCACCAGAGGUGGAAAACCCUUGACCUCUUUCUCUUUUUGUGUUUUCCUCAGUAGUUUAAAAACUUGCAUGACCUUUUAUCAUGUUUAUUUGUUUACAGGCCAAAUCUGAUUUCUGGAAGGCCAAAUAUGAUCAUGAAGCUGCCAAGAAGGCUAAAGCUGCUGCCAUAGCCGCCAGGAAGACGACCCUGAGGUCCAAGAAGAAGCGGAACACUGCUUCGGACCUGUUAAAGCUUGAUGAUGUUUCUGAGUCGGAGGUAGCCCUUGCCUCCCUUGGGCAGUUUUUUUAAUAAUCUUAUUAACACUGACUAUUUCCAGGACGACACAGGGGCCAGCCAAGCCGUAGAAGAAGAGGUAACUAUUUCCUCCGACUCAGCCCCUUUGCUAAGACAAAAACUUCGACUGGUAACCCGGAAAGUAAGGUUUUCGCACCCUUUGGCUUAUUUGGACCCUCAUUUUCUUUUGAAAGAAUAGCAACAUGAGAGCCGUCGUCAGGUCCGGACUAAUGAUGAUGGUGAACCGCCUUCCGUUUUACAACAAACUCCUUGAAAACACCAGAAUGAGGUUUCUUUCAUCUUUGUCUUUUGCUUCCAUUAAUGGAUCUAUUCCCUUGCAUUACUAACUUUUAUUUUACCUUUGUAGGAGGUUUCUCGCUCUUUUGGCGACUCAUCUCAGACUCAAUUUCCGGCUUUCAAGACUGCCCCUGGGUAAGGAAAAUCAUCUUUCCUCUGUAUCUUUAAAACUACAUCAUUACACUAAUUGUCUAAUAAAAUCUUUCUUAGUGGUCAAGCUAAAUCCAAGAAGGCCAAGGUGAUUAAGCCGACAGAAGACCCAAAAGCUCAUGCACCUGAUUCGGCCAUGCCAACUCCUCCCUCUCAAACUGAAACAACAGAAGACCCGGCUGUUCAUACUCAAUUGGACCCUCCUGAGCUGUCAGUCGAUGAGACCACCCUUAAUCCGACCAUUACUGAACCAUUGAUACGUCUCGAACGUAUCUAUAAUUUUUGAUUGCUCCAUGCUAUAUUAUCUAUUGUUUUGGACAUUAUUGGGCUUUAUUUUCCACUUUUAUAUUAUUUUUGGGACUAACCUAUUAACCGGAGGCCCAGCCCAGAAUUACUAUUUUUUGUCUAUUUUAGGGUUUCGAAGAAAAGGAAUAUCAAACGGAGUCCAAACGGAAUGAAACCUUCGGGAACAUGAUUUUCUCAACGAACAAGACCCAGGAGACUUGGACCCUACGUCAAGACACAAAAGAGGAGGCCACGAGGUAGGGGGUGCGCCUACCCCCCAGGCGCGCCCUCCACCCUCGUGGGCCCCCUGUUGCUCCACCGACGUACUCCUUCCUCCUAUAUAUACCUACGUACCCCCAAACGAUCAGAAACGGAGCCAAAAACCUAAUUCCACCGCCGCAACUUUCUGUAUCCGCGAGAUCCCAUCUUGGGGCCUGUUCCGGAGCUCCGCCGGAGGGGGCAUCGAUCACGGAGGGCUUCUACAUCAACACCAUAGCCCCUCCGAUGAAGUGUGAGUAGUUUACCUCAGGCCUACGGGUCCAUAGUUAUUAGCUAGAUGGCUUCUUCUCUCUUUUUGGAUCUCAAUACAAUGUUCCCCCCCUCUCUUGUGGAGAACUAUUCGAUGUAUUCUUCUUUUUGCGGUGUGUUUGUUGAGACCGAUGAAUUGUGGGUUUAUGAUCAAGUCUAUCUAUGAACAAUAUUUGAAUCUUCUCUGAAUUCUUUUAUGUAUGCUUGGUUAUCUUUGUAAGUCUCUUCAAAUUAUCAGUUUGGUUUGGCCUACUAGAUUGAUCUUUCUUGCAAUGGGAGAAGUGCUUAGCUUUGGGUUCAAUCUUGCGGUGUCCUUUCCCAGUGACAGUAGGGGCAGCAAGGCACGUAUUGUAUUGUUGCCAUCGAGGAUAACAAGAUGGGGUUUUCAUCAUAUUGCAUGAGUUUAUCCCUCUACAUCAUGUCAUCUUGCUUAAGGUGUUACUCUGUUUUUAACUUAAUACUCUAGAUGCAUGGUGGAUAGCGGUCGAUGAGUGGAGUAAUAGUAGUAGAUGCAGGCAGGAGUUGGUCUACUUGUCUCGGACGUGAUGCCUAUAUACAUGAUCAUACCUAGAUAUUCUCAUAACUAUGCUCAAUUCUGUCAAUUGCUCAACAGUAAUUUGUUCACCCACCGUAGAAUACUUAUGCUCUCGAGAGAAGCCACUAGUGAAACCUAUGGCCCCCGGGUCUAUCUUUAUCAUAUUAAUCUCCUACUAAUUAGUUAUUUCCUUUGCUUUUUUACUUUGCCUUUAAUUUAUUUGCAUCUUUAUCACAAAAAUACCAAAAAUAUUAUCUUAUCAUAUCUAUCAGAUCUCACUCUCGUAAGUGGCCGUGUAGGGAUUGACAACCCCUAUUCGCGUUGGUUGCGAGGAUUUAUUUGUUUUGUGCAGGUACGAGGGACUCGCGCGUAGCCUCCUACUAGAUUGAUACCUUGGUUCUCAAAAAACUGAGGGAAAUACUUACGCUACUUUUUGCAUCAUCCCUUCCUCUUCGGGGAAAACCAGCGCAGUGCUCAAGAGGUAGCAAGAAGGAUUUCUGGCGCUGUUGCCGGAGAGGUCUACGCAAAAGUCAACAUACCAAGUACCCAUCACAUACCCUUAUCUCCCGCAUUACAUUAUUUGCCAUUUGCCUCUCGUUUUCCUCUCCUCCACUUCACCCUUGCCCUUUUAUUCGCCCUCUCUCUCUAUCCUCCACCUUUUUCUCUAUUUGCCUCUUUUUGCCCGCUUGUUUUUUGUUUGCUUGUGCAUUAGUUUGUUUGCUUGUCAUUAUGGCUAGUCCCUUAUCUUCUCCGUUGUCUCCCGAGAGUGAAAUUCUAAAUUUUAAGCAAAGGGAGGGAGAAAAUCUAAAAUAUGCUUGGUAUAGAAUUUGCAAUGCUCAAAAUAGAUCUACCAGGAAGCAAUCUACUUCCGUUCUUCUUCGCAAUUUUUAUGUAGGCAUAACUCCCUGGCACAGAUAUAUCCUUGAUACUAUUACCGGAGGGAACUUCUUGGGUAGCCAUACUUUUGAUUCUUAUAAUUCUAUGAUAGAUUUGUUUGGCUCACCCCCUCUUUUGGUUAAUGGAACUGUAUUAACUUUGGAGCAUGUAAUGCAAAGGCUCGAAAUUAUUGAAAAUAAGGUUGCUACCAUAGAGUUAAUUGAAAAUUUGGAUAAAAAGAUUCACAACUGAAUCUCUCAAUAUGGAUCUAAAGUAGGAGUCACUUUGAAAAAUAUUGAAGAGAAAGAACCCAUAGUUAAUGAGAAAAUAAAUCAUGAUUCCACUAGAAUUGACAAACUUGAGGAUAUUAUUACCAACUUGGGAACCGCUUUUUCUUCCGUAAAGAACACUCCAAGUCCUCCCGCUAAAAUUGCCAAGCUUAUGUAUGUCCUAAGAAUAAGGGUGAAUCCUCUAGUAAGGAAAACUGCGGAUCUCAAAUCUAUAAGUGUUCAUCCCAAUCUUUUUGCUAUCAUUAAGGAACAAUUUGUUACAAAUGAUUUUUUCGAUCUUGUGCCUAAAAAUUUGAUAAUAAAUAAAAAUAAAGAAAUUCCUAAUGAUGGUAGAUGCCUAAUGAAGAAUUGCCUACCAAAGAUGGCAAUACCUAGAUCUAUCCUUGCUUGUUAUGCCUAGCUAGGGGCAUUAAGCGAUAGCGCUUGUUGGGAGGCAACCCAAUUUUAUUUUUAUUCCUUGAUUUGUGCUCCUGUUUAGUAAUAAAUAAUUUAUCUAGCCUCUGUUUUGGUUAUAUUUUUGUGUUUAAUUAGUGUUUGUGCCAAGUAGAACCGUUGGGAAGACUUGGGGAAAGUCUUGUUACACUUGCUGUAAAAAACAGAAACUUUAGCGCUCAUGAGAACUACUGCCAUUUUUAUUUGGAAAGUGCUAUUUAGUUAAUUAUUUUUGAAGAUGAUUAAUAGAUAAAUUCCUCACGUCCAGCAAUUUAUUUUAGAAUUUUUGGGGUUCCAGAUCUUGCGGUAGCUACAGAUUACUACAGAUUGUUCUGUUUUUGACAGAUUCUGUUUUUCGUGUGUUGUUUGCUUAUUUUGAUGAAUCUAUGGCUAGUAAAAUAGUUUAUAAACCAUAGAGAAGUUGGAAUACAAUAAGUAUAACACCAAUAUAAAUAAAGAAUGAGUUCAUUGUAGUACCUUGAAGUGGUCUUUUAUUUUCUUUCGCUAACGGAGCUCACGAGAUUUUCUACUUUAAGUUUUGUGUUGUGAAGUUUUCAAGUUUUGGGUAAAGAUUUGAUGGAUUAUGGAACAAGGAGUGGCAAGAGCCUAAGAUUGGGGAUGCCCAUGGAACCCCCAAGAUAAUAUAAGGACACCUAAAAGCCAAAGCUUGGGGAUGCCCCGGAAGGCAUCCCCUCUUUCGUCUACUUCUAUCGGUAACUUUACUUGGAGCUAUAUUUUUAUUCGCCACAUGAUAUGUGUUUUGCUUGGAGCGUCUUGUAUGAUUUGAGUCUUUAUUUUUUAGUUUACCACAAUCAUCCUUGCUGUACACACCUUUUGAGAGAGCCAUACAUGAUUUGGAAUGUGUUAGAAUACUCUAUGUGCUUCGCUUAUAUCUUUUGAGUUAUGUAGUUUUGCUCUAGUACUUCACUUAUAUCUUUUAGAGAACGGUGGUGGAUUUGUUUUAUAGAAACUAUUGAUAUCUCAUGAUUCACUUAUAUUAUUUUGAGAGUCUUAAAUAGCAUGGUAAUUUGCUUAAAAUCCUAAUAUGCUUGGUAUACAAGAUUAAAAAUAAAACUUUCUUAUGAGUGUGUUGAAUACUAUGAGAAGUUUGAUGCUUGAUAACUGUUUUGAGAUAUGAAGAUGGUGAUAUUAAAGUUGUGCUAGUUGAGUAGUUGUGAAUUUGAGAAAUACUUGUGUUAAAGUUUGUGAUUCCGGUAGCAUGCACGUAUGGUGAACCGUUAUGUGAUGAAGUCGGAGCAUGAUUUAUUUUUUGAUUGUCUUCCUUAUGAGUGGCGGUCGGGGACGAGCGAUGGUCUUUUCCUACCAAUCUAUCCCCCUAGGAGCAUGUGCGUAAUACUUUGCUUUGAUAACUUGUUGAUUUUUGCAAUAAGUAUAUGAGUUCUUUAUGACUAAUGUUGAGUCCAUGGAUUAUACGCACUUUUCUCACCCUUCCACCUUUGCUAGCCUCUCUAAUACCGUGCACCUUUCGCCGGUAUCAUACACCCACCAUAUACCUUCCUCAAAACAGCCACCAUACCUACCUAUUAUGGCAUUUCCAUAGCCAUUCCGAGAUAUAUUGCCAUGCAACUUUCCACCAUUCCGUUUAUUAUGACACACUCCAUCAUUGUCAUAUUGCUUAGCAUGAUCAUGUAGUUGACAUCGUAUUUGUGGCAAAGACACCAUUCAUAAUUCAUUCAUACAUGUCACUCUUGGUUCAUUGCAUAUCCCGGUACACCGCCCGAGGCAUUCAUAUGGAGUCAUAUUUUGUUCUAAGUAUCGAGUUGUAAUUGUUGAGUUGUAAGAAAAAUAAAAGUGUGAUGAUCAUCAUUAUUAGAGCAUUGUCCCAGUGAGGAAAGGAUGAUGGAGACUAUGAUUCCCCCACAAGUCGGGAUGAGACUCCUGACGAAAAAUAAAGAAAGAAAGAAAGAAAAGAGGCCAUAAAAAAGGGAGAGAAAAGGCCCAAAUAAAAAAAUGAGAGAAAAAGAGAGAAGGGACAAUGUUACUAUCCUUUUACCACACUUGUGCUUCAAAGUAGCACCAUGAUAUUUGAUGUCUACUACACAACCUUCUUCUUGUAGACGUUGUUGGGCCUCCAAGUGCAGAGGUUUGUAGGACAGUAGCAAAUUUCCCUCAAGUGGAUGACCUAAGGUUUAUCAAUCCAUAGGAGGCAUAGGAUGAAGAUGGUCUCUCUCAAACAACCCUGCAACCAAAUAACAAAGAGUCUCUUGUGUCCCCAACACACCCAAUACAAUGGUAAAUUGUAUAGGUGCACUAGUUCGGCGAAGAGAUGGUGAUACAAGUGCAAUAUGGAUGGUAGAUAAAGGUAUUUGUAAUCUGAAAUAAUAAAAACAGCAAGGUAACUAAUGAUAAAAGUGAGCGUAAACGGUAUUGCAAUAUGUGGAAAUAAGGCCUAGGGUUCAUACUUUCGCUAGUGUAAGUUCCCUCAACAAUACUAACAUAAUUGGAUCACAUAACUAUCCCUCAACAUGCAACAAAGAGUCACUCCAAAGUCACUAAUAGCGGAGAACGAACGAAGAGAUUAUGGUAGGGUACGAAACCACCUCAAAGUUAUUCUUUCCAAUCAAUCCGUUGGGCUAUUCCUAUAAGUGUCACAAACAGCCCUAGAGUUCGUACUAGAAUAACACCUUAAGAUACAAAUCAACCAAAACCCUAAUGUCACCUAGAUACUCCAAUGUCACCUCAAGUAUCCGUGGGUAUGAUUAUACGAUAUGCAUCACACAAUCUCAGAUUCAUCUAUUCAACCAACACAAAGGACCUUGAAGAGUGCCCCAAAGUUUCUACCGGGGAAUCACGACGAGAACGUGUGCCAACCCCUAUGCAUAGGUUCCCAAUGUCACGAAACCUGUAAGUUGAUCACCAAGACAUACAACAAGUGUUCUUAAAUCUUUAAAGACUCAAUUCGAUAAGAUAACUCCAAAGGGAAAACUCAAUUCAUUACAAGAGAGAAGAGGGGGAGGAGAAACAUAGGAUCCAACUAUAAUAGCAAAGCUCGCGAUACAUCAAUAUCGUAUCAUCUCAAGAACACGAGAGAGAGAGAUCAAACACAUAGCUACUGGUACAUACCCUCAGCCCCGAGGGAGAACUACUCCCUCCUCGUCAUGGAGAGCGCCGGGAUGAUGAAGAUAGCCACCGGUGAGGGAUACCCCCUCCGGCAGGGUGCCGGAACAGGGUCCCGAUUGACUUUUGGUCGUUAUAGAGGCUUGCGGCGAUGGAACUCCCGAUCUAAUAUCUGUUCUGAAGUUUUUUUUGACCAUCAUUCUAGAAGUUUUAGGGUAUAUGGAGUUAUAUAGGCAGAAGAAGCACGUCAGGGGAGCCACGGGGGCCCCACGAGGCAGGGGGAGUGCCCCCACCCUCGUGGGCAGCUCCCGUAUCUUCUGACGUGGGUUCCAAGUCCAUCAGGUGUGUUUCCUUCCAAAAAUAACUUCUCUAGUUGAUUUCAUUCCGUUUCGACUCCGUCUGAUAUUCCUUUUCUUCAAAACACUGAAAUAGGCAUAAAACAGCAAAUCUGGGCUGGGCCUCCGGUUAAUAGGUUAGUCCCAAAAAUAAUAUAAAAUUGGAUAAUAAAGCCCAAUAUUGCCCAAAAUAGUAGAUAAUAUAGCAUGGAACAAUCAAAAAUUAUAGAUACGUUGGAGACGUAUCAAGCAUCCCCAAGCUUAAUUCCUGCUCGUCCUCGAGUAGGUAAAUGAUAAAAAAUAUAAUUUUUGAUGUGGAAUGCUAGUUGGCAUAAUUUCAAUGUAAUUCUUCUUAAUUGUGGCAUGAAUAUUCAGAUUCGAAAGAUUCAAGACAAAAGUUCAUAUUGACAUAAAAAUAAUAAUACUUCAAGCAUACUAACAAAGCAAUCAUGUCUUCUCAAAAUAACAUGGCCAAAGAAAGCUAUCCCUACAAAAUCAUAUAGUCUAGCUAUGCUCCAUCUUCACCACAUAAAAUAUUUAAAUCAUGCACAACCCCGAUGACAAGCCAAGCAAUUGUUUCAUACUUUUGACAUUCUCAAAACUUUUUCAAUCUUCACGCAAUACAUGAGCGUGAGCCAUGGAUAUAGCACUAUAGGUGGAAUAGAGUGGUGGUUGUGGAGAAGACAAAAAGGGAGAAGAUAGUCUCACAUCAACUAGGCGUAUCAACGGGCUAUGGAGAUGCCCAUCAAUAGAUAUCAAUGUGAGUGAGUAGGGAUUGCCAUGCAAUGGAUGCACUAGAGCUAUAAAUGUAUGAAAGCUCAACAAAAGAAACUAGUGGGUGUGCAUCCAACUCGCUUGCUCACGAAGACCUAGGGCAUUUUGAGGAAGCCCAUCAUUGGAAUAUACAAGCCAAGUUCUAUAAUGAAAGAUUCCCACUAGUAUAUGAAAGUGAUAACAUGAGAGACUCUCUAUCAUAAAGAUCAUGGUGCUACUUUGAAGCACAAGUGUGGAAAAAGAAUAGUAGCAUUGUCCCCUUUUUUAUUUUUUUUAUUUGGCCUUUCCCCUUUUUUAUUUGGCAUUUCUCUUUUUUCUUUUCCUUUUUUUAAGGACAAUGCUCUAUUGAAUGAUGAUCAUCACACUUCUAUUUAUUUACAACUCAAUGAUACAACUCGAUACUAGAACAAAGAUGACUCUAUAUGAAUGCCUCCGGUGGUGUACCGGGAGAUGCAAUGAAUCAAGAGUGACAUGUAUGAAAGAAUUAUGAACGGUGGCUUUGCCACAAAUACGAUGUCAACUACAUGAUCAUGCAAAGCAAUAUGACAAUGAUGAAUGUGUCAUGAUAAACUGGAUGGUGGAAAGUUGCAUGGCAAUAUAUCUCGAAAUGGCUAUGGAAAUGCCAUAAUAGGUAGGUAUGGUGGCUGUUUUGAGGAAGGUAUAUGGUGGGUGUAUGAUACCGGCGAAAGGUGCACGGUAUUAGAGAGGCUAGCAAAGGUGGAAGGGUGAGAGUGCGUAUAAUCCAUGGACUCAACAUUAGUCAUAAAGAACUCAUAUACUUAUUGCAAAAAUCUACAAGUUAUCAAAGCAAAGUAUUACAUGCAUGCUCCUAGGGGGAUAGAUUGGUAGGAAAAGACCAUCGCUCGUCCCCGACCGCCACUCAUAAGGAAGACAAUCAAUAAAUAGAUCAUGCUCCGACUUCAUCACAUAACGGUUCACCAUACGUGCAUGCUACGGGAAUCACAAACUUCAACACAAGUAUUUCUCAAAUUCACAACUACUCAACUAGCAUGACUCUAAUAUCACCAUCUCCAUAGUUAUGUCAUGUCAUCCUGUUUACAUAGUCUCAUAUUUUGAACUAUGUCUUUCCAUCUUUUUUAGUUAGCCAUCAUAAUGUGAAAUUGUGUCAUGCUAUCCUGUUUAGUUAGCCAUCAUAUAUGUGAAAUUGUGUCAUUCUAUCUUGUUUGGUUAGACAACAUAAAUAUGAAUUAUUGCAUGCCCUCUUUUAUUCCCCACUAUCCAUUGCACCUGUCUAUCAUACAAUGUCUAUACUUUCAAUUACUUUUCUUGUUUAUUAGCCAUUUGAAUUGGAGAGUGUGAUGGCAGUAUCUAAGGGAGUAACAACAUGGUCUUCGGAAAAGAUAGUGCUACCAGUUGAUGCAGAUAGAACCACGGUUGUACUUGCCCAAGGACCAGAUCCACCACACAUAACCCAGACUCUCGCAGAUUGUACCCCUACCCAGUUGGACAGAGAACCAGCUACACCCCUUCUAACCCCAACCCCGGCAGAUAGUAACCCAGUUCUAGUUGACACAGCACCGUCUCCACCACAGAGCACCCAAAAACAAGCAGUUAGUAAGGGAACUGCAGUGCCCAAUGCACGAGGGCCACCACUCCGAAUCCCAACUCAACGCUUAAAGGAGAAGAAGAUUUGUUCUCAGGUCAGGUUCUGUAGCUAUGGUUCAUACUCCUUUGCUCUUGCAUGACUGUAUUUACUCAUACCAACUAUUUUCAAAUUUGAAGGAUGGAAUUGAAACUCCAAUGGUGCAACAAGUAUGUUUUAAACCUGUUUCUUUAACUGGUUUGCUGUUGUAACAUGCUCUAUAUUGAUUUCAGUUUCAAUUGAAUAAACAUUUAUGUUCUCAUGUCAUGCACAUUACAAGUGUUGUUAUUGCUCUAUAGUUACCCACACUUAUAUUCUGUCUAUUCUGCUUUGUCUUGAACAAAUAUUAUUUGAACCGUGUCUCUAUCUUGAUUUGGCAACAAAAACUAGAAUGAUAUAGACCAUAAAGUGACCAUGGUACAUAGAUAUAUGUUUGUUUCAUGCUGUUAUCCUGUCCACUUUACUACUGAACUCAUUUAGCAAAAUGAGUUUCAUAUACAGCAUGGUAAACAUGUGAUGUGUCUGCUUGUUUCUCUUUUAGAAUGCGGACAAAAUAUUGGAGAACAGUACCGCGUUAUCCAAUGGUAAAGGAAGUAAUGCAGAUAAGGUUCAAGAUAGUGAGACAUCCCUGUUGGUCUCCAAGAAAGCUGAUAAAAACUAUCUUGACGAUAGUGAGGGAAUCCAAAAAUCUUGUCUUGAUGUAGUGUUCAAGUUACUGGCCACUACUACUGGCACAAGCUCUUCGAACUUGCUGCCUGAAUUAGUUCGUCUUCUGGAGUCUCAACUUCAAGUUCAAAGACAUCGAUCAGAUGUGCUGCGACAGAAAGCUAAAGGACUGAGGAAGUCCCUACAGAAUUCAGAUGCAUAUUUUCUGGUGCAACAGCAAGCGCUGGAGGAUUUAAGUGCCAAACAAGAGAAAGUUAAUAAGCUUGCUAAGCAUCUUGCCAGCAUUAUGGGUACCCAGGAUAUUGUUUCUUGAGAUCUUAUGAAGUGGUUUCAGUUCUGGAUUUGUUUUGCUGCGGUGUUUAUUUGCGCUGGUUGCCAACUUUGACAACCAGUGUAUAUGAUAUGCUGCUUUGUUCCCUAUAUUUGCACUGGUGGCAAACUUUGAUGCCCAGUGGAUGUAUUAUGUGUAAUAGCCGUGAUAGCCUAGCGUUAGUUGCUUGCUUAUUUAUUUCCUUGUUGUCUUGUUUAUUUGUUUGCUUGUAGUCAUUGUAGUUCUUUUUCCGCGGUUAGCUAGUGGCUGUAAUAACCUAUUUUUUAAAACUAGGCCACAAUAACCAUGGGCUAAUAUUUACUGUAGUGACACUGGGCCUCCUACUGGCCGUAGAAACAAUGGGCCUUCUACGGGUCGUAGAAACAAUGGACCUUCUACAGGCCGUAUUAUCAAUGGGCCUUAUACGGGCCGUAUAAUCGAUUGGCCAAACAUGGGCCAAACAGACCGCAUUAUGGCCGUAAACAGGCUAGAGUUGGAAUCGUCCGUUCAUGGGCCGACCAUAACAGGCCAUCGUUAAUAUGCCGUAUUUGAUGACGCUAUGAAAUCGGCCCAACGUAUUAACGGACCACAAACGGGCCGACUGUAACCACGGGCUGAAUUUGGACCCAAGGAGAAAAUGACAGUAACGGGCCGUAAGUAAACGAAUGCUGGAAAUGAGCCCAAGAAUAAAUGGGCUCUGAGAAGGCCGAAAGAUAACAUGGUUUGGAAACGGCCCAACGGAAUAACGGGCCGUUAAUGGGUAUAAAGUGAUACAUUGUUCAUUACGGGCCAGUUUCACCACGGGCCGUUAAUGGGUGUAAAGUGAUACACUGUUCAUUACGGGCCAGUUUCACCACGGGCCGUUAGUAGGCCAAGAGUUACAUAGGGCCUCAUAUGGGCCGAAAGACGUCAUGGGCCAUACAUGGGCCAGAAGUGAAAACGGGCUGGAAUCAUAUUGGAUGGCCCAGAUGACGCUACUAGGCCUAAUUCGGAUAGGGCGUAAUGGGCCUUGGGUUAGCGGGCUGUAAAUGGUCUAUAUUCGAGCAGGCCGUUAACAGGCUUUCCAUGGGUCGGCCCGCCAGCUUUUGACCAAGUCAAACGGGCCGGCCUUUUCACAGGAACGGGCCUCUGUUGGGCCGUGCCACGUGUCGACGUAUCAUAGGCGCCUUCCGUCCAAUGAGUGGUUGACAUCUGUCCCAACGAUGAGCCGACACGUGUUUCCUCCAGCCAAUGAUGAUUUUACACGUGGAAAAUCCCCAUUGGUCGGGGCUGUUAACGGGUUAUCGGAUCCAAAACCCGACCCGAUAGCUUAACGGCGUUCCGUUACGGUAGAUGCCACGUGUCCGUCACCCUUGACGAAAGCACUUCUGUGAUGCGCGAUUUAUCGUCAUGGAAGUGGACACUUCCAUGAUGAUAAUUUUGGUAAUGUCAUGGAACACUUCUACAAUAGCACAUGUAUGACUAUCUUGAUUCUGUCAUAAAUUUGUCAUGGAUGUACAUGCAUGACAAAAAAGCGACCUACUGUGACAAACACGUAUCAUCACAGAAGUGUAUUUUUUUUGUAGUGCAUGAAAGAGUCGGUUUACAUCUACAAGCCUUAACCCACCUAUGGGCCUUGGGCCUUCGUAAAGCGCCACCAUCCUCAUGUCUUCAUGGGCUUCUAUCUUCAUGGAGCUAACCCGGCCACUCCUAGCCGGUUUACCUCCAGUAAUCAUAUCCCCAACAUGAUCCAAGUGAUGUUAGUUUGCCGAAUCCUGCCAUGCCAGCGCAGGUCUCGCCACAUGUGGGAGCUUAAUCCAGAAGGACCACAAACCCCUAACACUUCUUCGGCACCACACAUGAAGGGAUGUGGAAGUUAUUUUUUGGGAAGCGAAAACAUUGGUCGGAUACUACCGAGGAUGCUGGCCUUAACUGCAACUGUCCAGACACCCCGGUAAGAACUUGGCUCCCGAACAGUUUGUAAUUAUGUAUACCAUAAUAUGAUACUGAGCAAGCUAUCUUCUUCCAGGGCUGGACAAAGAAGGCGGAACUAAUUAUGUGUUCGGCCCCUCUGCCCGAGGGCCCAGCGAAUCAUGUUCUAACAAGGAUGUUGGCCCUGGCACCAUACCAGAUGCCUGUGAAGGAUGGCAGAGGACCAAAGAUGGCCCCUAAUCCAAGGGUGCAUCGGACUUUGUGUCCGGAGGGAUCAAAAUCCCCUCAUCCGAAGACAAAAGUAAAGGGGGGGUCCACUGUCUCCUUACCUCCUAGGAAGAAAAGGGCCGCCUCCGAAGAUUGGGAGAAACAGGCUCCUACACGAGGCCAGAUGCCUCAGGUGGGUGGCUCGGGCUUGGAGGACGUCGAAGUGCAGCUCAUGACGAGGACAAGCCUCUGGACAAAUCGUAAGUGAACAAGGCUGUUUUAAACAUGUCCCGUUCUUUUCUUAUAAUGCUUGGGAUAUAUAUUUUUUGCAGCUCAACAUGCAGUGUUCCUCAACAAUCCUCUUCCUCGGGGGACCUUCUCCCAGAGAUGAUGGAAAGCGAGACGCCCCCACCGGCCUCUCCGUCCAAUAGGGCGGACAACUUCGAGGUGUCGUAGCGGAGGGUCUCCCCCAACCAACAAGUGGUGCAAGGGAUGAUGAAGAUGUUACCCGAAGGUGAUAGUUCGGUGGCCCAGGGUCCGGGGAACAACAAUGAGGGCCCCGAACAAUCCGGUAUACAACCGGAUAUGAAUGAACGGAUCCCUUCAAAGGGUGGCCGUACUCCGACGGUAGCCUCCGAAGACCCAGAGGCGCCGGAUAUCUUGACGAACAUGCUGCGGCAGGCGUCCGUCUCAGAGGAACAUCAUACCUUGAUGGGUACGGUGGUUGAAAAGGUCCUGUCCACGAAGAGCGGAUUGUACGAGGCCUUUGCGAGCCUACUAAGAGGCUUCGAGGUUUGUACUAUAAUAUGUGCAAUUGUGUUUUAUUCGCAAUAUACACCUGUGUAUAGAUAGUAGCCCCUGAGACUCGGGUUGGCUUCCCAUGGGAGGCGAACGGAGGAUCAAGAAGAAAUAUUCAAGGACUAAUCUGAUUAACUUUAACACAGGCUGCUUCCCCUCUGGCUACUUCCCAAACUACGGACCUGGCCGAGCUGCAACGGAAGCUUGAUGUGGCCGGGGAUGACAUUGCGUUAAUCAAUAUGCGUCUUGAUGAAUCGCAAGGUAUGUAUUCAGGGCAGUCCCUUCACAUACAUUGUUGUGAUAUAAGCAUGAUGCUGAAAGUUAUGUAUUGUAAUAUGCCUGGCUGCAGAUGGUGUUGCCGCCGUUGAAAUUCUUCGGGCGGAGCAGGCCCGGGCCAAGGAGCAGGCCCGGUGUAGUAAUGCGGCUGUCGAAAAGGCAUCGGCUGAGCUAAAAGCCGAAUGAGCUGCUCGGCGUCAAGACGAGGAGAAGAUAUCCACGAUGGCGCUCGAACUAAAAAAUGCUGCUAGCUGCUGUGAACUCCUUGAGAAGGAGAAUGAAGCCAAGACGGCUGAAAUUGACAAGGCCUUACGAGAGGAGAGAGAAGCGCGGUCUGAAUCCAGAGCCGCCCGUGAGGAGAUCCGGCAAGCUAGGGAGAUUGCGGCUGGUGAGCCAUUUUUGCUACAGACUAAGUUCGGCGAUCCGAACUAUGCUCAGCUUAACCAAUUGUGGAGUUCUCCGGAUGAGUUUUUAGACUUGCGAAGAGUUAUUCCGAUGCAGUGCAGUUUUACCAGGCGCGAGAGGGGUAUGCAACGGGGAAGCUUUUCUUGUCACAAUUGGGCGCGUCGAAGCACCCCCUGUUGCUGAAUGAGAAGAUGUCCCAGUGGACCGAGUUUCAUAGGAUAUCCGGCGCCGCCAUGAAGAACGUCAUAAGCCGGUUAUGGCCAACUGAUCCUGUUCCCGAUAGCUACUUCGGCUUGGUGCAGCGGCUCGUUGACGCGGUGCCACGUAUCGACACUGUGAUGCGGUCGGUGUGCAUCGAGGGUGCACGGAUGGCCUUUGCCCGAGUCAAGACAUUCUGGAGGAAGAUGAAGGCCAUCGAUGUUGCGGUGAAGAAUCCACCCAAGGGCAAGAACCGCCACGAACCAGAGCAUUAUUUUGAAGACAUCCUUGUGGCCGCCCGCUUGAUAGAGGGUCAAUGCUCGAAAGACAUAAUGUUCGAGUGAGGUGUAUGAGAAUUGUACAAGACAAUUUUAUAGUUAAUCUAUUUUUAUAUAUUGCUCGACAGUUUCUAUUCCUCCUGUGUGGCCGUUUUAGUAUAAUCUAAAAGUUUUCCAGUCAUCGGCUUGAGCCCCCUCGUAGGAAGUAGGGGGGUGUUUGGAAAAGCAUUUGAUCACUCUUGACCCAAUGUCUUGGUCCGUGAAGGAGGUGUCAAUGCGGCAAACCAGGCAACUAGACUAUAGGGCGUUAACACUUUCCCUUAGCCAUAGGAGUUUUAUGUUGGGUCUACGACAUAGCCCCUGGUAUGUAUGCGGCUUAUUCAUACAAUGCAUGUACAUAUUUGACCGGAAAGAGGUCCUUCAGGUGACACGGAGGAAUCGCUAGAGAUUCCGAUAAGUCAUCGAGUCGUUGACCAACUCUCGCUGCAUAAUGACAGUCAGUUUUCGGCUUUCUUUACUAAGGUGCUGAUCCAGGUGAACCGGCAGCACAAUCGCAGUAGUUCCCCUUUACUACCCUAGCCGAUAGAGCGGAACGUAGGAUAGCAAGCACAGGAGCCGGGUAACCCAACUAUUGACCCAAGACAUGAUUCGGAUGUGAUGCAUAUAAGGCCAAACUCGCGACGCCGAAGUACGCUGUAAAAGCUGUUCGGACUUUGUUGGCAACUCAUUUGUUCCCGUAUCGAGCCCCUGGCAAGUUAAGCCUGGGGUAUAUCUGUGAAGCAACCAUAGACGGCGUAUUCAUUUGCCGAAAGACGCGGAUGAUUAAUUCAGGUAAUGUGAAAUGGGACCUGAGCUACAUGCCAAAGAUUACUUGAUAUAUAUAAAGGCCAUGACCCCGGCUAUUUGAUAUCCCUUGGGUCGAAGGCAGAGGAAAAAGGCAUGUUACAGGCUCGAAAAAGAGUGUGGUCUACAAAAAGUUAUUUUGGACCUCCUGUCGCACGUCUGGUGCCGCCUGUCCUCGGCAAGGGGAAUCCUUGAAGGAAGUAGCCCCGUAGGUGAGUGUACGGAUCCGAACUCCGAUGGAGUCGGUCUUAGAUGUUUCUCCUUUGCGCCACCUAUUUUUAAGAGAUAAUGAAGAAAGAAAAAGGAAAGUAAAUAAAAAUGUUACCGGAGUGCUUGCAGACUUGUCCGUAUUAUGCUUCCGCCAAUGCCCAUGGUAUUUUAAGUGCGUAGUUAUGUAUGUGCGGUAUAGUUUUAAUGGGUAUAUGAGAUGGGCAACGGAGGCCGAACUGCUAUUUAUGCUUCGGAGUUGAUCGAUCUUCGGGGGGAAGUUGCUACUGACCCCCGGCAUUUUGCUGGUGAACCACUCCGUCGUCCCUAUUGCCUGGCGGCCCCCUUCCCUUGUGUUCGACAUUGAGCUCGCCGGCCUGCUUGAGGACCCAACAACUUCUGUUGGUAUGAUUAGCUGGUUUACUGGGGUGGUUGUGAAUCUGGCAGGAUCGAUCCAGUAUCCUGUCUAGGUUGGAUGGUCCGUCUAUCUUUGCCUUGACUGACUUUUUUUUGUUGACCGGGCUUGGGAUUGCUGAAUCCGGCGUUGACCGCUGUGUCGCGUGAUCUUUCAUUAUCGUUGCGACUAUUGUGUUUGCUUUGUCGUGGCUUGUCAUUGCCGUCUCGGAUUUCGGAAGUGCCCGAGUCGCUGGCGCUAUUGCUUCUACGAGCGAGCCAGCUGUCUUCUCCCGUGCAAAAGCGGGUCAUUAGAGCGGUAAGGGCUGUCAUGGAUCUAGGUCCUUCUUGACUGAGGUGGCGUGCAAGCCAUUCAUCUUGGACGAUGUGUUUAAAGGCCGCAAGGGCUUCCGCGUCCGAACAGUCGACGAUUUGGUUCUUUUUAACUAAGAACCUAGUCCAGAGCUUCCUGGCUGACUCUCCGGGCUGCUAGACAGUGUGAAUUAAGUCAUCGGUGUCCGGUGGCCGGACAUAUGUUCCUUGUAAGUUGUCGCGAAAGGCAUCCACCAAAUCUUCCCAGCUGCCAAUAGAAUUUUCCGGUAGACUGUUUAACCAGUACUGAGCUGGUCCUUCGAGUUUUAGUGGUAGGUAUUUGAUGGCAUGAAGGUCGUCUCUGUGGUCCAUGUGGAUGUGGAGGAGGAAGUCCUCGAUCCAUACCGUGGGAUCCGUUAUUCUAUCGUAUGAUUCGAUAUUUAUAGGUUUGAACCCGUCUGGGAAUUCAUGCUCCAUUACUUCGUCUGUGAAGCAAAGAGGGUGUGCGCGCCUCUAUGUUGGGCCACACUGCGACGUACCUCCGAUGGAGUCCAUUGAUACGUAUCCAACAUAUCUAUAAUUUUUGAUUGCUCCAUGCUAUAUUAUCUACUGUUUUGAAUGUUUAUGGGCUUUAUUAUACACUUUUAUACCAUUUUUGGGACUAACCUAUUAACCCAGAGCCUAGUGCUAGUUUCUGUUUUUACCCUGUUUUAGGGUUUCGAAGAAAAGGAAAAUCAAACGGAGUCCAAUUGACCUGAAACUUCACGGAACUCAUUUUUGGAAGGAAAGAAGCCCAGAAGACUUGGAGUGCACGUCGGGGGCUCUACGAGGAGGCCACAAGGCAGGGGGCACGCCCUCCACCCUCGUGAGCCCCCCGUGGCCCCCCUGACGUACUUCUUCCGCCUAUAUAUCUCCAUAUACCCUAAAAACAUCCGGGAGCAAAAUAGAUCGGGAGUUCCGCCGCCAGAAGCCUCCGUAGCCACCAAAAGCCAAUCUAGACCCGUUCCGGCACCCUGCCGGAGGGGGUAAUCCUUCUCCGGUGGCCAUCUUCAUCAUCCCGCUGCUCUCCAUGACGAGGAGGGAGUAGUUCUCCCUCGGGACUGAGGGUAUGUACCAGUAGCUAUGUGUUUGAUCUCUCUCUCUCUCUCGUGUUCUUGAUUUGGCACGAUCUUGAUGUAUCGCGAGCUUUGCUAUUAUAGUUGGAUCUUAUGUUUCUCCUCCCCCUCUACUCUCUUGUAAUGAAUUGAGUUUCCCCUUUGGAGUUAUCUUAUCAGAUUGAGUCUUUAAAGAUUUGAGAACACUUGAUGUAUGUCUUGCCGUGCGUAUCUGUGGUGACAAUGGGAUGCCACGUGAUUCACUUGAUGUAUGUUUUGGUGAUCAACUUGCGGGUUCCGCCCAUGAACCUAUGCAUAGGGGUUGGCACAUGUUUUCGUCGUGAUUCUCCGGUAGAAACUUUGGGGCACUCUUUGAGGUCCUUUGUGUUGGUUGAAUAGAUGAAUCUGAGAUUGUGUGACGCAUAUCGUAUAAUCAUACCCACGGAUACUUGAGGUGACAUUGGAGUAUCUAGGUGACAUUAGGGUUUUGGUUGAUUUGUAUCUUAAGGUGUUAUUCUAGUACGAACUCUAGGGCUGUUUGUGACAGUUAUAGGAAUAGCCCAACGGAUUGAUUGGAAAGAAUAACUUUGAGGUGGUUUCGUACCCUACCAUAAUCUCUUCGUUCGUUCUCCGCUAUUAGUGACUUUGGAGUGACUCUUUGUUGCAUGUUGAGGGAUAGUUAUGUGAUCCAAUUAUGUUAGUAUUGUUGAGGGAACUUACACUAGCGAAAGUAUGAACCCAAGGCCCUAUUUCCUAUCAUUGCAAUACCGUUUACACUCACUUUUAUCACUUGUUACCUUGCUGUUUUUAUUAUUUCAGAUUACAAAUACCUUUAUCUACUAUCCAUAUACCACUUGUUUCACCAUAUCUUCGCUGAACUAGUGCACCUAUACAAUUUACCAUUGUAUUGGGUGUGUUGGGGACACAAGAGACUCUUUGUUAUUUGGUUGCAGGGUUGCUUGAGAGAGACCGUCUUCAUCCUACGCCUCCUACGGAUUGAUAAACCUUAGGUCAUCCACUUGAGGGAAAUUUGCUGGUGUCCUACAAACCUCUGCACUUGGAGGCCCAACAACGUCUACAAGAAGAAGGUUGUGUAGUAGACAUCAAGCUCUUUUUUGGCGCCAUUGUCGGGGAGGUGAGUGCUUGAAUGUAUAUCUUUAGAUCUUGCAACCGAGUCUUUGGUGAGUAUGAUGGAAAGGAUAAUUGUGCUCAAGUGCUAGGAGAAGAAAUCUAUAAAAUGUUUGGCAUUAAAUAUUUGAAUGAUGAGCAUGAUUGCAAUGUUGUUAGUAUGAAUUCCUUGAAUAUCCAUGAUGCUAAUGAUAUGCAAAGCCACAAGCUUGGGGAUGCUACGUUUGAUGAAGAUGAUAUUUUUAGUCCCCCAAGUUUUGAUGUGCAAAUUUAUUAUGAUGAGAGCAUGCCCGCUAUAUAUGAUGAUUAUUGUGAUGACUUGUAUGCUAUAAAGAAUAAUGAUAUCCAUGAAACUUGUCAUCAUGAUUUUAACUUUCAAUUGGAUUAUGACUCACAUGAUAGUUAUUUUGUUGAGUUUGCUCCCACUAUUAUUCAUGAGAAGAAUUUUGCUUGUGUGGAGAGUAAUAAAAUUUCUAUGCUUAUAGAUCAUGAAAAUAAUGAUUUAGGUGCUGGUUAUAUUGUUGAAUUCAUUCAUUAUUCUACUGAAAAUUAUUAUGAGGGAGGAAUAUAUGCUUGUAGGAAUUGCAAUAAUAUCAAGUUUCCUCUCUAUGUGCAUAAAAUUUCGAAGUUAUGCUUGUUCUACCUUCCUAUGCAAGUUGAUUCUUGCUCCCACAAGUUGUUUGCUCACAAAAUCCCUAUGCAUAGGAAGAGGGUUAGACUUAAAUGUGCUAGUCAUAUUCUUCAUGAUGCUCUCUUUAUGUUUCAAUUCUUAUCUUUUAUGUGAGCAUCAUUGAAAUCAUCAUGCCUAGCUAGGGGCGUUAAACGAUAGCACUUGUUGGGAGGCAACCCAAUUUUAUUUUUGUUCCUUGAUUUUUGCUCCUGUUUAGUAAUAAAUAAUUCAUCUAGGCUCUGUUUAGAUGUGGUUUUAUGCUUUUAAUUAGUGUUUGUGCCAAGUAGAACCUUUGGGAAGACUUGGGUGAAGUCUUUAUGAUCAUGCUGUAAAAAACAGAAACUUUAGCGCUCACGAGAAUUGCUGCCAUUUUUAUUCGGAGAGUUCUAUUUAGUUAAUUCUUUUUGCAGAUGAUUAAUAGAUAAAUGCCUCAGGUCCAUAAAUUUAUUUGAGAAUUUUAUGAGUUCCAGAAGUAUACGUUUGAUCCAGAUUACUACAGACUGUUCUGUUUUUGACAGAUUCUGUUUUUCAUGUGUUGUUUACUUAUUUUGAUGAAUAUAUGGCUAGUAAAAUAGUUUAUAAACCAUAUAGAAGUUGGAAUACAGUAGGUUUAACACCAAUAUAAAUAAAGAAUUAGUUCAUUACAGUACCUUGAAGUGGUGAUUUAUUUUCUUAUACUAACGGAGCUUACGAGUUUUCUGUUAAGUUUUGUGUUGUGAAGUUUUCAAGUUUUGGGUAAGGAUUCGAUGGACUAUGGAACAAGGAGUGGCAAGAGCCUAAGCUUGGGGAUGCCCAAGGCACCCCAAGGUAAUAUUCAAGGAUAGCCAAGAUCCUAAGCUUGGGGAUGCCCCGGAAGGCAUCCCCUCUUUCGUCUUCGUUCAUCAGUAACUUUACUUGGAGCUAUAUUUUUAUUCACCACAUGAUAUGUGUUUUGCUUGGAGCGUCAAUUUAUUUUGUUAGGAUUUGCUUGCUGUUAUUUAGAACAAUGUUUUGCAUCUUUUAUUUCAAUAAAAGUGGCAUUGGUAGCCUUUACUAUGCCUAUUUUAGAAGUCCACAUGUUGCUGUUUGAAAACGGAAAGUUUACCGCUGUUGCAAUAAUUCCCUAGAAAAGUCAGAAUGUGAUAAAAUGUUGAAACCUUUUGCAUAUUAAGAUCUGAUAAAUUUACUACAGUGGGAAUUUUCUUUCAUAAUUUUUGGAGCUAGGGAAGUAUGGAUGUUGCUGCAUUCUUUACAGACUGUCCUGUUUAGGCAGAUUGCUGUUAUGUUUGCAUUGUUUGCAUAUGUUUGCUUCUUUAAUGAUUCUAUUUGAGGAUAAGACUAUUAAAUAUGCAUAGGCAUUUAGUAUGCAAUGUUGAAUAAUAAUUUUAGUGAUUUUCUACAGUAGAGUAUUAUAAGGUUUUGGCAAUGGUUUAUACUAACUUAUCUCACGAGUCCUUGUUGAGUUUUGUGUGGAUGAAGCUUUUGAGAUUUAGGGAGACCGUGAUAUGAGAGGAAUUAAGGAGACACAAAAGCUCAAGCUUGGGGAUGCCCAAGUCAUCCCAAUAUAAUAUUUCAAGAAGUCUCAAGCAUCUAAGCUUGGGGAUGCCCCGGUUGGCAUCCCACCUUUCUUCUUGAACAACUAUCGGUUAGUUUCGGUUGAUCCUAAGUUUUUGCUUCUUCACAUGAUGUUUGCCAUUCUUAGAAUGUCAUUUUAUUUUGCUUUGUUUGCUGUUUGAAUAAAAUACCAAGAUCUUAAAUUCUUAAAUGUUAGAGAGUCUUCAUAUAGUUGCAUAAUUAUUCGACUACUCAUUGAUCUUCACUUAUAUCUUUCGGAGUAGUUUGUUGUUUGCUCUAGUACUUCACUUAUAUCUUUUAGAGCACGGUGGUGGUUUUAUUUUUUAGAAAUAGAUGAAGUCUCAUGCUUCACUUAUAUUAUUUUGAGAGUCUUAAAUAGCAUGGUAAUGUGCUUAAUCCUAAUAUGUUAGGUAUUCAAGAGUAGUAAAAACUUUCUUAUGAGUGUAUUGAAUACUAAGAGAAGUUUGAUGCUUGAUGAUUGUUUUGAGAUAUGGAGGUAAUAAUAUCAAAGUCGUGCUAGUUGAGUAGUUGUGAAUUUGAGAAGUGCUUGUGUUGAAGUUUGCAAGUCCCGUAGCAUGCACGUAUGGUAAAUGUUAUGUAACAAAUUUGAAACAUGAGGUGUUAUUUGAUUGUCCUCCUUAUGAGUGGCGGUCGGGGACGAGCGAUGGUCUUUUCCUACCAAUCUAUCCCCCUAGGAGCAUGCACGUAGUGCCGACGUUUUUGAUGACUUGUAGAUUUUUGCAAUAAGUAUGUGAGUUCUUUAUGACUAAUGUUGAGUCCAUGGAUUAUACGCACUCUCACCCUUCCAUCCUUGCUAGCCUCUUCGGUACCGUGCAUUGCCCUUUCUCACAUUGAGAGUUGGUGCAAACUUCGCCAGUGCAUCCAAACCCCGUGAUAUGAUACUCUCUUUCACACAUAAACCUCCUUAUAACUUCCUCAAAACAGCCACCAUACCUACCUAUUAUGGCAUUUCCAUAGCCAUUCCGAGAUAUAUUGCCAUGCAACUUUCCACCAUUCCGUUUAUUAUGACACGCAUCAUCAUUGGCAUAUGGCUUAGCAUGAUCAUGUAGUUGACACAGUAUUUAUGGCAAAGCCACCGUUCAUAAUUCUUUCAUACAUGUCACUCAUGCAUCAUUGCAUAUCCCGGUACACCGCCGGAGGCAUUCAUAUAGAGUCAUCUUUGUUCUAGUAUCGAGUUGUAAUCAUUGAGUUGUAAAAAAAUAGAAGUGUGAUGAUCAUCAUUAUUAGAGCAUUGUCCCAAGUGAGGAAUAAAAAAAGAGAAAGGCCAUAAAAAAAAGAGAAGCCCCCCCCCAAAAAAAGGAGAGGCCAUAAAAAAAGAAAAUGCCCCAAAAAAUGAGAGAAAAAGAGAGAAGGGACAAUGUUACUAUCCUUUUACCACACUUGUGCUUCAAAGUAGCACCAUGAUCUUCAUAGUAGAGAGUCUCUCAUGUUAUCACUUUCAUAUACUAGUGGGAAUUUUUCAUUAUAGAACUUGGCUUGUAUAUUCCAACAAUGGGCCUCCUCAAGUGCCCUAGGUCUUCGUGAGCAAGCAAGUUGGAUGCACACCCACUAGUUUCUUUUGUUGAGCUUUCAUACAUUUAUAGCUCUAGUGCAUCCGUUGCAUGGCAAUCCCUACUCCUUGCAUUAACAUCAAUCGGUGGGCAUCUCCAUAGCCCAUUGAUUAGCCUUGUUGAUGUGAGACUUUCUCCUUUUUUUGUCUUCUCCACAUAACCCCCUCAUUAUAUUCUAUUCCACCCAUAGUGCUAUGUCCUUGGCUCACGCUCAUAUAUUGCGUGAAAGUUUAUAGGUUUGAGAUUACUAAAGUAUUAAACAAUUGCUUGGCUUGUCAUCGGGGUUGUGCAUUAUGAGAGCAUUCUUGUGUGACGAAAAUGAAACAUGACUAAACUAUAUGAUUUUGUAGGGAUGAACUUUCUUUGGCCAUGUUAUUUUCAGAAGACAUAAUUGCUUAGUUAGUAUGCUUGAAGUAUUAUCAUUUUUAUGUCAAUAUGAACUUUUGUCUUGAAUCUUUCAGAUCUGAAUAUUCAUACCACAAUUAAGAAGAAUUACAUUGAAAUUAUGCCAACUAGCAUUCCACAUCAAAAAUUCUGUUUUUAUCAUUUACCUACUCGAGGACGAGCAGGAAUUAAGCUUGGGGAUGCUGAUACGUCUCCAACGUAUCUAUAAUUUUUGAUUGCUCCAUGCUAUAUUAUCUACUGUUUUGAAUGUUUAUGGGCUUUAUUAUACACUUUUAUAUCAUUUUUGGGACUAACCUAUUAACCCAGAGCCCAGUGCCAGUUUCUGUUUUUACCUUGUUUUAGGGUUUUGAAGAAAAGGAAAAUCAAACGGAGUCCAAUUGACCUGAAACUUCACGGAACUCAUUUUUGGAAGGAAAGAAGCCCAGAAGACUUGGAGUGCACGUCGGGGGCUCUACGAGGAGGCUACGAGGCAGGGGGUGCGCCCACCCCCCUGGGCGCGCCCUCCACCCUCAUGAGCCCCUCGUGGCCCCCCUGACGUACUUCUUCCGCCUAUAUAUCUCCAUAUACCCUAAAAACAUCCGGGAGCAAAAAAGAUCGGGAGUUACACCACCAGAAGCCUCCGUAGCCACCAAAAGCCAAUCUAGAACUGUUUCGACACCCUGUCGGAGGGGGCAAUCCUUCUCCGGUGGCCAUCUUCAUCAUCCCGGUGCUCUCCAUGACGAGGAGGGAGUAGUUCUCCCUCGGGGCUGAGGGUAUGUACCAGUAGCUAGUAUGUGUUUGAUCUCUCUCUCUCUCUCUCUCUCUCUCUCUCUCUCUCUCUCGUGUUCUUUAUUUGGCACAAUCUUGAUGUAUCGCAAGCUUUGCUAUUAUAGUUGGAUCUUAUGUUUCUCCUGCCUCUCUAAUCUCUUGUAAUGAAUUGAGUUUCCCCUUUGGAGUUAUCUUAUCGGAUUGAGUCUUUAUAGAUUUGACAACACUUGAUGUAUGUCUUGCCAUGCGUAUCUGUGGUGACAAUGGGAUGCCACGUGAUUCACUUGAUGUAUGUUUUGGUGAUCAACUUGCGGGUUCCGCCCAUGAACCUAUGCAUAGGGGUUGGCACACGUUUUCGUCGUGAUUCUCCGGUAGAAACUUUGGGGCACUCUUUGAGGUCCUUUGUGUUGGUUGAAUAGAUGAAUCUGAGAUUGUGUGACGCAUAUCGUAUAAUCAUACCCACGGAUACUUGAGGUGACAUUGGAGUAUCUAGGUGACAUUAGGGUUUUGGUUGAUUUGUAUCUUAAGGUGUUAUUCUAGUACGAACUCUAGGGCUAUUUGUGACAGUUAUAGGAAUAGCCCAACGGAUUGAUUGGAAAGAAUAACUUUGAGGUGGUUUCGUACCCUACCAUAAUCUCUUCGUUCGUUCUCCGCUAUUAGUGACUUUGGAGUGACUCUUUGUUGCAUGUUGAGGGAUAGUUAUGUGAUCCAGUUAUGUUAGUAUUGUUGAGGGAACUUACACUAGCGAAAGUAUGAACCCAAGGCCCUAUUUCCUAUCAUUGCAAUACCAUUUACGCUCACUUUUAUCACUUGUUACCUUGCUGUUUUUAUUAUUUCAUAUUACAAAUACCUUUAUCUACUAUCCAUAUACCACUUGUUUCACCAUAUCUUCGCCGAACUAGUGCACCUAUACAAUUUACCAUUGUAUUGGGUGUGUUGGGGACACAAGGGACUCUUUGUUAUUUGGUUGCAGGGUUGCUUGAUAGAGACCAUCUUCAUCGUACGCCUCCUACAGAUUGAUAAACCUUAGGUCAUCCUGUCGGUGUCAAAACCGGCGGAUCUCGGAUAGGGGGUCCUGAACUGUGCGUCUAAGGCGGAUGGUAACAGAAGGCAGGGAACAUGAUGUUUUACCCAGGUUCGGGCCCUCUUGAUGGAUGUAAAACCCUACGUCAUGCUUGAUUAAUAUUGAUGAUAUGGGUAGUACAAGAGUAGAUCUACCAUGAGAUCAGAGAGGCUAAACCCUAGAAGCUAGCCUAUGGUAUGAUUCUAUGUAUAUUGUCUAUCGACUAGCCUGGCCUCGGUUUAUAUAAUGCACUAGAGGCCUAGGAUAACAAGAGUCCUAGCCGAAUACGCCGAUGGGGAGGAGUCCUUGUCUCGAUUGCCAAGUCUUGUGGAAUCUUCCUUGUAUGCGGCAGCUGUCCGAACUGGCCCAUGAGUAUACGACCAUGGGGGUCCUCGGCCCAAUCUAACAGAUCGGGAGAUGACGUGGUGAGUACCCCUGAAAGUGCUAGUGAUCGACUAGAGGGGGGGGUGAAUAGGCAAUUUUUAUGAAAGUCUUCAAAACAUGAAAGUUUUGAAAACAAACGAUAGAAAUAAACCUAUUACCAUGCAGCAGAAGGUAGACUACACUAGGCAAACCAUAGUCAAGUAUUCAAUGGAGUGAAAGCACAAUGACUAAUAGCAGCUAGGCAGUAAAGAUCAGGUAGGAAGAUAUUGUGAAGCCAAUCAGAGCAAGCAGUCACUCAGUGAAGACAAAAGAUAAAGCAAUCAUACAAUGACUUCACAAGGAUCAACAGUAAGUAAAGGGAAGGGAAGGAUGAAACCAGUGACUCGUUGAAGACAAUGAUUUGUUGGACCAGUUCCAGUUGCUGUGACAACUGUACGUCUGGUUAGGGAGGCUGAGAUUCAACUCAGAAGACCUCGUCUUCACCUUAUUCCCCUUGAGCUAAGGACACCCGGUCCUCGCCCAAUCACUCUGGUAAGUCUUCAAGGUAGACUUCCAAACCUUCACAGACUUCGUUCACCGGCGAUCCACAAUGACUCUUGGAUGCUCAGAACGCGACGCCUAACCGGCUGGAGGAUUCACAGUCCUCAAGUGUAAUAAGUCUUCAGAUCACACAGACAGGAAGACUUAAGUGAUGCCUAACACUCUUUGGCUCUGGGUGUUUAGGGAUUUAUCCUCGCAAGGAAUUCUCUCUCAAAGGCUUCGAGGUGGGUUGCUCUCAAACGACAAAAGCCGUGCACUAACUCUGAGCAGCCAACCGUUUAUGGUUGUAGGGGGUGGGUGUUGGGUAACGUAGUAAUUUCAAAAAAAUUCCUACGCACACGCAAGAUCAUGGUGAUGCAUAGCAACGAGAGGGGAGAGUGUUGUCUACGUACCCUCGUAGACCGAAGCGGAAGUGUUGAUGCAACGUAGAGGAAGUACUCGUACGUCUUCCCGGUCCAACCGAUCCAAGCACCGUUACUCCGGUACCUCCGAGUUCUUGGCACAUGUUCAGCUCGAUGACGCUCCCCGGGCUCCGAUCUAGCAAAGCUUCGGGGAGGAGUUCCGUCAGCACGACGAUGUGGUGACGAUCUUGAUGUUCAACCGUCGCAGGGCUUCGCCUAAGCACUGCUACAAUAUGACCGAGGUGGAAUAUGGUGGACGGGGCACCGCACACGGCUAAGGAACGAUCACGAAGAUCAACUUGUGUGUCUAUGGGGUGCCCCCUGCCCCCGUAUAUAAAGGAGUGGAGGAGGGGAGGGCCGGCCCUCUCUAUGGCGCGCCCUAGGGGAGUCCUACUCCCACCGGGAGUAGGAUUCCCCCUUUCCUAGUCCAACUAGGAGUCCUUCCAUGUAGUAGGAGUAGGAGACAAGGAAGGGGAAGGGAGAAGGGAAGGAAGGAGGGGGCGCAGCCCCUCCCCCUAGUCCAAUUCGGACUAGGCCUUGGGGGGGAGCGCGGCCUGCCCUAGGCAGCCCCUCUCUCUUUCCCGUAUGGCCCAAUAAGGCCCAAUACUUCUCCCCCUGUAUUCCCGUAACUCCCCGGUACUCCGAAAAAUACACGAGUCACUCGGAACCUUUCCGAUGUCCGAAUAUAGUCGUCCAAUAUAUCGAUCUUUACGUCUCGACCAUUUCGAGACUCCUCGUCAUGUCGCCGAUCUCAUCCGGGACUCCAAACUCCUUCGGUACAUCAAAACUCAUAAACUCAUAAUAUAACUGUCAUCGAAACCUUAAGCGUGCGGACCCUACGGUUCGAGAACGAUGUAGACAUGACCGAGACAUGUCUCCGGUCAAUAACCAAUAGCGGGACCUGGAUGCCCAUAUUGGCUCCUAUAUAUUCUACGAAGAUCUUUAUCGGUCAGACCGCAUAACAACAUACGUUGUUCCCUUUGUCAUCGGUAUGUUACUUGCCUGAGAUUCGAUCGUCGGUAUCCAAUACCUAGUUCAAUCUCGUUACCGGCAAGUCUCUUUACUCGUUCCGUAAUACAUCAUCCCGCAACUAACUCAUUAGUUGCAAUGCUUGCAAGGCUUAAGUGAUGUGCAUUACCGAGAGGGCCCAGAGAUACCUCUCCGACAUUCGGAGUGACAAAUCCUAAUCUCGAAAUACGCCAACCCAACAUGUACCUUUGGAGACACCUGUAGAGCUCCUUUAUAAUCACCCACUUACGUUGUGACGUUUGGUAGCACACAAAGUGUUCCUCCGGCAAACGGGAGUUGCAUAAUCUCAUAGUCAUAGGAACAUGUAUAAGUCAUGAAGAAAGCAAUAGCAACAUACUAAACGAUCGGGUGCUAAGCUAAUGGAAUGGGUCAUGUCAAUCAUAUCAUUCAACUAAUGAUGUGAUCCCGUUAAUCAAAUAACAACUCUUUGUCCAUGUUUAGGAAACAUAACCAUCUUUGAUUAACGAGCUAGUCAAGUAGAGGCAUACUAGUGACACUCUGUUUGUCUAUGUAUUCACACAUGUAUUAUGUUUCCGGUUAAUACAAUUCUAGCAUGAAUAAUAAACAUUUAUCAUGAUAUAAGGAAAUAAAUAAUAACUUUAUUAUUGCCUCUAGGGCAUAUUUCCUUCAGUCUCCCACUUGCACUAGAGUCAAUAACCUAGUUCACAUCGCUAUGUGAUUAACACCAAUAGUUCACAUCUUUAUGUGAUUGGUUCACAUCUCCAUGUGACUAACACCCAAAGGGUUUACUAGAUUCAAUAAUCUAGUUCACAUCGCUAUGUGAUUAACACCCAAAGAGUGAUCAUGUUUUGCUUGUGAGAGAAAUUUAGUCAACGGGCCUGCCAAAUUCAGAUCCGUAUGUAUUUUGCAAAAUUCUAUGUCUACAAUGCUCUGCACGGAGCUACUCUAGCUAAUUGCUCCCACUUUCAAUAUGUAUCCAGAUUGAGACUUAGAAUCAUCUGGAUCAGUGUCAAAAACUUGCAUCGACGUAACCUUUUACGGCGAACCUUUUUGUCACGUCCAUAAUCGAGAAACAUAUCCUUAUUUCACUAAGGAUAAUUCUGACCGUUGUCCAGUGAUCUACUCCUAGAUCACUAUUGUACUCCCUUGCCAAAUCAGUGCAGGGUAUACAAUAGAUCUGGUACACAACAUGACAUACUUUAUAGAACCUAUGGCCAAGGCAUAGGGAAUGACUUUCAUUCUCUUUCUAUCUUCUGCCGUGGUCGGGCUUUGAGUCUUACUCAACUUCACACCUUGUAAUACAGGCAAGAACUCUUUCUUUGACUGCUCCAUUUUGAACUACUUCAAAAUCUUGUCAAGGUAUGUACUCAUUGAAAAAACUUAUCAAGCAUCUUGAUCUAUCUCUAUAGAUCUUGAAGCUCAAUAUGUAAGAAGCUUCACCGAAGUCUUUCUUUGAAAAACUCCUUUCAAACACUCCUUUAUGCUUUACAGAAUAAUUCUACAUUAUUUCCGAUCAACAAUAUGUCAUUCACAUAUACUUAUCAGAAAUGUUGUAGUGCUCCCACUCACUUUCUUGUAAAUACAGGCUUCACCGCAAGUCUGUAUAAAACUAUAUGCUUUGAUCAACUCAUCAAAGCGUAUAUUUCAACUCUGAGAUGCUUGCACCAGUCCACAGAUGGAUCGCUGGAGCUUGCACAUUUUGUUAACACCUUUAGGAUUGACAAAAACUUCUGGUUGUAUCAUAUACAACUCUUCUUUAAGAAAUCCAUUAAGGAUUGUAGUUUUGUUAUCCAUUUGCCAGAUUUCAUAAAAUGCGGCAAUUGCUAACAUGAUUCGGACAGAUUUAAGUAUAGAUACGAGUGAGAAACUCUCAUCGUAGUCAACACCUUGAACUUGUCGAAAACCUUUUGCGACAAUUCUAGCUUUGUAGAUAGUAACACUACUAUCAGCGUCCGUCUUCCUCUUGAAGAUCCAUUUAUUUUUUAUGGCUUGCCGAUCAUCGGGCAAGUCAACCAAAGUCCAUACUUUGUUCUCAUACAUGGAUCCCAUCUCAGAUUUCAUGGCCUCAAGCCAUUUUGCAGAAUCUGGGCUCAUCAUCGCUUCCUCAUAGUUCGUAGGUUCGUCAUGGUCAAGUAACAUGACCUCCAGAAUAGGAUUACCGUACCACUCUGGUGCGGAUCUCACUCUGGUUUACCUACGAGAUUCGGUAGUAACUUGAUCUGAAGUUACAUGAUCAUCAUCAUUAGCUUCCUCACUAAUUGGUCUAGUAGUCACAGGAACAGAUUUCUGUGAUGAACUAUUUUCCAAUAAGGGAGAAGGUACAAUUACCUUAUCAAGUUUUCUACUUUCCUCCCACUCACUUCUUUCGAGAGAAACUCCUUCUCUAGAAAGGAUCCAUUCUUAGCAACGAAUGUCUUGCCUUCGGAUCUGUGAUAGAAGUUGUACCCAACUGUCUCCUUUGGGUAUCCUAUGAAGACAUAUUUCUCCGAUUUGAGUUUGAGCUUAUCGAGAUGAAACUUUUUCACAUAAGCAUCGCAACUCCAAACUUUAAGAAAUGACAGCUUAGGUUUCUUGCCAAACCAUAGUUCACACGGUGUCAUCUCAACGGAUUUAGAUGGUGCCCUAUUUAACGUGAAUGCAGUUGUCUCUAAUGCAUAACCCCAAAACGAUAGUGGUAGAUCGGUAAGAGACAUCAUAGAUCGCACUAUAUCUAAUAAAGUACGAUUAUGACGUUCGGACACACCAUUACACUAUGGUGUUCCAGGUGGCGUGAGUAGUGAAACUAUUUCACAUUGUUUUAAUUGAAGGCCAAACUCGUAACUCAAAUAUUUUACCUCUGCGAUCAUAUCAUAGAAACUUUUAUUUUCUUGUCACGAUGAUUUUCCACUUCACUCUGAAAUUCUUUGAACUGUUCAAAUGUUUCAGACUUAUGUUUCAUCAAGUAGAUAUCCCCAUAUCUUCUCAAAUCAUCUGUGAAGGUCAGAAAAUAAUGAUACCUGAUGCAAGCCUUAAUAUUCAUCGAACCACAUACAUCAGUAUGUAUGAUUUCCAACAAAUCUGUUUGCUUGCUUUAUUGUUCCGGAGAAUGGCGUUUUAGUCAUCUUGCCCAUAAGGCAUGGUCUACAAGAUGUUUAAGGUCCCCAGCAAUAGCGUCAGACAAUUUUGGUUUUCGUCUGGAGACCUUUCCCUGCAAAAGAGAGUGAAGUUUUUCUUAGCCACCCACAUCUUCAGGGGUGGCUUCGAAGCAAUGAGUCUAAGUGCAGCAUCUGAGAACUUUGGCUUUGAAGCCCUAGAAAAAAGUCUUGCAUGUGGAUAAUAGUACUCAUAAGAAUAAGCAGAAUAGUUCUUGGUCUUAUGAACAUGGCGGUUUGAUGAACCACGCUCAUAUUCAUAGGCCUGAGUAUGGCUUCCCUGCAAAACAUUUGCGUUAGUGCGACUCUGGUGAGUCCUCUGUCUGUAUGAAGCCUUUGGACCAUAUGAAGCCUGUGGUCUAGGAAUUAUCUUCUUCACCUGUGGUGUCAUGAUGACAUUCACAGGAAGAUUCUCCAAACACCUUUUGGGCACCCAGAUCUUCUUCAUAGUCGGUCCAUUCCUGUAGUUAGUACCAAUAUACCUGGCAAACACUUCACCAUUCUGAUUUUUAAACAGUUUAUAGUUUGCAUCAAAGGAUUCAUCAAUAACGAUGGGGUUAGCGCAAGUGAAACCAGAUAGAGUGGAUGGAUCUGCUGAAGGUUCCUUUGCAGCAACCCAUGUGGUUUUGGGGUACUGCUCAGGUUUCCAGUAAGAGCCAUCAGCAUUCAUUUUCCUUACGAACCCAACACCCUCUUUCCUAGGGUUUCGGUUCAGGAUCUGCCUUUUGAGGACAUCACAUAGUGUCUGAUGCCCUUUGAGACUUUUGUACAUCCCUGUUUCAAGCAAUGUCUUCAACCUAGCAUUCUCAUCAGCAAUAGCAGUGGUAUCCUCAGCAGAGGGGUUAGUUCCCACAUCAACAGAUGAAGAUAUUGCAAUAGCAGCAGCAGUAGAACUUUCAGCAACAGAAGUAGCAUUAUCACGCUCAAUGCAUUUAAGACAUGGUGGUUCGAAUCCUUCCUGAGCGGAACUGGUCUGUUCGGCAUGAAGUGACUCGUUUUCCUUUUGAAGAUCUUCAUGUGCCGCUCUUAAUUUCUCAAGAUCUUGCUUCCUUUGAAGAUAAUCAUAGGAAAGCUUUUCAUGAGUUGUUGAGAGCGUUUCAUGACGACUUUCAAGUUCCUCAUACUUAACUGAAGAUUUUUAUGUCUUCAAUUAAGGACUCAGAUCGAGUCAUUUCAGCGCCUAACAGAUCAUCGCUUUUGUCUAACAGUUUUUGAAUAUGUUCCAUAGCUUUCUGUUGUUUAAUGGCAAGGGAAGCAAGUUUUGCAUAGUUGGGUCCAAAUUCAUCACCAAAUUCAUCAUCACUGGAUUCAGAUAGAUAGCAUUCAGUUACCUUAGCACCUUUUGCCAUAAGGCAUGAUGCAGAAGAUGAUGAUUCUGGUUCGAAUGUCAUCGCUUUGAGAGAUUCCUUAAAGUCCUCAAACCAAGGAUCAUGACGAGUUCGAUGACCUUCAUAGACCUCAGAGAGACGGUCCCAGAUAAGCUUCGCAUGAUCGAGAUGCAUGAUUUUCCUGAACUGAUUUUGAGACAGACAGGAGUAGAUGACGUCCUUCGCCGUGAGAUUGAGAAGAGUGUACUUGCAAAUGUCAUCAGCUUCCGCCAUCUUGCACAGAUCGGUCAGACCAAUCUCAGUGACGGUCCACAGCUCGCUGUUCAUCGCCAUGAGGCGCUUCUUCAUCAUGGCCUUCCACUUGGGAUACUCGUGACCGUCAAAGAUGGGGCAUGACACAGUCUUCAUUCCUGUGGUCGACAUAACUAGAACUCCAGGCGGUUAAACCAAAAUCACACAGAACAAGGGAGUACCUCGCUCUGAUACCAAUUGAAAGUGCGUUAUAUCGACUAGAGAGGGGGUGAAUAGGCGAUUUUUAUGAAAGUCUUCAAAACAUGGAAGUUUCGAAGACAAACGAUAGAAAUAAACCUAUUACCAUGCAGAGGAAGGUAGACUACACUAGGUAAACCAUAGUCAAGUAUUCAAUGAAGUGAAAGCACAAUGACUAAUAGCAGCUAGGUAGUAAGGAUCAGGUAGGAAGAUAUUAUGAAGCCAAACAGAACACGCAGUUACUCAGUGAAGACAAAAGAUAGUGUAAUCAUACAAUGACUUCACAAGGACCAACAGUAAGUAAAGGGAAGGGAAGGAUGAAACAAGUGACUCGUUGAAGACAAUGAUUUGUUGGACCAGUUCUAGUUGCUGUGACAACUGUACGUCUGGUUAGGGCGGCUAGGUAUUUAAACCUGAGGACACACAGUCCCGGACACCCAGUCCUCACCGUAUUCCCCUUGAGCUAAGGUCACACAGACCUCACCCAAUCACUCUGGUAAGUCUUCAAGGUAGACUCCCAAACCUUCACAGACUUCGUUCACCGGCGAUCCACAAUGUCUCUUGGACGCUCAGAACGCGACGCCUAACUGGCUGGAGGAUUCACAGUCCUCAAGUGUAAUAAGUCUUCAGAUCACACAGACAAGAAGACUUAAGUGAUGCCUAACACUCUUAGGCUCUGGGUGGUUAGGGCUUUAUCCUCGCAAGGAAUUCUCUCUCAAAGGCUUCGAGAUGGGUUGCUCUCAAAUGACAAAAGCCGUACACUAACUCUGAGCAGCGAACCGUUUAUGGUUGUAGGGGUGGGCUAUUUAUAGCCACUAGGCAACCCGACCUGAUUUUUCCGAAAUGACCCUGGGUCACUAAGGAACUGACACGUGUUCCAACGGUCAGAUUUCAAACACACACGACAACUUUACUUGGGCUACAAGCAAAGCUAACUUGUCCGACUCUGGACAAGAUUCGCUCUCAUAGUCUUCACUCGAAGACAUAGGUUUUGGUUAAGCAUCACUUCAGUCAUUCUGACUGGUUCUCUUGGACCCCACUUAACAGUACGGUGGUUCCUAUGACUCAACAGAGAAGAAAAAGAACUACGAAAGAUGUAAGUCUUCGAGCUCCAUAGGCUUCAUGCGAUGUCUACUCUUGUCAUAGUCUUCAAUGAGAAUAUCUUCAUAAACCACCUUUGACAUCAAUGUUUUCAUACAUUUUUAGGGGUCAUCUCUGGUAGGAAAACCGAAUCAAUGAGGGACUUCUACCUGUGUUAUCCUGCAAUUUUCACAAACACAUUAGUCCCUCAACUAAGUUUGUCGUCAAUACUCCAAAACCAACUAGGGGUGGCACUAGAUGCACUUACAUGUACCGAAAAUGAAUGAUGAAAAGAAGUUAAGGACUUGCAAAGAAAAAUGUACGCGGACAGGAUGCGGCCGGGAUGCGUCCGCGCGCUAGGCGCACGGCCACCGCAUCCCAGGACAGGCCCGGACACGACCCCAUCGCCUUACCCAAACGGACAAAAUCCGAACAAAACGGACGUCCGUUUAGGGUCGUGCGGUGGAGUUGGCCUCAGAGUCGCAUUUGCUGCUUUGCGCUGGGAGUGGUGGAUGCGAGGCCACUGUAAAUUGGUGCUAUAAAUUAACUCUUGAUCAACUAUUAAAAUUGCCACUAUAAAUUAAGAUGAAAGGCCCCUUGAAUUGUUUGCCUCGUUCACAUAAUGAAUUCUUUGUGCAGGGAGUUCUAGCAGCACAUUAUACAAGAAGCUAUGGCUUGAGCUAGGCUUUUGAUCACAGUGCCUUGCCAAGGUGAAAGGAUUUACUACUUUCCAGAUAGUUAUAUGGAACAUGUAUGUGUCAUCGCAUUGGUGUUUGCUUUUCUUGAUGCCCCAUAACUAAUGAAUGAAUUUUGCUACUUAACACAAACAAUAGCUAUUUGGGCUAUGUGACACUGCUUGCUUCUUGUGUUAAAAUGACAAUGACUUUGUUUAUGCCGAAUACUCAUCCGGGUAUUUAAAGAUCGUCCACAUACACAUUUAGAACCUGUUAGGGUCCUCGUGUGUGUCAGAUGUGUGCUUCUCUAGUAUGGCCAUGUAUUAGUUGACAAAUGAGUAUCCAUGAGAGGGUACCAGUGUACCACUUUACAUGCAGUGCUUCCAGCCUUGUAGGCCUCACGAGAAGUCCCUUUGCCAAGCUUCACUGUGAUGCCUAACUAACUAUUUCACAAACAUCUUUGUUAGCCAAUAAAAGCAAUAGUGAAGGUAAAUAAACUCAUUUUCGCAUGUCAUGAGAAACUGAUUUCUUCCGGCUGCCCAAAAAAACAGAGUACUAAUACACUGAGAGACUGUACAAUUGUUCAGACUACUCUACAAAUUAAUUUCGGAACAGACUAAACAUAUCAGGAUAUACACCAGUUGACAGCAAAGAAAAUAAAUCAUCAUCUACUAAUACUCUACUAAAUGAAUACAUCCAUUCACAUCUCCAGAAUUGUAUUAUACAUGUCAGAGAAUGACUAACAGUACUUGUUCUUCUCUGAAAGUUGUCAAGAAAAUGCGAAGUGCCUCUCCAUGCUUUGAAGCCUCUCUGUACUUCUUGUGGGCAAAUGCGAAGUGCCUCUCUUCAUCACCAGCUACAGCCGCUCCUUCAGCUGCAGCCAUGGAAAUUGUAGCCCAAACAAACACACCCUAAGUAAUAGUAAGAAAUUGGUUAGGAAUAAUAUGCAACGCAUAUAUAAAUAACCAAGAGAUAUGGAAAUUCACAUGUAGAUUUUAUUUGAUAAUAGUUCUUUAUCUAAGAAGAUACAAAAUUCCAUGUAACCAUAUUUCCUACCACCACAUAACAUAUUAUGGUGCCAUUUCAUUAAAAAUCAUCGAGAUUAUUAAGAAAUGGAUGGAAAAGAUGAACCAUAAAAUAAAGUAGCAUCUCUAUACGAGCAUUAAACAAAUCACCAUGCUGACCUAAUAAGCACAUACAUGUAGCAUUAGCACUGAAUAGAACAUGUGAACAUGAAUAAACAAUGUCAUACAAUAUUAAUGCAAGGAUGCCAUGGACAGAUAAAAAUGGAAAUAGGGCCUAUAUAAAACCCUCUUUGAAAUUCUAACUGGUGAACAGUUUGCGGAUGCUUGCAAAUUCAUUCAAUGAGUUAUGGCCGAAAGCAGUAAAUUUAAACUAUUUUUGUUCUGGCGGGGGAUCAUAAUACACACACAAAAAAACACUACUUGUAGAUAUACAUAUUGGAUAUAGACAUCAUCGAGGCUCCAAAUUAAAUAUACCUCUAUAAUAAGAAAAUUAAGAAAAAUCUAAUUUCAUAGUUUCCAUCUUGUCAACAUCAAGGGUCAGUGUGAAGCAAUGAUUUUAGGUAACGGUAUGGUUCAAACAUUUACUAUGUCAAUGCGUGUGUGCUAUCUCCCAUAUUUCUACCUUCCAGUAACCACGAAAGAUUAUUAUUCCAAAACUACCUAAGUGAACAUCAUUGUAUGCAUAUAUCGAGAAACAAAGAUAAAUUCCCAUAACUGCUGGCUUGUUCACACAGGAUAAAUACGUUUUUUGGUACUUUACCUUGGCGAGCAUCAAGGGCAUUCAGGGAUCAGCAUCAUUCUUAAAUAUGCCUCCGUCACAGUAACCAUGACAGGCACCUGCUGGCAAAAUAUGAACAAUUCAAAUUUAUCUGCAUUCACAUGGUUCCGCUGUUCAAGAUUUAAAUACACAAAUUUGACAAAGCAUGUUGGAGAGCAGGAAACAACUACAGGUUUCUGAGGUCACAAAAAAUCACUCCUUAAAUAGCAUAUAGGCUUCAGGCCAGAUCUGUUUUCUUUACAAAAUUGUCUUGUUGUGUUCAUGCAAUAGUAUGCAUCUAACCCUAGGCAUUUAAGUAACCAAAUUACUGUGAAUAAUGUUUGGACCCAUAUUUAUCAAUUCUGAUACAGCCGAAUCGAAGCCACUGAAUCAAGCGGAUGCUAUGAGCUGCAAAGCUAAAGAGAAUAUGUUACGACCAUUUGUUUAUCAUCACAAAAGCAAGUAUUUAACCAGCUAAUAAUACAUCAUAAUAUGUGAAUGAGCAGUAAUGAAUUGGCUAGGCUGCUGCACAUUGCAAGCAAAGUCUGCAGAAGAAUCAGACCUUACAAAAGGUUGGGAUGUUGGGUUCGCCGCCUAAAUACUACAUCAUCUAUCUGCACCUCCUCUUGUGGUAUCUAACUGCAGAAAUUUCACCUCGGUCUUCUUCCACUCUUAGCUAAACUUAUUCUUCCUCUCUUCUAUGUCAGAAACAUCAAGUUUAAAAAUCCAUAUAUUAGCAAAGUAAAAUAUGAGUGAGGAAGGAAGCAAGAGAGGGAGAGAGGGAAGAGUGGAGCACCUAGUUGGCCGUCUCAUCCUUGUUUUGGGUCAUUCCUAGAGCUCCCCUCGAUUGAACUGUUCCCGGAGCUCCUAAGCUAGACUCGGCGUCAAGUUUGUGCCGAGGGCCAACGUCCCAGCCACGGCCCCAUACACCAGUUGAGUGAGUCGGGAUUAUAGUGAUGCUUCUGAAACACCAAAGUCCUUAUUACAUAUGCAUCUUGCUGCAAUAAAAUCUAGAUGACAUAAAUUUUCACAAAACAUAGAUGGUAACUGGCUACAGUUGACACCAUUGAUCAGAUGUAAUUUCGGUACCAUGGUCAAAACUGAUAAAACAGAAAGGGUAGAACAACCACCUACAAAAUUAUAAAGGAAAAGAAAGACAGGAACAGAGUCAGUCAUGAACAAAGCAACAAGGUAUCAAUAGACCAGCAUGAAAGAGACUUUCACCGAAGAAGAAACAACUCAUACACAUAUUUUUCUUCCCACAAUCCUUGCAAAUCGGAGGAACACAAACAAAAGAGGAAGAUAUCGGGAGAGGAGAAUGAUGAGCAAGAGGGGAUCUGGAGAUAGGAGGAUAAACCAACCACAACCACGGCGCCUCGCUGCACCAUCCCAGCAGGCCGGCGUCGCUGCUCCCCCACCGCUGGCCUCCUGGGCCUCCCCUGCUCCACCCCAGCGAAAAGACCCCGCCUCCCCAACCAUUGGUCGUGGGUGGAGAAGGGGCUGUGGGGUGAGCCGCUGCUCAGCGUCGGACAGAGACGAUGGAGGUGGAAUAUGGGGACGGCUGCUGACGAGAGAGGAUGGAGGAGAAGGGGAGGGGUGCUGCGCUAUGAAUCCAUGGGAAAGAAAGCUAGGGUCCGUGGAACGUCCGCCCGUAUGAAACAAUCCCCACGCUGGGAGGCGGAGCAGCACAGGAGGGUUUCCUCCUCUUGGUCAGCCACCAUGGCUGCUGUGGGUCGGCACGGGGCUGGAGAAGGAGCUGGGCGAAGAUGCGGUAGGCAACGGGAGGUGGCAAGGUGCGGGAGGCCAUGGGCGAGCGGGCAGGAGGGGCCCUUUUUACCGCUGUUUUUUUUCUUUUUUUGAGAAACUACCGCUGGUAGUCUAGGGUUGUUCACCCCGAGCGAUAUUGGCCACGGACUGGGGGAGGGUUGCUUAACCCUUCGCUGCCUCGUGGGCCAAGGAUCAUAUGGGUCCAGUAGCGGUCACAUAGAAAAAAAAGUUAAACUUUACAUCAAACAGUAAAAUCCAAUGGUGAAAAAUCAUUGAGCCUGUCAAUCGGAUGGCCAACAUGUGUGCGGACGAGAGAGGCCUCAGAUAGGCGGGUUGCCCAGCGUGAUUUAUAUGUUCGAUAACAUGGAGGUUAUGGAAACCAUGAACAAUGGAGGACGGUCAUCUAGUAUAGCGAUGGCAGUGUUUGACAAUUGUUAUUUUUUAGCAUGUGACUUCCUGUUACUAAAUUUGAGCAUUAUAAUAGAAGAAGCAAAUAGGGUCGCACAUGCGCUUGCUAAGUUAGUUAGAUUUUCUUCAUCUUUGAACUGGUUUGAGGAGCCCUUGAGUGAAAUUGUAUCCCUCCUCAUAAACCAUGUACUUGCUAUCCCAAAUGAAUAAAGUUUCUAUGUUUCUUUUCAAAAUAAAAAAGGUUCAGCCGACAGUGCACGUGCACCCAACGGCGGAGCCAUUCCCUUGUGCAUCUUUCUUUAUUCCUACAGCUUCCUACUCUUUAGUCUUUACUACUACUUCAAGACAGUCGGCAGUGCACGUGCACCCAACGGCGGAGCCAGAAACGAUGUGUGUGUGUGUGUGUAUGUCACUUUUCACCAUAGUUUCCAGCAGGAUCUUCUGCAAGCAACGCAUAUACUUCUGUUUGCCAACAUGAUGUGCGAAAGAAGAAUGUACAAGAAGCCACAUAACUCUUUACAUAUAUAAUCCUAUUAGGUCUUCAAAAAUAUUCUGCAUGUUGGGGGGAGCUGUGGCCCCUGCUGGUCCCCCCUGGAUCCGUCGUUGAGUGCACCAUUAUCUCUUACCAAGUUCUACAUGGUAAUGCUUUUGGGCAAUUCUAGCUUCCUGAAAUGCUAUUUUUGUGGCGAGUGAUGCUCUCAUUCAGCUAUAUAAUCAUUUUGUAGCUAUAACCUCCUCCAUUUUGCUUAUUUCAUGGUAGUAGUUUCACCUCGGUGUUCAGAUAAAGAUGUUAGAAUGGAUUUUCUAUAUGCAUAAUUCCACAGCUAGGUGGCACCAAUGAAUAACAGUAUUGACAUACGAGUAUGAGGCAUAAUUCAACAGAUGGGUGGCACCAAUGAAUCACAAGAUUGACAUACGUAUGAACUACAAUUCACAAUACUGUGCUAAAUUCUUGUCAUCAUGAUGAAAGCACAUUAUGGAAAUAUCAUGAAAUAGAAAUAUUAUCAUAUAAAGUCAAGGAAUGGAAUAGAGUCAGCGAAUGUAGCAUAUUCAUUAACAAUUCCAUUUACAGAUAAAAAAUGAAUAAAAAGGAAGAUUACUUCAUAAUCAGUGAUUCCGAAGCAGCAGCAUAUUGAUUCAUAUUGUCCUAAAGCCAGUGCUUACACUGCCAAUGAAGUUUGGCCAAAGAAACCGCAGAAUAUUCAGAGCCCUAGCAGUGCAAGGUUUUCAUCACACCCAGUGAAACUGUUAGAACUAUUAGAACAAACCAUAUGUACUUCGACAGCCGCACUGGAACUGAACAAUCUGAAGUACAGCCUGUAUUCUCGGCAAAUGGCAUUACACAUGCAUGUGGUGACUCCACCACAUGGGAUCCAGGCAUUGCGUCAUAUCGGAGAUGGUACGAGUGCAAAAACUGGGAAAGUGCUACAGUAUGUUAGGUACCACUAAUCAACAAGAUUUUGAAGUCUUGGGAUCAGCACGUCUCUGGUGGUGUUGUACUUUUUUUUGAGGACGAAUGGCAGGUGCUCUGCCUUUGCAUUACAGAUAGAGAAUGUACAAGGGAGUUGCCAUUAGGCACAGUACAAAAAAUUAGCCGUGGACAUCAGUCUAGUUCAGGUGGCGGUCUAAGUAAGGCUACCCUUAAAUGGUUGAGGUCAGAGAUAAUCAAGGAGGCAACAUCGUCAGUGGUUCAAGCAACAUGGUUGAAGAUACAUUCCAAAUGUUCCAGGCGAGGUACAUGGCUUGCUGGGCGUCUUGCUUGUGGGCAGAGGUGUGGCGAGCCCACCAGUCUUGAACAGUUGGGACCUGAAUGUUGUUGUAGCUGGUAGCAGCAUCUUGGUUGGGGUGCAGUCUACAGUGCAGCUUGAAUUACACUUCGGCAGUAAACGGACAGUGGCAGAACAGGUGAGCCGCGGUUUCAAGUGUCUGAUCAUAGAGAACAUGUGUCUUCGUGGUCGCAGCCUCUUGCUUGUAAUCUGUCAGCAGUGGGAAGCCUAUUUUGUGCCAGCAGCCAAAUGAAAAAUCUCACUUUUUCUUCAGCCUUGAUGUGCCAGAUUUUUUCCAGGGAAGACUGGUCAAUGGAGCCAAGAAACUACAAACUGUAGGCCAAGGAAGCAGAGUAAUGAUUGGUCGAGGAUGCCUUCCAACCAUGCUGGUUGAGCUGUACUGAAAUAAUUUUCAGCCUACUGAGACAUGCCGGUUUCCCACUCACUUAACUGUGGAUAGGGAAAUUCUACAUCAUAUCCCGUGGCAUCCGGAGGAGAUUCUAUUGGUGGCGCUAGCGGUGGAUCACCAACUUUAUCAGCAAAAACAUCGUCGCGAUACACAUCCCGGGAUAGUAUUCGGAUCUCCCUGAAGAUCUCCUCUGCUGACUUUACCUGACCAUCCAUAACAUUUUCAAUUGUGUACUCCUCGUUUUCUGAAAUAUACUUGUCAACCGCUUUCAUCGCCUGUUUGGAGUAGUAACCAUAAUUCUCUACCCAAAACGAGGGGGUAUGAGUUCUUAUUGGCCGAGCCGCACCAGCUGCAGCAACACCGGCUGCAGCAGCACCGGCUGCAGCCGCACCGGCUGCAGCCGGUGGCUUCAGCAGCACCGGCUGCAGCCUCAGGUUCAACAUCCAAAGUGGUUCGCGUAUCAUCAGUCAUGGACUUGCAAACUGCUUCAAAAACUGACUGGAGGCGGGCUGAUUCUGACAAGUGAAUGCUGACAAUCUUGAUAGCUUGUCUAAGAAGGUCUGUGCGCCUUCCAUCUGACUUGCGUAUCACAUGAAAUGCGUGACGGAGUGCAUCAACGCCAAUCCACGUGUCCUUGACGUCGUCUCCACCAAGACCGCCAUAGGUAUAACUGCUUGUGAACGAAAGAGUUUGAUGGUCUUCAUUUAUUAUGUAUAACCACCCUGUGACAUCUGGUGCCAUGACAAAUGUUCCCAACUCAUUUCUCCAAGCUCUGGAAUACAGGUCUCUUGCUGAAAAAGACAUGCGCAAUGACGCUUUGCAAUGCUGAAUUAUCACAUGGAAUGCCCCAGCUCCUCCUGCUGUGUACACCUUGUAGCCAGGUCCAUAACGCUUGGAGAGAUCAACUCGCUUGCCAUAAUCAUAAGAAUUCUGGCGCAUUUGCGCUAUUACACUUUUGAAGCUUAAUAAGACUUCUUCAAAACCAUCAUCCAAACACAGAAUGGCUAUGUUCCUUGCCUUCAAAUCUUCAAUUUGAUUCAUUGCCUUCCUCUGCAAAAAUGAUCAAAAAGAUAAUUUCACAAUUUGCAUUUGAUAGUGAAAAAAAAGGAAUACAUGCAUUAACGUCGUUAACUAAUGAUCCUUGCUUAGUGUGCCUAGGCUGUAAAGAAGCCACUGGGGUGAUUCCAUAUCUUUCCUUAUCGGUUUAAAUAAAAUGAGAAAGCCAGUGAAUUGCGGCGAACUGUAACGCAAAUCAAUGAGCAAAAAGCAUCUAGCGUGCACUAAUGUUAGUAACAAUUGUUAUCAGAGUAGCUAGAGUUGAUGAUCCUGAGCGAUGUCAGAUCCUGGCCAUAGCAACUCCCACACUCCACCUCACCAGAACCAAUGUCAGUCCCCUUCGUCGGCGCCGAAUGUCCACGUUACCAUAUGGCUUGUGGGCGGCAUCAAGUAUUUGAUCUUGACGCAGACAGACAAAGCCGAGUGGAGCCUCUUCAUGAAGGUGAUGUUGCAAGCUCACGGCUUCUAGGAGGCGAUUGAGUAUGGCAGCAUAGAAAUCAAGGAGGAUUGCAUGUGAUGGAGGCCAUCCUCCACUUAAUGCCGGAAGAAUAUAAAAUAAAUGUUUCUCCAAAUGGUAAAACAAAAUAUGAACAAAUUUCACAGGUCAAGAUAACUCUAGUACUACAGCAUUUACAAUUUUCCUUGGAAUUUUUAGAUCAUUAGAAUUAUCUAAAAAUUAGAGUACAUGUACACCCCAGCUCAAAAAAUCACUCUGUUUGACAAUUAUUAUUUUACAAGAUUUUAAGAAUAAUAUAAAUUCUGUGAUUUCAUACCUGCUUCCUUGAUGAAAAAAAUCUAUAAUAUUGCAACUGAGAUAAGACAUGGCGUGAAGAGAACAUCUUGUUCAGCAGUUUUCUCUGAUACAUUAGAAUGGAUAUCAAAGGAUCAUGAACCUGCAACAUAGAAUUAUCAUUCAGAUGAGAUACACUUAUAUUGGACUGUGGAGGUGAGUGUAGGAGUCUAGCCCAAGUUGCCCAUGUGUGCUUGUACAUAUCUAUACGUACCAAGGAUAGGAAGGAGUGAUUCCAGAAAUUAAAUACAUAUGGUGAGGUAAGUUUCUUGAUAGGAACAGCAGGCAACAUAAGAUUUUGGAGUUUGAUUGGGUACAAACUAGAUGAUACAUAUGAGUAUAGUUGCAGUAUAAUUUGAAGAUAUUAAAUUAUUUGGAACAUGAAUAUUUUAUGAAUAAUAUAAGAACUAAAACUUAAAAUACAUAUGAGUUAUUGUAUUUAAUUAAUAGGGUGAGUCUUUUCCUAUGCAUGUCAUGUGUGCAUGUUGAGAGAAAUAUGUUAGUGGGGGCUAGCUAUUUAGAUAUAAAAGAGUUCCAGCACAGCUCCCACGCCAUAGAAAGAUGAUCAAGCAUCUAAAUAUAACAAAAUGUAAGGAAUAAUGUGCCAAAUGAUAACCAAAAACAUGAUGAUCAUCAUAAAGAUCAGAAGGAAUACUUGUAACUUCAGAACGGUAAAGUGAAUGCAUUUGAUGCUCCCCUUGCUAAUAUCCGAAAGAUCCAACACCAUAUCCUAUAAGAGGAUAAACUAGACAAGUUAAAACUGGUAAACCUAACUGUGAGAAGUGACCCGUACAAAAGAGCUAAAGCACAUACAAGAUGUAAAGCAACAACACAAGAAAGGGAAAGUGGACAGGCCAACUCUUGCUGAGAAAAUCUAAUGGUCCUAGGUCCAGCUUAUUGAAUUGGAACACAUCAAGAUUGAAAAAAAAACAAGCAUGCCUAAGAUUCAUGUAUCUUGGGGAGAACCCUUACGCAUGAGAAACAUACUGACAACUUACAAAUAGUUAGCAUAUCAACAAUUAACUACAAGGUUGACUACUUAUAAUGCCACAGUUUAGUUGUUCAGAACAAGGAAAUUGUGUCUAGCUAUUUCAGAAAGAACUACCUUAGUACACAUGAAGCCUCUUUCAAAAUCAGUGUGAAUUGCACCAGCAGCUUGCGGGGCUUUAGUUAGACACCUGAUCUGCCAGCACUUCACCUAAAAAGAGAAUUCAAGCAAAACUAAGACAGCAGAAAAUUUUCAAAUGUAUCCAGAAACUCCUACUUGAAACUUCAGAUAUCAACAUAUACAUCUGAACAAUCUAAUGUUCCUCCACGUUUAGGACAUAAACAGCCAACAAGAUGCAAUGCUGACAAUUCUUAUUGAUAUACAACAGCGAAGACUUAUGUUCCAAGCAAAUUGGGGUAGGGCAACCAUAAUCAUUGAUAUGUUAAAUAAUAAUACACAGAUUAUGAAAGAAAAAUGGUAUUAUUUUCAUUUUUCAGAUCUUAUUAAAUUCUUUACAUAUUGAUUAUGAAAGUUAGAGAUGUUUGAAUUGCACCCAGAGGGCAGUAACCGAUAAAGAGCAAUACUGAUGUACAAAGAACAAGCACAUGAAUUUUGCACAGCAAAAUUGUAACAGGUUGCUGCUAUGACAUGAAUCAAUACGGUUUCAGCAGUUUAAGAAUCACUGCAUACUCAAUCAUGAUGCCAUAGAUUUUGUUUUAACUUACAAAUUACAGCUAUGGCAGAAUAUAGAUGUAAGACUAAUUCUCAUAACUAUUUUCAAAGGUGUAUAGAAAUUUCACAUAGAAAAAUCACAGUAGAAUGCCAAUUUAAGAACAAUAUGCUCAUGCAUAUAAUAAGAACACACCCAUAAUAGAUCAAUGAAUAACAAAAAUGUAAGCAAGUUGAUCAAAUAACCUUUUGUGCCAGUAUAAUUCCACAGAUGCUGUCAAAAUUGGGAGGCCCUAGGUCCAACUUAUUGAAUUGCUUCUCACAACAAAGUUCAACAUUCAUAAUUGUAGCAUCAGCAAGGUUACCAAUGUAAUGAAAUCCAUGUGAGUUGCCUCCAAACUUCUCAGGUAGAAACCUGAAACAAGCAUGAGAGGUCGAUCAAUUUUAGGACUGUGAGUAGGUAAUCGGUAAAUCCCAAUGAUUAAUUUAAAACCACUACUAAUCUACCUUGAAGGUGAGCAAAGAGUAGAAACACUAAAUGAUCUACACUUCAGAUUAUUCUUGGGGCUCUUGCUAUCAGAUGCGGAAACAAAAGAAUCCUCAAGUAGCACCUUCACUCCAUCAAACGCAUGACCAAAGAGAUCCUCAAAUAGCACCUUCCGAGAGAGAAAAUUGUUAAAAUUCGAGAUGGGGUCUUAAUUGUGUCUUAUAAAACAGUAAAUAGAGCAAGUUGUAGCAGCAUCACCUCAUCCUCUUCGGAUCGCGUAUCAUCGCCGGGCAGUUGUACGGUGCCCUGUCCCCGCCACCUCCUCCUAGAUUCACGGCCACCUCCGCGCUCCUCCAUGGCAUGGUCUCCUCGUACUGGAUCUGGUCCCUCCUAGCCAGCGUGAUCGAAGCGGCGUACCGUCGCAACCAAGUAGGACCCUUGUAGCCGCACCUCGCCGCGACCGCCGCCUCCACCAGCCGGAUCUCCCUCGGACUAUUCGCCGGCACGGGCGCCCCCGCGCGGCUCACCAGCUUGGAAUUUACCUUGAGAGUCGACAGGUCCGCCAUGAACCCCGAGCCGUCGGCGACUCGUCCUACCGCUUGCUUCGUGAAGAUGCGCCCACGGGGAAGGACGGGCGCGGUGUAGGUGGCGUGGCCACAUCGCACCAGCGCGGUCCAUGCGCCGCGCCACGGCCAUGGACCCAUGUCGCCGCGCCGCCGUCUCUACUCCUCGGCAAAACCCUCUUCUUCUCGGGGGUGAGGGUGGGGGUGGGGAAUGCGAGCGGAGGGAGGAAGGUGAGGACCCGGGGCAGAGGUGACGAGAAAGAGGCGGUUCCGUUUAGGCUCUGGGGGCGAGUCAGUCUCUGGCUAGACUUGGUGCAUGGAGCAGGCAUGCCUUUCGCCGUCAGAUUUAUAAUAGAGCGUCUGUGAUUGUGGAAUACUGGCUAUGCCUUGGAGGUGUCGCUGGACUAGGACCAGAAGAUUCCCGCCCGGGCGCCUACCACUUUUCUGACACCUUUGAGGAGUCUGGUUCUUAGCUUGCUACGCGCGGUGCAUGGUCUGGGACUCCGAGAUAAGAGGCCAUGCCAUGGAGCAACAACCAUUUUCCGUAGAAACGGCGUAGCGGUGUACAUCGUCAUUUUGCGUCCUUUGCGUAUACCGGGCAAAACGGGGUGUACCAGCCUUGGUGCCAGAAGUGUUGUUGACUCCUUGAGGCCACCCCUUGACCGGACCGUGACCCAAAGAGCCAAGUACUGCAGCACCUGUCAUUUUGAAAAAAGGCUAGGCCUAGAGGGUGCGUGCACGCAGAACCAUCUAGAGACCGAUGCAUAUCACUAUGAUAGUACCAAUAUUACCCUUUUUUUAUGAACUACCUAUAUCUCUACACUUAAAAAAUGAGUUGGUGAUAAUGGUGUGUCUGCCAUCUUGCAAUAUGGACCGUCUAAUCUAUAUCUGACGACUAGAAAGCAAAUGGUGACAAUUUUGCAAAAAGAUACCCUCACCUCUAUCCACAUUUGCAGAUAAGGCCUUCUGUCGUGGAAUUGUCACGACAGAUGUCCUAGCGGCCAUCGCAACUAGGAAGUUUAAAGGGGUUAAUCGAGACAAAGGACAUGAGAGGUUUAUACUGAUUCGGCCCCUUACGGUGAAGGUAAGGCCUAGUCCAGUUGAUGUUGUAUUGCUAAGUUUCGAUGACCAAGGAGCGAAUCCGCUUGCUUGGCUAUCGAUUUGUUGUUUUCUGUCCUAAGCCGCCGCCGGGUCGUCCCCUUAUAUACACGGGUUGACGCCUGGCGGCCUACAGAGUCCCGGCCGGCUCAUAGAACGUGUCCGGCUCGGUGACUUCUUUUACACACCUUUCUUUACAAGUCUUCCUUUACAUAUGGCGGUUUACAAUAUUGGGCCUUAAGCCGCCUCUAGGCUUAGGCCUUUCUACAAUCCUCAAUAAACUAUCAUCCUGAAUAUUUACUGGGCUUCUCUUAAUGACCCGCCAUUAGGGUUGACCCGGCCCCUCCUAGGCGGGUCAUACCUGAAAGUUAUAUUCCCAACAUUAGGCCCCAGGUUGAUUUCAACCUCGUUCUUAUCAACCUUCAACACUUAGAUGAAAUCCAUCUUCCUCUGUCAGUAAAAUCUUUGUAACCCGCCAUAAUGUCAUCUUCCGAAAAUAUGAAAGCCUGUUAUGACGUCAUCUCCAAAGGAUCUUUUAUCUUUAAAUGUCUUCCGAGAAUCGAGGCGUCCGUUUAGCUGGAUAACCAUUAUUUGGAUCUUCCUUGAUUUUUGUGCCUGCCUGUUCACUUAUCCCCUUAUAAAUAAGCAUGACCAGGUCCUUCCUCAUUCUUCCCUCUCUUCCUCUUCUUCCUCUCGCAACCUCUCUGCCUCUCGAGCUCCGCCGCCGCCGUAGCGCUCACCGUUGCCCUCAACGUCAGCCGCUGCAUCACCCUGAGCUCGUCCAGAGAACCACGGCGACUUUCGCAGUAGAUCUGCAUUCGUAAGUUCCUCAUUUUCCGUGCACUUAGAUCUGUAUUAGGGUUGCGAGUUCAUCAAUGUUCUCCCUGUUCAUCAUGGCCCUUCUUGUAGUUUCUUCUCAGUACCCUCCUUUGAUCUAAAAAGAAGUAUAGAACUUACACGGUAGCUGUUUCUCAUCCAUUUUAGACGCUAGCAGAUCCCCUUCUCCUGUAUAAAUGCCUCUUUAGAACUGACGAACUCCUCUGCGCCCGUUUUUAGGUCUAACUUUAUUUUUCUUUUUCUGAACCAUUUUGAUCCAUAAUAAUAACCAUAGCUCGGGAAACAUGUUUGUCUCAACACUUAGCCAAUUUUGAUUUUGGCAACCUUCAAAUACUCUUUAGUCAUGGCGGCUUAUGACUCCGGCUUAAUUUUCCUUUAUAUGUCAUUAGCCCUUAUUUAAGCCGCCAUUAUUCAUCUGUAUCAUGAUCCUGCAACUUCAUUAAUAAAUUGAACUGGCAAAUUACUUUCUUUUCAGCUUCCCCUUUUUCAUCAUGCCGUCAAAAGCACCAACAGUCUGCAAUUGGGUCCCCUCCACAGUAACUAAAGACACCUUGAAAGAUUUUGUCACCAUUGGAUUUUUGCCAGAGAAAAACAUUAUGUCUUAUCGUGCUCCUAACCCGGACGAGGAACGGCCUAAUCCCAAAGACGGUGAAGUUAUUGUCUUCACUGACCAUAUGAAUCGCGGGUUUUCACCACCCGGCUCAAAGUUCUUCAGAGAUGUUCUUCAUUUCUUCAAACUUCACCCUCAAGAUCUUGGACCCAAUUCCAUAUCCAACAUCUGCAAUUUUCAAGUUCUCUGUGAGGUGUAUCUUCAAGAGGAGUCGAUUGUGGAACUCUUCAGAGAGUACUUUUAUUUGAACUGCCAGAAUGAGUGUACCAACGGCCCUAGCUUGGAACUCGGUGGAAUCUCAAUUCAGCGUCGACAGGGCGCCGUCUUUCCCUUAAUAGUCUUACCGAGUCAUCUCAAAGAUUGGAGUCGGACCUGGUUCUAUUGCCAAGAUACGUCACCAGCCAAUGAAAAAAAUAUUGUCUGGUUAUCGCACGGAUCGUCUGGAUUCCAAGUUUGUUCUCACUGAUAAGCUUACUGCUGCUGAACACAAGAAGCUUAUUCCAUGUAUUAAAAGGAUUCAAGCUUUAUUGGGGAAUGGCUUAACCGGAGUGGAUCUGAUCCGUUGCCGGAUCUCAUGGCGGGUCAUCCCUCUAAGCCGCUGAUCCAAAUUGAUGUAUGAAUAUGCUGGAGGCCCAGACGAUUCUCUGCAUCACAGCUCUGUACAACUAACUGAAGAAGACAUUGUUGCAAUGUCAACCAUCCUUGUGAAUGGAAAAUAUGAGGACUGCAGUAAGGUUGGGUUAAACCCCUUCUUCAAACUUAACCCGGCACCAGAGGUGGAAAACCCUUGACCUCUUUCUCUUUUUGUGUUUUCCUCAGUAGUUUAAAAACUUGCAUGACCUUUUAUCAUGUUUAUUUGUUUAUAGGCCAAAUCUGAUUUCUGGAAGGCCAAGUAUGAUCAUGAAGCUGCCAAGAAGGCUAAAGCUGCUGCCAUAGCCGCCAGGAAGACGACCCUGAGGUCCAAGAAGAAGCGGAACACUGCUUCGGACCUGUUAAAGCUUGAUGAUGUUUCUGAGUCGGAGGUAGCCCUUGCCUCCCUUGGGCAGUUUUUUUAAUAAUCUUAUUGACACUGACUAUUUCCAGGACGACACGGGGGCCAGCCAAGCCGUAGAAGAAGAGGUAACUAUUUCCUCCGACUCAGCCCCUUUGCUAAGACAGAAACUUCGACUGGUAACCCGGAAAGUAAGGUUUUCGCACCCUUUGGCUUAUUUGGACCCUCAUUUUCUUUUGAAAGAAUAGCAACAUGAGAGCCGUCGUCAGGUCCGGACUAAUGAUGAUGGUGAACCGCCUUCCGUUUUACAACAAACUCCUUGAAAACACCAGAAUGAGGUUUCUUUCAUCUUUGUCUUUUGCUUCCAUUAAUGGAUCUAUUCCCUUGCAUUACUAACUUUUAUUUUACCUUUGUAGGAGGUUUCUCGCUCUUUUGGCGACUCAUCUCAGACUCAAUUUCCGGCUUUCAAGACUGCCCCUGGGUAAGGAAAAUCAUCUUUCCUCUGUAUCUUUAAAACUACAUCAUUACACUAAUUGUCUAAUAAAAUCUUUCUUAGUGGUCAAGCUAAAUCCAAGAAGGCCAAGGUGAUUAAGCCGACAGAAGACCCAAAAGCUCAUGCACCUGAUUUGGCCAUGCCAACUCCUCCCUCUCAAACUGAAACAACAGAAGACCCGGCUGUUCAUACUCAAUUGGACCCUCCUGAGCUGUCAGUCGAUGAGACCACCCUUAAUCCGACCAUUACUGAACCAUUGAUACGUCUCGAACGUAUCUAUAAUUUUUGAUUGCUCCAUGCUAUAUUAUCUAUUGUUUUGGACAUUAUUGGGCUUUAUUUUCCACUUUUAUAUUAUUUUUGGGACUAACCUAUUAACCGGAGGCCCAGCCCAGAAUUACUGUUUUUUGUCUAUUUUAGGGUUUCGAAGAAAAGGAAUAUCAAACGGAGUCCAAACGGAAUGAAACCUUCGGGAACAUGAUUUUCUCAACGAACAAGACCCAGGAGACUUGGACCCUACGUCAAGACACAAAAGAGGAGGCCACGAGGUAGGGGGUGCGCCUACCCCCCAGGCGCGCCCUCCACCCUCGUGGGCCCCCUGUUGCUCCACCGACGUACUCCUUCCUCCUAUAUAUACCUACGUACCCCCAAAUGAUCAGAAACGGAGCCAAAAACCUAAUUCCACCGCCGCAACUUUCUGUAUCCACGAGAUCCCAUCUUGGGGCCUGUUCCGGAGCUCCGCUGGAGGGGGCAUCGAUCACGGAGGGCUUCUACAUCAACACCAUAGCCCCUCCGAUGAAGUGUGAGUAGUUUACCUCAGGCCUACGGGUCCAUAGUUAUUAGCUAGAUGGCUUCUUCUCUCUUUUUGGAUCUCAAUACAAUGUUCCCCCCCUCUCUUGUGGAGAACUAUUCGAUGUAAUCUUCUUUUUGCGGUGUGUUUGUUGAGACCGAUGAAUUGUGGGUUUAUGAUCAAGUCUAUCUAUGAACAAUAUUUGAAUCUUCUCUGAAUUCUUUUAUGUAUGCUUGGUUAUCUUUGUAAGUCUCUUCAAAUUAUCAGUUUGGUUUGGCCUACUAGAUUGAUCUUUCUUGCAAUGGGAGAAGUGCUUAGCUUUGGGUUCAAUCUUGCGGUGUCCUUUCCCAGUGACAGUAGGGGCAGCAAGGCACGUAUUGUAUUGUUGCCAUCGAGGAUAACAAGAUGGGGUUUUCAUCAUAUUGCAUGAGUUUAUCCCUCUACAUCAUGUCAUCUUGCUUAAGGUGUUACUCUGUUUUUAACUUAAUACUCUAGAUGCAUGCUGGAUAGCGGUCGAUGAGUGGAGUGAUAGUAGUAGAUGCAGGCAGGAGUUGGUCUACUUGUCUCGGACGUGAUGCCUAUAUACAUGAUCAUACCUAGAUAUUCUCAUAACUGUGCUCAAUUCUGUCAAUUGCUCAACAGUAAUUUGUUCACCCACCGUAGAAUACUUAUGCUCUCGAGAGAAGCCACUAGUGAAACCUAUGGCCCCCGGGUCUAUCUUUAUCAUAUUAAUCUCCUACUACUUAGUUAUUUCCUUUGCUUUUUUACUUUGCCUUUAAUUUAUUUGCAUCUUUAUCACAAAAAUACCAAAAAUAUUAUCUUAUCAUAUCUAUCAUAUCUCACUCUCGUAAGUGGCCAUGUAGGGAUUGACAACCCCUAUUCGCGUUGGUUGCGAGGAUUUAUUUGUUUUGUGCAGGUACGAGGGACUCACGCGUAGCCUCCUACUAGAUUGAUACCUUGGUUCUCAAAAAACUGAGGGAAAUACUUACGCUACUUUCUGCAUCAUCCCUUCCUCUUCGGGGAAAACCAGCGCAGUGCUCAAGAGGUAGCAAGAAGGAUUUCUGGCGCUGUUGCCGGGGAGGUCUAUGCAAAAGUCAACAUACCAAGUACCCAUCACAUACCCUUAUCUCCCGCAUUACAUUAUUUGCCAUUUGCCUCUCGUUUUCCUCUCCUCCACUUCACCCUUGCCCUUUUAUUCGCCCUCUCUCUCUAUCCUCCACCUUUUUCUCUAUUUGCCUCUUUUUGCCCGCUUGUUUUUUGUUUGCUUGUGCAUUAGUUUGUUUGCUUGUCGUUAUGGCUAGUCCCUUAUCUUCUCCGUUGUCUCCUGAGAGUGAAAUUCUAAAUUUUAAGCAAAGGGAGGGAGAAAAUCUAAAAUAUGCUUGGUAUAGAAUUUGCAAUGCUCAAAAUAGAUCUACCAGGAAGCAAUCUACUUCCGUUCUUCUUCGCAAUUUUUAUGUAGGCAUAACUCCCUGGCACAGAUAUAUCCUUGAUACUAUUACCGGAGGGAACUUCUUGGGUAGCCAUACUUUUGAUUCUUAUAAUGCUAUGAUAGAUUUGUUUGGCUCACCCCCUCUUUUGGUUAAUGGAACUGUAUUAACUUUGGAGCAUGUAAUGCAAAGGCUCGAAAUUAUUGAAAAUAAGGUUGCUACCGUAGAGUUAAUUGAAAAUUUGGAUAAAAAGAUUCACAACCGAAUCUCUCAAUAUGGAUCUAAAGUAGGAGUCACUUUGAAAAAUAUUGAAGAGAAAGAACCCAUAGUUAAUGAGAAAAUAAAUCAUGAUUCCACUAGAAUUGACAAACUUGAGGAUAUUAUUACCAACUUGGGAACCGCUUUUUCUUCCGUAAAGAACACUCCAAGUCCUCCCGCUAAAAUUGCCAAGCUUAUGUAUGUCCUAAGAAUAAGGGUGAAUCCUCUAGUAAGGAAAACUGCGGAUCUCAAAUCUAUAAGUGUUCAUCCCAAUCUUUUUGCUAUCAUUAAGGAACAAUUUGUUACAAAUGAUUUUUUCGAUCUUGUGCCUAAAAAUUUGAUAAUAAAUAAAAAUAAAGAAAUUCCUAAAGAUGGUAGAUGUCUAAUGAAGAAUUGCCUACCAAAGAUGGCAAUACCUAGAUCUAUCCUUGCUUGUUAUGCCUAGCUAGGGGCAUUAAGCGAUAGCGCUUGUUGGGAGGCAACCCAAUUUUAUUUUUAUUCCUUGAUUUGUGCUCCUGUUUAGUAAUAAAUAAUUUAUCUAGCCUCUGUUUUGGUUAUAUUUUUGUGUUUAAUUAGUGUUUGUGCCAAGUAGAACCGUUGGGAAGACUUGGGGAAAGUCUUGUUACACUUGCUGUAAAAAACAGAAACUUUAGCGCUCAUGAGAACUACUGCCAUUUUUAUUUGGAAAGUGCUAUUUAGUUAAUUAUUUUUGAAGAUGAUUAAUAGAUAAAUUCCUCACGUCCAGAAAUUUAUUUUAGAAUUUUUGGGGUUCCAGAUCUUGCGGUAGCUACAGAUUACUACAGAUUGUUCUGUUUUUGACAGAUUCUGUUUUUCGUGUGUUGUUUGCUUAUUUUGAUGAAUCUAUGGCUAGUAAAAUAGUUUAUAAACCAUAGAGAAGUUGGAAUACAAUAAGUAUAACACCAAUAUAAAUAAAGAAUGAGUUCAUUGUAGUACCUUGAAGUGGUCUUUUAUUUUCUUUCGCUAACGGAGCUCACGAGAUUUUCUACUUUAAGUUUUGUGCUGUGAAGUUUUCAAGUUUUGGGUAAAGAUUUGAUGGAUUAUGGAACAAGGAGUGGCAAGAGCCUAAGAUUGGGGAUGCCCAUGCAACCCCCAAGAUAAUAUAAGGACACCUAAAAGCCAAAGCUUGGGGAUGCCCCGGAAGGCAUCCCCUCUUUCGUCUACUUCUAUCGGUAACUUUACUUGGAGCUAUAUUUUUAUUCGCCACAUGAUAUGUGUUUUGCUUGGAGCGUCUUGUAUGAUUUGAGUCUUUAUUUUUUAGUUUACCACAAUCAUCCUUGCUGUACACACCUUUUGAGAGAGCCAUACAUGAUUUGGAAUGUGUUAGAAUACUCUAUGUGCUUCGCUUAUAUCUUUUGAGUUAUGUAGUUUUGCUCUAGUACUUCACUUAUAUCUUUUAGAGAACGGUGGUGGAUUUGUUUUAUAGAAACUAUUGAUAUCUCAUGGUUCACUUAUAUUAUUUUGAGAGUCUUAAAUAGCAUGGUAAUUUGCUUAAAAUCCUAAUAUGCUUGGUAUACAAGAUUAAAAAUAAAACUUUCUUAUGAGUGUGUUGAAUACUAUGAGAAGUUUGAUGCUUGAUAAUUGUUUUGAGAUAUGAAGAUGGUGAUAUUAAAGUUGUGCUAGUUGAGUAGUUGUGAAUUUGAGAAAUACUUGUGUUAAAGUUUGUGAUUCCCGUAGCAUGCACGUAUGGUGAACCGUUAUGUGAUGAAGUCGGAGCAUGAUUUAUUUUUUGAUUGUCUUCCUUAUGAGUGGCGGUCGGGGACGAGCGAUGGUAUUUUCCUACCAAUCUAUCCCCCUAGGAGCAUGCGUGUAAUACUUUGCUUUGAUAACUUGUUGAUUUUUGCAAUAAGUAUAUGAGUUCUUUAUGACUAAUGUUGAGUCCAUGGAUUAUACGCACUUUUCUCACCCUUCCACCUUUGCUAGCCUCUCUAAUACCGUGCACCUUUCGCCGGUAUCAUACACCCACCAUAUACCUUCCUCAAAACAGCCACCAUACCUACCUAUUAUGGCAUUUCCAUAGCCAUUCCGAGAUAUAUUGCCAUGCAACUUUCCACCAUUCUGUUUAUUAUGACACACUCCAUCAUUGUCAUAUUGCUUAGCAUGAUCAUGUAGUUGACAUAGUAUUUGUGGCAAAGACACCAUUCAUAAUUCUUUCAUACAUGUCACUCUUGGUUCAUUGCAUAUCCCGGUACACCGCCCGAGGCAUUCAUAUGGAGUCAUAUUUUGUUCUAAGUAUCGAGUUGUAAUUGUUGAGUUGUAAGAAAAAUAAAAGUGUGAUGAUCAUCAUUAUUAGAGCAUUGUCCCAGUGAGGAAAGGAUGAUGGAGACUAUGAUUCCCCCACAAGUCGGGAUGAGACUCCUGACGAAAAAUAAAGAAAGAAAGAAAGAAAAGAGGCCAUAAAAAAGGGAGAGAAAAGGCCCAAAUAGAAAAAUGAGAGAAAAAGAGAGAAGGGACAAUGUUACUAUCCUUUUACCACACUUGUGCUUCAAAGUAGCACCAUGAUAUUUGAUGUCUACUACACAACCUUCUUCUUGUAGACGUUGUUGGGCCUCCAAGUGCAGAGGUUUGUAGGACAGUAGCAAAUUUCCCUCAAGUGGAUGACCUAAGGUUUAUCAAUCCAUAGGAGGCGUAGGAUGAAGAUGGUCUCUCUCAAACAACCCUGCAACCAAAUAACAAAGAGUCUCUUGUGUCCCCAACACACCCAAUACAAUGGUAAAUUGUAUAGGUGCACUAGUUCGGUGAAGAGAUGGUGAUACAAGUGCAAUACGGAUGGUAGAUAAAGGUAUUUGUAAUCUGAAAUAAUAAAAACAGCAAGGUAACUAAUGAUAAAAGUGAGCGUAAACGGUAUUGCAAUGUGUGGAAAUAAGGCCUAGGGUUCAUACUUUCGCUAGUGUAAGUUCCCUCAACAAUACUAACAUAAUUGGAUCACAUAACUUUCCCUCAACAUGCAACAAAGAGUCACUCCAAAGUCACUAAUAGCGGAGAACGAACGAAGAGAUUAUGGUAGGGUACGAAACCACCUCAAAGUUAUUCUUUCCAAUCAAUCCGUUGGGCUAUUCCUAUAGGUGUCACAAACAGCCCUAGAGUUCGUACUAGAAUAACACCUUAAGAUACAAAUCAACCAAAACCCUAAUGUCACCUAGAUACUCCAAUGUCACCUCAAGUAUCCGUGGGUAUGAUUAUACGAUAUGCAUCACACAAUCUCAGAUUCAUCUAUUCAACCAACACAAAGGACCUUGAAGAGUGCCCCAAAGUUUCUACCGGAGAAUCACGACGAGAACGUGUGCCAACCCCUAUGCAUAGGUUCCCAAUGUCACGAAACCUGCAAGUUGAUCACCAAGACAUACAACAAGUGUUCUUAAAUCUUUAAAGACUCAAUUCGAUAAGAUAACUCCAAAGGGAAAACUCAAUUCAUUACAAGAGAGAAGAGGGGGAGGAGAAACAUAGGAUCCAACUAUAAUAGCAAAGCUCGCGAUACAACUCGAUACUAGAACAAAGAUGACUCUAUAUGAAUGCCUCCGGUGGUGUACCGGGAGAUGCAAUGAAUCAAGAGUGACAUGUAUGAAAGAAUUAUGAACGGUGGCUUUGCCACAAAUACGAUGUCAACUACAUGAUCAUGCAAAGCAAUAUGACAAUGAUGAAUGUGUCAUGAUAAACUGGAUGGUGGAAAGUUGCAUGGCAAUAUAUCUCGAAAUGGCUAUGGAAAUGCCAUAAUAGGUAGGUAUGGUGGCUGUUUUGAGGAAGGUAUAUGGUGGGUGUAUGAUACCGGUGAAAGGUGCACGGUAUUAGAGAGGCUAGCAAAGGUGGAAGGGUGAGAGUGCGUAUAAUCCAUGGACUCAACAUUAGUCAUAAAGAACUCAUAUACUUAUUGCAAAAAUCUACAAGUUAUCAAAGCAAAGUAUUACAUGCAUGCUCCUAGGGGGAUAGAUUGGUAGGAAAAGACCAUCGCUCGUCCCCGACCGCCACUCAUAAGGAAGACAAUCAAUAAAUAGAUCAUGCUCCGACUUCAUCACAUAACGGUUCACCAUACGUGCAUGCUACGGGAAUCACAAACUUCAACACAAGUAUUUCUCAAAUUCACAACUACUCAACUAGCAUGACUCUAAUAUCACCAUCUCCAUAGUUAUGUCAUGUCAUCCUAUUUACAUAGUCUCAUAUUUUGAACUAUGUCUUUCCAUCUUUUUUAGUUAGCCAUCAUAAUGUGAAAUUGUGUCAUGCUAUCCUGUUUAGUUAGCCAUCAUAUAUGUGAAAUUGUGUCAUUCUAUCUUGUUUGGUUAGACAACAUAAAUAUGAAUUAUUGCAUGCCCUCUUUUAUUCCCCACUAUCCAUUGCACCUGUCUAUCAUACAAUGUCUAUACUUUCAAUUACUUUUCUUGUUUAUCAGCCAUUUGAAUUGGAGAGUGUGAUGGUAGUAUCUAAGGGAGUAACAAGAUGGUCUUCAGAAAAGAUAGUGCUACCAGUUGAUGCAGAUAGAACCACGGUUGUACUUGCCCAAGGACCAGAUCCACCACACAUAACCCAGACUCUCGCAGAUUGUACCCCUACCCAGUUGGACAGAGAACCAGCUACACCCCUUCUAACCCCAACCCCGGCAGAUAGUAACCCAGUUCUAGUUGACACAGCACCGUCUCCACCACAAAGCACCCAAAAACAAGCAGUUAGUAAGGGAACUGCAGUGCCCAAUGCAUGAGGGCCACCACUCCGAAUCCCAACUCAACGCUUAAAGGAGAAGAAGAUUUGUUCUCAGGCCAGGUUCUGUAGCUAUGGUUCAUACUCCUUUGCUCUUGCAUGACUGUAUUUACUCAUACCAACUAUUUUCAAAUUUGAAGGAUGGAAUUGAAACUCCAAUGGUGCAACAAGUAUGUUUUAAACCUGUUUCUUUAACUGGUUUGCUGUUGUAACAUGCUCUAUGUUGAUUUCAGUUUCAAUUGAAUAAACAUUUAUGUUCUCAUGUCAUGCACAUUAUGAGUGUUGUUAUUGCUCUAUAGUUACCCACACUUAUAUUCUGUCUAUUCUGCUUUGUCUUGAACAAAUAUUAUUUGAACCGUGUCUCUAUCUUGAUUUGGCAACAAAAACUAGAAUGAUAUAGACCAUAAAGUGACCAUGGUACAUAGAUAUAUGUUUGUUUCAUGCUGUUAUCCUGUCCACUUUACUACUGAACUCAUUUACCAAAAUGAGUUUCAUAUACAGCAUGGUAAACAUGUGAUGUGUCUGCUUGUUUCUCUUUUAGAAUGCGGACAAAAUAUUGGAGAACGGUACCGCGUUAUCCAAUGGUAAAGGAAGUAAUGCAGAUAAGGUUCAAGAUAGUGAGACAUCCCUGUUGGUCUCCAAGAAAGCUGAUAAAAACUAUCUUGACGAAAGUGAGGGAAUCCAAAAAUCUUGUCUUGAUGUAGUGUUCAAGUUACUGGCCACUACUACUGGCACAAGCUCUUCGAACUUGCUGCCUGAAUUAGUUCGUCUUCUGGAGUCUCAACUUCAAGUUCAAAGACAUCGAUCAGAUGUGCUGCGACAGAAAGCUAAAGGACUGAGGAAGUCCCUACAGAAUUCAGAUGCAUAUUUUCUGGUGCAACAACAAGCGCUGGAGGAUUUAAGUGCCAAACAAGAGAAAGUUAAUAAGCUUGCUAAGCAUCUUGCCAGCAUUAUGGGUACCCAGGAUAUUGUUUCUUGAGAUCUUCUGAAGUGGUUUCAGUUCUGGAUUUGUUUUGCUGUGGUGUUUAUUUGCGCUGGUUGCCAACUUUGACAACCAGUAUAUAUGAUAUGCUGCUUUGUUCCCUAUAUUUGCACUGGUGGCAAACUUUGAUGCCCAGUGGAUGUAUUAUGUGUAAUAGCCGUGAUAGCCUAGCGUUAGUUGCUUGCUUAUUUAUUUCCUUGUUGUCUUGUUUAUUUGUUUGCUUGUAGUCAUUGUAGUUCUUUUUCCGCGGUUAGCUAGUGGCUGUAAUAACCUAUUUUUUAAAACUAGGCCACAAUAACCAUGGGCUAAUAUUUACUGUAGUGACACUGGGCCUCCUACUGGCCGUAGAAACAAUGGGCCUUCUACGGGUCGUAGAAACAAUGGACCUUCUACGGGCCGUAUUAUCAAUGGGCCUUAUACGGGCCGUAUAAUCGAUUGGCCAAACAUGGGCCAAACAGACCGCAUUAUGGCCGUAAACAGGCUAGAGUUGGAAUCGUCCGUUCAUGGGCCGACCAUAACAGGCCAUCGUUAAUAUGCCGUAUUUGAUGACGCUAUGAAAUCGGCCCAACGUAUUAACGGACCACAAACGGGCCGACUGUAACCACGGGCUGAAUUUGGCCCCAAGGAGAAAAUGACAGUAACGGGCCGUAAGUAAACGAAUGCUGGAAAUGAGCCCAAGAAUAAAUGGGCUCUGAGAAGGCCGAAAGAUAACAUGGUUUGGAAACGGCCCAACGGAAUAACGGGCCGUUAAUGGGUAUAAAGUGAUACAUUGUUCAUUACGGGCCAGUUUCACCACGGGCCGUUAAUGGGUGUAAAGUGAUACACUGUUCAUUACGGGCCAGUUUCACCACGGGCCGUUGGUAGGCCAAGAGUUACAUAGGGCCUCAUAUGGGCUGAAAGACGUCAUGGGCCAUACAUGGGCCAGAAGUGAAAACGGGCUGGAAUCAUAUUGGAUGGCCCAGAUGACGCUACUGGGCCUAAUUCGGAUAGGGCGUAAUGGGCCUUGGGUUAGCGGGCUAUAAAUGGUCUAUAUUCGAGCAGGCCGUUAACAGGCUUUCCAUGGGUCGGCCCGCCAGCUUUUGACCAAGUCAAACGGGCCGGCCUUUUCACAGGAACGGGCCUCUGUUGGGCCGUGCCACGUGUCGACGUAUCAUAGGCGCCUUCCGUCCAAUGAGUGGUUGACAUCUGUCCCAACGAUGAGCCGACACGUGUUUCCUCCAGCCAAUGAUGAUUUUACACGUGGAAAAUCCCCAUUGGUCGGGGCUGUUAACGGGUUAUCGGAUCCAAAACCCGACCCGAUAGCUUAACGGCGUUCCGUUACGGUAGAUGCCACGUGUCCGUCACCCUUGACGAAAGCACUUCUGUGAUGCGCGAUUUAUCGUCAUGGAAGUGGACACUUCCGUGAUGAUAAUUUUGGUAAUGUCAUGGAACACUUCUACAAUAGCACAUGUAUGACUAUCUUGAUUCUGUCAUAAAUUUGUCAUGGAUGUACAUGCAUGACAAAAAAGCGACCUACUGUGACAAACACGUAUCAUCACGGAAGUGUAUUUUUUUGUAGUGCAUGAAAGAGUCGGUUUACAUCUACAAGCCUUAACCCACCUAUGGGCCUUGGGCCUUCGUAAAGCGCCACCAUCCUCAUGUCUUCAUGGGCUUCUAUCUUCAUGGAGCUAACCCGGCCACUCCUAGCCGGUUUACCUCCGGUAAUCAUAUCCCCAACAUGAUCCAAGUGAUGUUAGUUUGCCGAAUCCUGCCAUGCCAGCGCAGGUCUCGCCACAUGUGGGAGCUUAAUCCAGAAGGACCACAAACCCCUAACACUUCUUCGGCACCACACAUGAAGGGAUGUGGAAGUUAUUUUUUGGGAAGCGAAAACAUUGGUCGGAUACUACCGAGGACGCUGGCCUUAACUGCAACUGUUCAGACACCCCGGUAAGAACUUGGCUCCCGAACACUUUGUAAUUAUGUAUACCAUAAUAUGAUACUGAGCAAGCUAUCUUCUUCCAGGGCUGGACAAAGAAGGCGGAACUAAUUAUGUGUUCGGCCCCUCUGCCCGAGGGCCCAGCGAAUCCUGUUCUAACAAGGAUGUUGGCCAUGGCACCAUAUCAGAUGCCUGUGAAGGAUGGCAGAGGACCAAAGAUGGCCCCUAAUCCAAGGGUGCAUCGGACUUUGUGUCCGGAGGGAUCAAAAUCCCCUCAUCCGAAGACAAAAGUAAAGGGGGGGGGGUCCACUGUCUCCUUACCUCCUAGGAAGAAAAGGGCCGCCUCCGAAGAUUGGGAGAAACAGGCUCCUACGCGAGGCCAGAUGCCUCAGGUGGGUGGCUCGGGCUUGGAGGACGUCGAAGCGCAGCUCAUGACGAGGACAAGCCUCUGGACAAAUCGUAAGUGAACAAGGCUGUUUUAAACAUGUCCCGUUCUUUUCUUAUAAUGCCUGGGAUAUAUAUUUUUUGCAGCUCAACAUGCAGUGUUCCUCAACAAUCCUCUUCCUCGGGGGACCUUCUCCCAGAGAUGAUGGAAAGCGAGACGCCCCCACCGGCCUCUCCGUCCAAUAGGGCGGACAACUUCGAGGUGUCGUAGCGGAGGGUCUCCCCCAACCAACAAGUGGUGCAAGGGAUGAUGAAGAUGUUACCCGAAGGUGAUAGUUCGGUGGCCCAGGGUCCGGGGAACAACAAUGAGGGCCCCGAACAAUCCGGUAUACAACCGGAUACGAAUGAACGGAUCCCUUCAAAGGGUGGCCGUACUCCGACGGUAGCCUCCGAAGACCCAGAGGCACCGGAUAUCUUGACGAACAUGCUGCGGCAGGCGUCCAUCUCAGAGGAACAUCAUACCUUGAUGGGUACGGUGGUUGAAAAGGUCCUGUCCACGAAGAGCGGAUUGUACGAGGCCUUUGCGAGCCUACUAAGAGGCUUCGAGGUUUGUACUAUAAUAUGUGCAAUUGUGUUUUAUUCGCAAUAUACACCUGUGUAUAGAUAGUAGCCCCUGAGACUCGGGUUGGCUUCCCAUGGGAGGCGAACGGAGGAUCAAGAAGAAAUAUUCAAGGACUAAUCUGAUUAACUUUAACACAGUCUGCUUCCCCUCUGGCUACUUCCCAAACUACGGACCUGGCCGAGCUGCAACGGAAGCUUGAUGUGGCCGGGGAUGACAUUGCGUUAAUCAAUAUGCGUCUUGAUGAAUCGCAAGGUAUGUAUUCGGGGCAGUCCCUUCACAUACAUUGUUGUGAUAUAAGCAUGAUGCUGAAAGUUAUGUAUUGUAAUAUGCCUGGCUGCAGAUGGUGUUGCCGCCGUUGAAAUUCUUCGGGCGGAGCAGGCCCGGGCCAAGGAGCAGGCCCGAUGUAGUAAUGCGGCUGUCGAAAAGGCAUCGGCUGAGCUAAAAGCCGAAUGAGCUGCUCGGCGUCAAGACGAGGAGAAGAUAUCCACGAUGGCGCUCGAACUAAAAAAUGUUGCUAGCUGCUGUGAACUCCUUGAGAAGGAGAAUGAAGCCAAGACGGCUGAAAUUGACAAGGCCUUACGAGAGGAGAGAGAAGCGCGGUCUGAAUCCAGAGCCGCCCGUGAGGAGAUCCGGCAAGCUAGGGAGAUUGCGGCUGGUGAGCCAUUUUUGCUACAGACUAAGUUCGGCGAUCCGAACUAUGCUCAGCUUAACCAAUUGUGGAGUUCUCCAGAUGAGUUUUUAGACUUGCGAAGAGUUCUUCCGAUGCAGUGCAGUUUUACCAGGCGCGAGAGGGGUAUGCAACGGGGAAGCUUUUCUUGUCACAAUUGGGCGCGUCGAAGCUCCCCCUGUUGCUGAAUGAGCAGAUGUCCCAGUGGACCGAGUUUCAUAGGAUAUCCGGCGCCGCCAUGAAGAACGUCAUAAGCCGGUUAUGGCCAACUGAUCCUGUUCCCGAUAGCUACUUCGGCUUGGUGCAGCGGCUCGUUGACGCGGUGCCACGUAUCGACACUGUGAUGCGGUCGGUGUGCAUCGAGGGUGCACGGAUGGCCUUUGCCCGAGUCAAGACAUUCUGGAGGAAGAUGAAGGCCAUCGAUGUUGCGGUGAAGAAUCCACCCAAGGGCAAGAACCGCCACGAACCGGAGCAUUAUUUUGAAGACAUCCUUGUGGCCGCCCGCUUGAUAGAGGGUCAAUGCUCAAAAGACAUAAUGUUCGAGUGAGGUGUAUGAGAAUUGUACAAGACAAUUUUAUAGUUAAUCUAUUUUUAUAUAUUGCUCGACAGUUUCUAUUCCUCCUGUGUGGCCGUUUUAGUAUAAUCUAAAAGUUUUCCAGUCAUCGGCUUGAGCCCCCUCGUAGGAAGUACGGGGGUGUUCGGAAAAGCAUUUGAUCACUCUUGACCCAAUGUCUUGGUCCGUGAAGGAGGUGUCAAUGCGGCAAACCAGGCAACUAGACUAUAGGGCGUUAACACUUUCCCUUAGCCAUAGGAGUUUUAUGCUGGGUCUACGACAUAGCCCCUGGUAUGUAUAAGGCUUAUUCAUACAAUGCAUGUACAUAUUUGACCGGAAAGAGGUCCUUCAGGUGACACGGAGGAAUCGCUAGAGAUUCUGAUAAGUCAUCGAGUGGUUGACCAACUCUCGCCGCAUCAUGACAGUCAGUUUUUGCCUUUCUUUACUGAGGUGCUGAUCCAGGUGAACCGGCAGCACAAUCGCAGUAGUUCCCCUUUACUACCCUAGCCGAUAGAGCGGAACGUAGGAUAGCAAGCACAGGAGCCGGGUAACCCAACUAUUGACCCAAGACAUGAUUCGGAUGUGAUGCAUAUAAGGCCAAACUCGCGACGCCGAAGUACGCUGUAAAAGCUGUUCGGACUUUGUUGGCAACUCAUUUGUUCCCGUAUCGAGCCCCUGGCAAGUUAAGCCUGGGGUAUAUCUGUGAAGCAACCAUAGACGGCGUAUUCAUUUGCCGAAAGACGCGGAUGAUUAAUUCAGGUAAUGUGAAAUGGGACCUGAGCUACAUGCCAAAGAUUACUUGAUAUAUAUAAAGGCCAUGACCCCGGCUAUUUGAUAUCCCUUGGGUCGAAGGCAGAGGAAAAAGGCAUGUUACAGGCUCAAAAAAGAGUGUGGUCUACAAAAAGUUAUUUUGGACCUCCUGUCGCACGUCUGGUGCCGCCUAUCCUCGGCAAGGGGAAUCCUAGAAGGAAGUAGCCCCGUAGGUGAGUGUACGGAUCCGAACUCCGAUGGAGUCGGUCUUAGAUGUUUCUCCUUUGCGCCACCUAUUUUUAAGAGAUAAUGAAGAAAGAAAAAGGAAAGUAAAUAAAAAUGUUACCGGAGUGCUUGCAGACUUGUCCGUAUUAUGCUUCCGCCAAUUCCCAUGGUAUUUUAAGUGCGUAGUUAUGUAUGUGCGGUAUAGUUUUAAUGGGUAUAUGAGAUGGGCAACGGAAGCCGAACUGCUAUUUAUGCUUCGGAGUUGAUCGAUCUUCGGGGGGAAGUUGCUUCUGACCCCCGGCAUUUUGCUGGUGAACCACUCCGUCGUCCCUAUUGCCUGGCGGCCCCCUUCCCUUGUGUUCGACAUUGAGCUCGCCGGCCUGCUUGAGGACCCAACAACUUCUGUUGGUAUGAUUAGCUGGUUUACUGGGGUGGUCGUGAAUCUGGCAGGAUCGAUCCAGUAUCCUGUCUAGGUUGGAUGGUCCGUCUAUCUUUGCCUUGAAUGACUUUUUUUUUGUUGACCGGGCUUGGGAUUGCUGAAUUCGGCGUUGACCGCUGUGUCGCGUGAUCUUUCAUUAUCGUUGCGACUGUUGUGUUUGCUUUGUCGUGGCUUGUCAUUGCCGUCUCGGAUUUUGGAAGUGCCCGAGUCGCUGGCGCUAUUGCUUCUACGAGCGAGCCAGCUGUCUUCUCCCGUGCAAAAGCGGGUCAUUAGAGCGGUAAGGGCUGUCAUGGAUCUAGGUCCUUCUUGACUGAGGUGGCGUGCAAGCCAUUCAUCCUGGACGAUGUGUUUAAAGGCCGCAAGGGCUUCCGCGUCCGAACAGUCGACGAUUUGGUUCUUUUUAACUAAGAACCUAGUCCAGAGCUUCCUGGCUGACUCUUCGGGCUGCUAGACAAUGUGAAUUAAGUCAUCGGUGUCCGGUGGCCGGACAUAUGUUCCUUGUAAGUUGUCGCGAAAGGCAUCCACCAAAUCUUCCCAGCUGCCAAUAGAAUUUUCCGGUAGACUGUUUAACCAGUACUGAGCUGGUCCUUAGAGUUUUAGUGGUAGGUAUUUGAUGGCAUGAAGGUCGUCUCUGUGGUCCAUGUGGAUGUGGAGGAGGAAGUCCUCGAUCCAUACCGUGGGAUCCGUUAUUCUAUCGUAUGAUUCGAAAUUUAUAGGUUUGAACCCGUCUGGGAAUUCAUGCUCCAUUACUUCGUCUGUGAAGCAAAGAGGGUGUGCGGCGCCUCUAUGUUGGGCCACACUGCGACGUACCUCCGAUGGAGUCCAUUGAUACGUCUCCAACAUAUUUAUAAUUUUUGAUUUCUCCAUGCUAUAUUAUCUACUGUUUUGAAUGUUUAUGGGCUUUAUUAUACACUUUUAUACCAUUUUUGGGACUAACCUAUUAACCCAGAGCCUAGUGCUAGUUUCUGUUUUUACCCUGUUUUAGGGUUUCGAAGAAAAGGAAAAUCAAACGGAGUCCAAUUGACCUGAAACUUCACGGAACUCAUUUUUGGAAGGAAAGAAGCCCAGAAGACUUGGAUUGCACGUCGGGGGCUCUACGAGGAGGCCACGAGGCAGGGGGCACGCCCUCCACCCUCGUGAGCCCCCCGUGGCCCCCCUGACGUACUUCUUCCGCCUAUAUAUCUCCAUAUACCCUAAAAACAUCUGGGAGCAAAAUAGAUCGGGAGUUCCGCCGCCAGAAGCCUCCGUAGCCACCAAAAGCCAAUCUAGACCCGUUCCGGCACCCUGCCGGAGGGGGUAAUCCUUCUCCGGUGGCCAUCUUCAUCAUCCCGCUGCUCUCCAUGACGAGGAGGGAGUAGUUCUCCCUCGGGACUGAGGGUAUGUACCAGUAGCUAUGUGUUUGAUCUCUCUCUCUCUCUCGUGUUCUUGAUUUGGCACGAUCUUGAUGUAUCGCGAGCUUUGCUAUUAUAGUUGGAUCUUAUGUUUCUCCUCCCCCUCUACUCUCUUGUAAUGAAUUGAGUUUCCCCUUUGGAGUUAUCUUAUCAGAUUGAGUCUUUAAAGAUUUGAGAACACUUGAUGUAUGUCUUGCCGUGCGUAUCUGUGGUGACAAUGGGAUGCCACAUGAUUCACUUGAUGUAUGUUUUGGUGAUCAACUUGCGGGUUCCGCCCAUGAACCUAUGCAUAGGGGUUGGCACAUGUUUUCGUCGUGAUUCUCCGGUAGAAACUUUGGGGCACUCUUUGAGGUCCUUUGUGUUGGUUGAAUAGAUGAAUCUGAGAUUGUGUGACGCAUAUCGUAUAAUCAUACCCACGGAUACUUGAGGUGACAUUGGAGUAUCUAGGUGACAUUAGGGUUUUGGUUGAUUUGUAUCUUAAGGUGUUAUUCUAGUACGAACUCUAGGGCUGUUUGUGACAGUUAUAGGAAUAGCCCAACGGAUUGAUUGGAAAGAAUAACUUUGAGGUGGUUUCGUACCCUACCAUAAUCUCUUCGUUCGUUCUCCGCUAUUAGUGACUUUGGAGUGACUCUUUGUUGCAUGUUGAGGGAUAGUUAUGUGAUCCAAUUAUGUUAGUAUUGUUGAGGGAACUUACACUAGCGAAAGUAUGAACCCAAGGCCCUAUUUCCUAUCAUUGCAAUACCGUUUACGCUCACUUUUAUCACUUGUUACCUUGCUGUUUUUAUUAUUUCAGAUUACAAAUACCUUUAUCUACUAUCCAUAUACCACUUGUUUCACCAUCUCUUCGCCGAACUAGUGCACCUAUACAAUUUACCAUUGUAUUGGGUGUGUUGGGGACACAAGAGACUCUUUGUUAUUUGGUUGCAGGGUUGCUUGAGAGAGACUGUCUUCAUCCUACGCCUCCUACGGAUUGAUAAACCUUAGGUCAUCCACUUGAGGAAAUUUGCUGGUGUCCUACAAACCUCUGCACUUGGAGGCCCAACAACGUCUACAAGAAGAAGGUUGUGUAGUAGACAUCAAGCUCUUUUUUGGCGCCAUUGUCGGGGAGGUGAGUGCUUGAAUGUAUAUCUUUAGAUCUUGCAACCGAGUCUUUUAAUUUGUUGUUUUAGCACUAGUUUAGUUUAUAAAAGAAAACUAUAAAAAAUGGAAUUGAGUUUAUCUCAUACGGUUCACCUUUUUAAUAUCUUUGGUGAGUAUGAUGGAAAGGAUAAUUGUGCUCAAGUGCUAGGAGAAGAAAUCUAUAAAAUGUUUGGCAUUAAAUAUUUGAAUGAUGAGCAUGAUUGCAAUGUUGUUAGUAUGAAUUCCUUGAAUAUCCAUGAUGCUAAUGAUAUGCAAAGCCACAAGCUUGGGGAUGCUACGUUUGAUGAAGAUGAUAUUUUUAGUCCCCCAAGUUUUGAUGUGCAAAUUUAUUAUGAUGAGAGCAUGCCCGCUAUAUAUGAUGAUUAUUGUGAUGACUUGUAUGCUAUAAAGAAUAAUGAUAUCCAUGAAACUUGUCAUCAUGAUUUUAACUUUCAAUUGGAUUAUGCCUCACAUGAUAGUUAUUUUGUUGAGUUUGCUCCCACUAUUAUUCAUGAGAAGAAUUUUGCUUGUGUGGAGAGUAAUAAAAUUUCUAUGCUUAUAGAUCAUGAAAAUAAUGCUUUAGGUGCUGGUUAUAUUGUUGAAUUCAUUCAUGAUUCUACUGAAAAUUAUUAUGAGGGAGGAAUAUAUGCUUGUAGGAAUUGCAAUAAUAUCAAGUUUCCUCUCUAUGUGCUUAAAAUUUCGAAGUUAUGCUUGUUCUACCUUCCUAUGCAAGUUGAUUCUUGCUCCCACAAGUUGUUUGCUCACAAAAUCCCUAUGCAUAGGAAGAGGGUUAGACUUAAAUGUGCUAGUCAUAUUCUUCAUGAUGCUCUCUUUAUGUUUCAAUUCUUAUCUUUUAUGUGAGCAUCAUUGAAAUCAUCAUGCCUAGCUAGGGGCGUUAAACGAUAGCACUUGUUGGGAGGCAACCCAAUUUUAUUUUUGUUCCUUGAUUUUUGCUCCUGUUUAGUAAUAAAUAAUUCAUCUAGGCUCUGUUUAGAUGUGGUUUUAUGCUUUUAAUUAGUGUUUGUGCCAAGUAGAACCUUUGGGAAGACUUGGGUGAAGUCUUUAUGAUCAUGCUGUAAAAAACAGAAACUUUAGCGCUCACGAGAAUUGCUGCCAUUUUUAUUAGGAGAGUUCUAUUUAGUUAAUUCUUUUUGCAGAUGAUUAAUAGAUAAAUGCCUCAGGUCCAGAAAUUUAUUUGAGAAUUUUAUGAGUUCCAGAAGUAUACGUUUGAUCCAGAUUACUACAGACUGUUCUGUUUUUGACAGAUUCUGUUUUUCAUGUGUUGUUUACUUAUUUUGAUGAAUAUAUGGCUAGUAAAAUAGUUUAUAAACCAUAGAGAAGUUGGAAUACAGUAGGUUUAACACCAAUAUAAAUAAAGAAUUAGUUCAUUACAGUACCUUGAAGUGGUGAUUUAUUUUCUUAUACUAACGGAGCUUACGAGUUUUCUGUUAAGUUUUGUGUUGUGAAGUUUUCAAGUUUUGGGUAAGGAUUCGAUGGACUAUGGAACAAGGAGUGGCAAGAGCCUAAGCUUGGGGAUGCCCAAGGCACCCCAAGGUAAUAUUCAAGGAUAGCCAAGAUCCUAAGCUUGGGGAUGCCCCGGAAGGCAUCCCCUCUUUCGUCUUCGUUCAUCAGUAACUUUACUUGGAGCUAUAUUUUUAUUCACCACAUGAUAUGUGUUUUGCUUGGAGCAUCAAUUUAUUUUGUUAGGAUUUGCUUGCUGUUAUUUAGAACAAUGUUUUGCAUCUUUUAUUUCAAUAAAAGUGGCAUUGGUAGCCUUUACUAUGCCUAUUUUAGAAGUCCACAUGUUGCUGUUUGAAAACGGAAAGUUUACCGCUGUUGCAAUAAUUCCCUAGAAAAGUCAGAAUGUGAUAAAAUGUUGAAACCUUUUGAAUAUUAAGAUCUGAUAAAUUUACUACAGUGGGAAUUUUCUUUCAUAAUUUUUGGAGCUAGGGAAGUAUGGAUGUUGCUGCAUUCUUUACAGACUGUCCUGUUUAGGCAGAUUGCUGUUAUGUUUGCAUUGUUUGCAUAUGUUUGCUUCUUUAAUGAUUCUAUUUGAGGAUAAGACUAUUAAAUAUGCAGAGGCAUUUAGUAUGCAAUGUUGAAUAAUAAUUUUAGUGAUUUUCUACAGUAGAGUAUGAUAAGGUUUUGGCAAUGGUUUAUACUAACUUAUCUCACGAGUCCUUGUUGAGUUUUGUGUGGAUGAAGCUUUUGAGAUUUAGGGAGACCGUGAUAUGAGAGGAAUUAAGGAGACACAAAAGCUCAAGCUUGGGGAUGCCCAAGUCAUCCCAAUAUAAUAUUUCAAGAAGUCUCAAGCAUCUAAGCUUGGGGAUGCCCCGGUUGGCAUCCCACCUUUCUUCUUGAACAACUAUCGGUUAGUUUCGGUUGAUCCUAAGUUUUUGCUUCUUCACAUGAUGUUUGCCAUUCUUAGAAUGUCAUUUUAUUUUGCUUUGUUUGCUGUUUGAAUAAAAUACCAAGAUCUUAAAUUCUUAAAUGUUAGAGAGUCUUCAUAUAGUUGCAUAAUUAUUCGACUACUCAUUGAUCUUCACUUAUAUCUUUCGGAGUAGUUUGUUGUUUGCUCUAGUACUUCACUUAUAUCUUUUAGAGCACGGUGGUGGUUUUAUUUUUUAGAAAUAGAUGAAGUCUCAUGCUUCACUUAUAUUAUUUUGAGAGUCUUAAAUAGCAUGGUAAUGUGCUUAAUCCUAAUAUGUUAGGUAUUCAAGAGUAGUAAAAACUUUCUUAUGAGUGUAUUGAAUACUAAGAGAAGUUUGAUGCUUGAUGAUUGUUUUGAGAUAUGGAGGUAAUAAUAUCAAAGUCGUGCUAGUUGAGUAGUUGUGAAUUUGAGAAGUGCUUGUGUUGAAGUUUGCAAGUCCCGUAGCAUGCACGUAUGGUAAAUGUUAUGUAACAAAUUUGAAACAUGAGGUGUUAUUUGAUUGUCCUCCUUAUGAGUGGCGGUCGGGGACGAGCGAUGGUCUUUUCCUACCAAUCUAUCCCCCUAGGAGCAUGCACUUAGUGCCGAAGUUUUUGAUGACUUGUAGAUUUUUGCAAUAAGUAUGUGAGUUCUUUAUGACUAAUGUUGAGUCCAUGGAUUAUACGCACUCUCACCCUUCCAUCCUUGCUAGCCUCUUCGGUACCGUGCAUUGCCCUUUCUCACAUUGAGAGUUGGUGCAAACUUCGCCAGUGCAUCCAAACCCCGUGAUAUGAUCCGCUCUUUCACACAUAAACCUCCUUAUAACUUCCUCAAAACAGCCACCAUACCUACCUAUUAUGGCAUUUCCAUAGCCAUUCCGAUAUAUAUUGCCAUGCAACUUUCCACCAUUCCGUUUAUUAUGACACGCAUCAUCAUUGGCAUAUUGCUUAGCAUGAUCAUGUAGUUGACACAGUAUUUAUGGCAAAGCCACCGUUCAUAAUUCUUUCAUACAUGUCACUCAUGCAUCAUUGCAUAUCCCGGUACACCGCCAGAGGCAUUCAUAUAGAGUCAUCUUUGUUCUAGUAUCGAGUUGUAAUCAUUGAGUUGUAAAAAAAUAGAAGUGUGAUGAUCAUCAUUAUUAGAGCAUUGUCCCAAGUGAGGAAUAAAAAAAGAGAAAGGCCAUAAAAAAAGAGAAGCCCCCCCCCCAAAAAAAAGGAGAGGCCAUAAAAAAAGAAAAUGCCCCAAAAAAUGAGAGAAAAAGAGAGAAGGGACAAUGUUACUAUCCUUUUACCACACUUGUGCUUCAAAGUAGCACCAUGAUCUUCAUAGUAGAGAGUCUCUCAUGUUAUCACUUUCAUAUACUAGUGGGAAUUUUUCAUUAUAGAACUUGGCUUGUAUAUUCCAACAAUGGGCCUCCUCAAGUGCCCUAGGUCUUCGUGAGCAAGCAAGUUGGAUGCACACCCACUAGUUUCUUUUGUUGAGCUUUCAUACAUUUAUAGCUCUAGUGCAUCCGUUGCAUGGCAAUCCCUACUCCUUGCAUUAACAUCAAUCGGUGGGCAUCUCCAUAGCCCAUUGAUUAGCCUUGUUGAUGUGAGACAUUCUCCUUUUUUGUCUUCUCCACAUAACCCCCUCAUUAUAUUCUAUUCCACCCAUAGUGCUAUGUCCAUGGCUCACGCUCAUAUAUUGCGUGAAAGUUUAUAGGUUUGAGAUUACUAAAGUAUUAAACAAUUGCUUGGCUUGUCAUCGGGGUUGUGCAUGAUGAGAGCAUUCUUGUGUGACGAAAAUGAAACAUGACUAAACUAUAUGAUUUUGUAGGGAUGAACUUUCUUUGGCCAUGUUAUUUUCAGAAGACAUAAUUGCUUAGUUAGUAUGCUUGAAGUAUUAUCAUUUUUAUGUCAAUAUGAACUUUUGUCUUGAAUCUUUCAGAUCUGAAUAUUCAUACCACAAUUAAGAAGAAUUACAUUGAAAUUAUGCCAACUAGCAUUCCACAUCAAAAAUUCUGUUUUUAUCAUUUACCUACUCGAGGACGAGCAGGAAUUAAGCUUGGGGAUGCUGAUACGUCUCCAACGUAUCUAUAAUUUUUGAUUGCUCCAUGCUAUAUUAUCUACUAUUUUGAAUGUUUAUGGGCUUUAUUAUACACUUUUAUAUCAUUUUUGGGACUAACCUAUUAACCCAGAGCCCAGUGCCAGUUUCUGUUUUUACCUUGUUUUAGGGUUUCGAAGAAAAGGAAAAUCAAACGGAGCCCAAUUGACCUGAAACUUCACGGAACUCAUUUUUGGAAGGAAAGAAGCCCAGAAGACUUGGAGUGCAUGUCGUGGGCUCUACGAGGAGGCUACGAGGCAGGGGGUGCGCCCACCCCCCUGGGCGCGCCCUCCACCCUCGUGAGCCCCUCGUGGCCCCCCUGACGUACUUCUUCCGCCUAUAUAUCUUCAUAUACCCUAAAAACAUCCGGGAGCAAAAAAGAUCGGGAGUUACGCCGCCAGAAGCCUCCGUAGCCACCAAAAGCCAAUCUAGAACUGUUUCGGCACCCUGCCGGAGGGGGCAAUCCUUCUCCGGUGGCCAUCUUCAUCAUCCUGGUGCUCUCCAUGACGAGGAGGGAGUAGUUCUCCCUCGGGGCUGAGGGUAUGUACCAGUAGCUAGUAUGUGUUUGAUCUCUCUCUCUCUCUCUCUCUCUCUCUCUCUCUCUCGUGUUCUUUAUUUGGCACGAUCUUGAUGUAUCGCAAGCUUUGCUAUUAUAGUUGGAUCUUAUGUUUCUCCUGCCUCUCUAAUCUCUUGUAAUGAAUUGAGUUUCCCCUUUGGAGUUAUCUUAUCGGAUUGAGUCUUUAAAGAUUUGACAACACUUGAUGUAUGUCUUGCCAUGCGUAUCUGUGGUGACAAUGGGAUGCCACGUGAUUCACUUGAUGUAUGUUUUGGUGAUCAACUUGCGGGUUCCGCCCAUGAACCUAUGCAUAGGGGUUGGCACACGUUUUCGUCGUGAUUCUCCGGUAGAAACUUUGGGGCACUCUUUGAGGUCCUUUGUGUUGGUUGAAUAGAUGAAUCUGAGAUUGUGUGACGCAUAUCGUAUAAUCAUACCCACGGAUACUUGAGGUGACAUUGGAGUAUCUAGGUGACAUUAGGGUUUUGGUUGAUUUGUAUCUUAAGGUGUUAUUCUAGUACGAACUCUAGGGCUAUUUGUGACAGUUAUAGGAAUAGCCCAACGGAUUGAUUGGAAAGAAUAACUUUGAGGUGGUUUCGUACCCUACCAUAAUCUCUUCGUUCGUUCUCCGCUAUUAGUGACUUUGGAGUGACUCUUUGUUGCAUGUUGAGGGAUAGUUAUGUGAUCCAAUUAUGUUAGUAUUGUUGAGGGAACUUACACUAGCGAAAGUAUGAACCCAAGGCCCUAUUUCCUAUCAUUGCAAUACCAUUUACGCUCACUUUUAUCACUUGUUACCUUGCUGUUUUUAUUAUUUCAUAUUACAAAUACCUUUAUCUACUAUCCAUAUACCACUUCUUUCACCAUCUCUUCGCCGAACUAGUGCACCUAUACAAUUUACCAUUGUAUUGGGUGUGUUGGGGACACAAGAGACUCUUUGUUAUUUGGUUGCAGGGUUGCUUGAUAGAGACCAUCUUCAUCGUACGCCUCCUACAGAUUGAUAAACCUUAGGUCAUCCUGUCGGUGUCAAAACCGGCGGAUCUCGGAUAGGGGGUCCUGAACUGUGCAUCUAAGGCGGAUGGUAACAGAAGGCAGGGAACAUGAUGUUUUACCCAGGUUCGGGCCCUCUUGAUGGAUGUGAAACCCUACGUCAUGCUUGAUUAAUAUUGAUGAUAUGGGUAGUACAAGAGUAGAUCUACCACGAGAUCAGAGAGGCUAAACCCUAGAAGCUAGCCUAUGGUAUGAUUCUAUGUAUAUUGUCUAUCGACUAGCCUGGCCUCGGUUUAUAUAAUGCACUAGAGGCCUAGGAUAACAAGAGUCCUAGACGAAUACGCCGAUGGGGAGGAGUCCUUGUCUUGAUCGCCAAGUCUUGUGGAAUCUUCCUUGUAUGCGGCAGCUGUCCGAACUGGCCCAUGAGUAUACGACCAUGGGGGUCCUCGGCCCAAUCUAACAGAUCGGGAGAUGACGUGGUGAGUACCCCUGAAAGUGCUAGUGAUCGACUAGAGGGGGGGUGGUGAAUAGGCGAUUUUUAUGAAAGUCUUCAAAACAUGAAAGUUUUGAAAACAAACGAUAGAAAUAAACCUAUUACCAUGCAGCAGAAGGUAGACUACACUAGGCAAACCAUAGUCAAGUAUUCAAUGGAGUGAAAGCACAAUGACUAAUAGCAGCUAGGCAUUAAAGAUCAGGUAGGAAGAUAUUGUGAAGCCAAUCAGAACAAGCAGUCACUCAGUGAAGACAAAAGAUAAAGCAAUCAUACAAUGACUUCACAAGGAUCAACAGUAAGUAAAGGGAAGGGAAGGAUGAAACCAGUGACUCGUUGAAGACAAUGAUUUGUUGGACCAGUUCCAGUUGCUGUGACAACUGUACGUCUGGUUAGGGAGGCUGAGAUUCAACUCAGAAGACCUCGUCUUCACCUUAUUCCCCUUGAGCUAAGGACACCCAGUCCUCGCCCAAUCACUCUGGUAAGUCUUCAAGGUAGACUUCCAAACCUUCACAGACUUCGUUCACCGGCGAUCCACAAUGAAUCUUGGAUGCUCAGAACGCGACGCCUAACCGGCUGGAGGAUUCACAGUCCUCAAGUGUAAUAAGUCUUCAGAUCACACAGACAGGAAGACUUAAGUGAUGCCUAACACUCUUUGGCUCUGGGUGUUUAGGGAUUUAUCCUCGCAAGGAAUUCUCUCUCAAAGGCUUCGAGGUGGGUUGCUCUCAAACGACAAAAGCCGUGCACUAACUCUGAGCAGCCAACCGUUUAUGGUUGUAGGGGGUGGGUGUUGGGUAACGUAGUAAUUUCAAAAAAAUUCCUACGCACACACAAGAUCAUGGUGAUGCAUAGCAACGAGAGGGGAGAGUGUUGUCUACGUACCCUCGUAGACCGAAGCGGAAGCGUUGAUGCAACGUAGAGGAAGUACUCGCACGUCUUCCCGGUCCAACCGAUCCAAGCACCGUUACUCCGGUACCUCCGAGUUCUUGGCACAUGUUCAGCUCGAUGACGCUCCCCGGGCUCCGAUCCAGCAAAGCUUCGGGGAGGAGUCCCGUCAGCACGACGACGUGGUGACGAUCUUGAUGUUCAACCGUCGCAGGGCUUCGCCUAAGCACUGCUACAAUAUGACCGAGGUGGAAUAUGGUGGAGGGGGCACCGCACACGGCUAAGGAAUGAUCACGAAGAUCAACUUGUGUGUCUAUGGGGUGCCCCCUGCCCCCGUAUAUAAAGGAGUGGAGGAGGGGAGGGCCGGCCCUCUCUAUGGCGCGCCCUAGGGGAGUCCUACUCCCACCGGGAGUAGGAUUCCCCCUUUCCUAGUCCAACUAGGAGUCCUUCCAUGUAGUAGGAGUAGGAGACAAGGAAGGGGAAGGGAGAAGGGAAGGAAGGAGGGGGCGCAGCCCCUCCCCCUAGUCCAAUUCGGACUAGGCCUUGGGGGGGAGCGCGGCCUGCCCUAGGCAGCCCCUCUCUCUUUCCCGUAUGGCCCAAUAAGGCCCAAUACUUCUCCCCCUGUAUUCCCGUAACUCCCCGGUACUCCGAAAAAUACACGAGUCACUCGGAACCUUUCCGAUGUCCGAAUAUAGUCGUCCAAUAUAUCGAUCUUUAUGUCUCGACCAUUUCGAGACUCCUCGUCAUGUCGCCGAUCUCAUCCGGGACUCCAAACUCCUUCGGUACAUCAAAACUCAUAAACUCAUAAUAUAACUGUCAUCGAAACCUUAAGCGUGCGGACCCUACGGUUCGAGAACGAUGUAGACAUGACCGAGACAUGUCUCCGGUCAAUAACCAAUAGCGGGACCUGGAUGCCCAUAUUGGCUCCUAUAUAUUCUAUGAAGAUCUUUAUCGGUCAGACCACAUAACAACAUGCGUUGUUCCCUUUGUCAUCGGUAUGUUACUUGCCUGAGAUUCGAUCGUCGGUAUCCAAUACCUAGUUCAAUCUCGUUACCGGCAAGUCUCUUUACUCGUUCCGUAAUACAUCAUCCCGCAACUAACUCAUUAGUUGCAAUGCUUGCAAGGCUUAAGUGAUGUGCAUUACCGAGAGGGCCCAGAGAUACCUCUCCGACAUUCAGAGUGACAAAUCCUAAUCUCGAAAUACGCCAACCCAACAUGUACCUUUGGAGACACCUGUAGAGCUCCUUUAUAAUCACCCACUUACAUUGUGACGUUUGGUAGCACACAAAGUGUUCCUCCGGCAAACGGGAGUUGCAUAAUCUCAUAGUCAUAGGAACAUGUAUAAGUCAUGAAGAAAGCAAUAGCAACAUACUAAACGAUCGGGUGCUAAGCUAAUGGAAUGGGUCAUGUCAAUCAGAUCAUUCAACUAAUGAUGUGAUCCCGUUAAUCAAAUAACAACUCUUUGUCCAUGUUUAGGAAACAUAACCAUCUUUGAUUAACGAGCUAGUCAAGUAGAGGCAUACUAGUGACACUCUGUUUGUCUAUGUAUUCACACAUGUAUUAUGUUUCCGGUUAAUACAAUUCUAGCAUGAAUAAUAAACAUUUAUCAUGAUAUAAGGAAAUAAAUAAUAACUUUAUUAUUGCCUCUACGGCAUAUUUCCUUCAGUCUCCCACUUGCACUAGAGUCAAUAACCUAGUUCACAUCGCUAUGUGAUUAACACCAAUAGUUCACAUCUUUAUGUGAUUGGUUCACAUCUCCAUGUGACUAACACCCAAAGGGUUUACUAGAUUCAAUAAUCUAGUUCACAUCGCUAUGUGAUUAACACCCAAAGAGUGAUCAUGUUUUGCUUGUGAGAGAAAUUUAGUCAACGGGCCUGCCAAAUUCAGAUCCGUAUGUAUUUUGCAAAAUUCUAUGUCUACAAUGCUCUGCACGGAGCUACUCUAGCUAAUUGCUCCCACUUUCAAUAUGUAUCCAGAUUGAGACUUAGAAUCAUCUGGAUCAGUGUCAAAAACUUGCAUCGACGUAACCUUUUACGGCGAACCUUUUUGUCACGUCCAUAAUCGAGAAACAUAUCCUUAUUUCACUAAGGAUAAUUCUGACCUUGUCCAGUGAUCUACUCCUAGAUCACUAUUGUACUCCCUUGCCAAAUCAGUGCAGGGUAUACAAUAGAUCUGGUACACAACAUGACAUACUUUAUAGAACCUAUGGCCAAGGCAUAGGGAAUGACUUUCAUUCUCUUUCUAUCUUCUGCCGUGGUCGGGCUUUGAGUCUUACUCAACUUCACACCUUGUAAUACAGGCAAGAACUCUUUCUUUGACUGCUCCAUUUUGAACUACUUCAAAAUCUUGUCAAGGUAUGUACUCAUUGAAAAUUUUUAUCAAGCGUCUUGAUCUAUCUCUAUAGAUCUUGAAGCUCAAUAUGUAAGAAGCUUCACCGAAGUCUUUCUUUGAAAAACUCCUUUCAAACACUGCUUUAUGCUUUACAGAAUAAUUCUACAUUAUUUCCGAUCAACAAUAUGUCAUUCACAUAUACUUAUCAGAAAUGUUGUAGUGCUCCCACUCACUUUCUUGUAAAUACAGGCUUCACCGCAAGUCUGUAUAAAACUAUAUGCUUUGAUCAACUCAUCAAAGCGUAUAUUCCAACUCCGAGAUGCUUGCACCAGUCCACAGAUGGAUCGCUGGAGCUUGCACAUUUUGUUAACACCUUUAGGAUUGACAAAAACUUCUGGUUGUAUCAUAUACAACUCUUCUUUAAGAAAUCCAUUAAGGAUUGUAGUUUUGUUAUCCAUUUUCCAGAUUUCAUAAAAUGCUGCAAUUGCUAACAUGAUUCGGACAGAUUUAAGCAUAGAUACGAGUGAGAAACUCUCAUCGUAGUCAACACCUUGAACUUGUCGAAAACCUUUUGCGACAAUUCUAGCUUUGUAGAUAGUAACACUACUAUCAGCGUCCGUCUUCCUCUUGAAGAUCCAUUUAUUUUUUAUGGCUUGCCGAUCAUCGGGCAAGUCAACCAAAGUCCAUACUUUGUUCUCAUACAUGGAUCCCAUCUCAGAUUUCAUGGCCUCAAGCCAUUUUGCAGAAUCUGGGCUCAUCAUCGCUUCCUCAUAGUUCGUAGGUUCGUCAUGGUCAAGUAACAUGACCUCCAGAAUAGGAUUACCGUACCACUCUGGUGCGGAUCUCACUCUGGUUUACCUACGAGAUUCGGUAGUAACUUGAUCUGAAGUUACAUGAUCAUCAUCAUUAGCUUCCUCACUAAUUGGUCUAGUAGUCACAGGAACAGAUUUCUGUGAUGAACUAUUUCCAAUAAGGGAGAAGGUACAAUUACCUUAUCAAGUUUUCUACUUUCCUCCCACUCACUUCUUUCGAGAGAAACUCCUUCUCUAGAAAGGAUCCAUUCUUAGCAAUGAAUGUCUUGCCUUCGGAUCUGUGAUAGAAGCUGUACCCAACUGUCUCCUUUGGGUAUCCUAUGAAGACAUAUUUCUCUGAUUUGAGUUUGAGCUUAUCGAGAUGAAAUUUUUUCACAUAAGCAUCGCAACUCCAAACUUUAAGAAAUGACAGCUUAGGUUUCUUGCCAAACCAUAAUUCACACGGUGUUGUCUCAACGGAUUUAGAUGGUGCCCUAUUUAACGUGAAUGCAGUUGUCUCUAAUGCAUAACCCCAAAACGAUAGUGGUAGAUCGGUAAGAGACAUCAUAGAUCGCACUAUAUCUAAUAAAGUACGGUUAUGACGUUCGGUCACACCAUUACACUAUGGUGUUCCAGGUGGCGUGAGUAGUGAAACUAUUUCACAUUGUUUUAAUUGAAGGCCAAACUCGUAACUCAAAUAUUUUACCUCUGCGAUCAUAUCGUAGAAACUUUUAUUUUCUUGUCACGAUGAUUUUCCACUUCACUCUGAAAUUCUUUGAACUGUUCAAAUGUUUCAGACUUAUGUUUCAUCAAGUAGAUAUCCCCAUAUCUGCUCAAAUCAUCUGUGAAGGUCAGAAAAUAAUGAUACCUGAUGCAAGCCUUAAUAUUCAUCGAACCACAUACAUCAGUAUGUAUGAUUUCCAACAAAUCUGUUUGCUUGCUUUAUUGUUCCGGAGAAUGGCGUUUUAGUCAUCUUGCCCAUAAGGCAUGGUCCGCAAGCAUCAAGUGAUUCGUAAUCAAGUGAUUCCAAAAGCCCAUCAGCAUGGAGUUUCUUCAUGCGCUUUACACCAAUAUGACUUAAAUGGCAGUGCCACAAAUAAGUUGCACUAUCAUUAUUAACUUUGCAUCUUUUGGUUUCAAUAUUAUGAAUAUGUGUAUCACUACGAUCAAGAUCCAACGAACUUGUUUCAUUGGGUGUAUGACCAUCGAAGGUUUUAUUCAUGUAAACAGAACAACAAUUAUUCUCUGACUUUAAUGAAUAACUGUAUUGCAAUAAACAUGAUCAAAUCAUAUUCAUGCUCAACGCAAAAACCAAAUAACACUUAUUUAGGUUCAACACUAAUCCCGAAAGUAUAGGGGAGUGUGUGAUGAUGAUCAUAUCAAUCUUGGAACUACUUCCAACACACAUCGUCACUUCACCCUUAACUAGUCUCUGUUUAUUCUGCAACUCCUGUUUCGAGUUACUACUCUUAGCAACUGAUCCAGUAUCAAAUACUGAGGGGUUGCUAUAAACACUAGUAAAGUACACAUCAAUAACAUGUAUAUCAAAUAUACUUUUGUUCACUUUGCCAUCCUUCUUAUCCGCCAAAUACUUGGGACAGUUCUGCUUCCAGUGACCAGUCCCUUUGCAGUAGAAGCACUUAGUCUCAGGCUUAGGACCAGACCUGGGCUUCUUCACUUGAGCAGCAACUUGCUUGCUGUUCUUCUUGAAAUUCCCCCUUUUCUCUUUGCCCUUUUCUUGAAACUAGUGAUCUUGUCAACCAUCAACACUUGAUGCUCUUUCUUGAUUUCUACCUUCAUUGAUUUCAUCAUCAUGAAAAGCUCGGGAGUCGUUUUCGUCAUCCUUUGCAUACUAUAGUUCAUCACGAAGUUCUACUAACUUGGUGAUGGUGACUAGAGAAUUUUUUCAAUCACUAUCUUAUCUGGAAGAUUAACUCCCACUUGAUUCAAGCGAUUGUAGUACCCAGACAAUCUGAGCACAUGCUCACUGCUUGAGCGAUUCUCCUCCAUCUUGUAGCUAUAGAACUUGUUGGAGACUUUAUAUCUCUCAACUCGGGUAUUUGCUUGAAAUAUUAACUUCAGUGUCAGCAUCAUCAUCAGAAUGAUCCACUUUGGCACCUAGAACAGAAAUGUGAGUAAUGAGGCCAUCCAGGUUGUAGAACGGACCGAUGGCAUUGGGUUCUGCAUCACGUGUGCCGUCAGCAUGGGGAGCAGAGGGACCAGGGUUGAAGUCUAAUCCCAAAGACUUCUUGUUCUGCUUCGCUGAGUUCUUGGCAAACUGGAAGUUGCGCUUGAACAGAUUGUCGUCACGGCACCAUAGUAGUGAUGAUGGGUGUGCAUCUGCAGGCUGUGGCCCACGGACCAUGCAAGGAUAGAAACCUUGUUCAAUGGCUUCAUCUCUGGACCUGGGUUGAAGAUUUUUGUAUAGGAUGUCUCCCCAAGGUCGCUUGAUGGCAUUUUUCUCAGCAUAUUCCUGGGUCACAAACCGGUAUUUGAACCAUUGUUCUGCCCAAUAUCUUCGAAUCCACUGGAUUCGGGUCUUGCGCUGAUUAUAAUCCUCUUCAGGAUCUGUCUUGUAAAGUUCUGAGAGGUCAUCAGGCAGAUCUCUUGAUGUUCCGCCACGACGCUGUCUGCCUCCCUUCCUUGCAGAUUUCUCUGAAGCCAUGAACUUUAAACUGAAAGGCUUCAAUAUGUUCAAAGGCUUCAAAGGUUUUCGCUUGCUGGACAAACAGGAACUAGCUUCGGGAGAAUUUAUAUGAUGUUGUAAGAAUUCUGCAAAUGAAUGCAAACUAUGAGAACCAAGGGAUUCUCCCACGGACAUGUACCUAUGACAGCAUUAAGGUGCGAGGGAAGGGGAAGAGGUCAUAUGCAUUCUCAGAAGAUUGUGAAGAUAAAUCAGUUUAGAAGACAUUUACCUCAUCAUGCGAAGACAUUCACUCAUAGAUAAGGAGUUGGUUCCAGAUUUGUACGAAUCCAGAGAUCAGUACAAGUGAGGAAUCUAACUACUUUGUGAAGCAUAAGUGAAUAUACUAGGCAUGUUAUGAGAUGCACUAUGAAAGAGAUCCAACUUGUGUGAAUAGAAACUGCUUGUGGUAGAAAGUGACAAAGCUAUAGGAUCAAAGGGGCCGUAAAAAGGAAGUUUUAUUUACCACACGAGGAACUGCUAGACGGAGUGGAAGAGGAGGCCGAGCAGUUCGAUCGUCCGUGCCCUAACUUGGCGACGGAAGACACCUACGGCGACGGCGGAGAGGACGAUGUCCGCGGUCGGCGUGAAGACGGUGUCGGAGAGGUUGCGGCGGCGAAGCGCUUCAUCGCCGGCAUCGUCGAGAGCUAGCGGUGGCGCUAGGGUUCGUGCUAGAGUGGAAGAAGAGAUAAUGACUGUGGUGAGGCGUGUAUUUAUAGGGAUAGGGGCGGCACAACGUUAUUACAUAGGUGCCCCUGGCGAUUCACAUCCGAGGAACAUGUGGUCAUCAUGCAGCAUAUCGGAGGUUGUUCCACGUCCCACGCACGCCUGGAUUGUCGGGUGGUCGUUCCCACUUCUCCGGGUUUCAGGUGAAGGAAUGAGCAUUGAAAACGGACUUAAUUUUUGUCUCUGUAUCUUCUGCUGACAAGGACGCAGAGAAGACAUUCGACAGUUUCAAUAGAAUUCAUAUGAUUUGGAGAGAUAGAGUUUGAGAUAGAAAGCAUAGAGAGGUUUAGGGUCCGAUCACAUUCACUUAGUUCAAAAGAUUCAAUCAAGAAGACAUAGCUAUAAGUGAAUGCUGUAGAGGACAAAACACUAGUAUAUAUAUAUGUACAUAUAUAUAUAUAUAGUGAAGAUAACCAUGAAAACAUGUUGAGAUUGAAGCCAAACCAAAUGUGAAGACAUGGCAAAUGUAACGCCAUGAGUGAAACACUUCAAACAGAACCUUUGGUGGUGGCGUUACCCACCGUAUAGGAAGUAUUAGACCCAGACACGGCGCACAAUUAUCGUGGCGCUCCGAAGUCAAAUUCCACAUUAAUGUAUUCACACUUAGAAUGUAUGUCUUCAUUGAUUGAAGAUAUGCUUACUUCGGUGUUGCACAUCUAAGUCAUCAAUAUGCAUAAGUGUUUGGAUGUGUGCCUGAUCACAGGACAUUUGAGGAUUCCAAGAUAUUUAGCUCACACCGUAACUUGCAAAAUCUCUUCUCAUCCAAGGGCUUGGUGAAGAAAUCUAUCAAUUGCUCUUCAGUGUUGACGUGUAUGAUAUCAAUAUCUUCCUUCACAACAUGAUCUCUGAGAAAGUGAUGACGAAUUUCAAUGUGCUUUGUCUUCGAGUGCUGAACUGGGUUCUUGGCAAUCUUGAUGGCGCUUUCGUUGUCGUAGUAGAGUGGCACUUGCUUCAGAUGAAUGCCAUAGUCCUUGAGUGUUUGCUUCAUCCACAGAAGCUGAGCGCAGCAAGAUCCAGCAGCAAUGUAUUCAAAUUCAGCAGUGGAGAGAGAUACACAGUUCUGCUUCUUUGAAGACCAACAUACAAGUGAUCGUCCCAGAAAAUGACAUGUGCCUGAUGUAGACUUGCGAUCCACCUUGUCACCAGCAUAAUCAGCAUCCGAGAAUCCAACCAGAUCAAACUCUGAGCCCUUUGGAUACCAUAAUCCUAGAGUUGGGGUGUGAGCCAAAUAUUGAAGAAUUCGCUUCACAGCUAAGUGGUGCGACUCCUUUGGUGCCGCUUGGAAUCGAGCACACAUGCAAACACUAAGCAUAAUAUCUGGCCUAGAUGCACAUAGAUAAAGUAAAGAACCAAUCAUGGAGCGGUAUACCUUUUGAUCGAACUCUUUACCAUUGUCGUCGGGACCUAGAUGAUGUUUUGUUGGCAUUGGCGUCGUGAAGCCUUUGCAGUCUUGCAUACCAAACUUCUUCAGGCAAUCUUUGAGAUACUUCUCUUGAGAUAUAAAGAUGCUGUUGCGUUGCUGUCGUAUUUGAAGACUAAGGAAGAACUUCAGCUCACCCAUCAUGGACAUCUGAUAUUUCUCUUGCAUCAUAUAUCCAAACUCUUCACUGUAUUUCUGAUUGGUGCAGCCGAAGAUUAUGUCAUCCACAUAUAUUUGGCACACAAACAGUUCACCAUCAUAUGUCUUCAUGAAGAGAGUGGGGUCGAGGGACCCAGGUUUGAAGCCUUUGCUCUUCAGGAAGUAUUUGAGUGUGUCAUACCAAGCCCGAGGGGCUUGUUUGAGGCCAUACAGUGCCUUGUUGAGCUUGUAUACCAUGUCAGGAUGUUUUGGAUCUUCAAAGCCAGGCGGUUGUGCAACAUACACUUGUUCCUCAAUUUUUCCAUUGAGGAAAGCACUCUUCACAUCCAUUUUAUAUAGAAGUAUGUUAUGAUGAUUUGCAUAGGCCAGCAGUAUGCGUAUGGCUUCGAGUCGAGCCACAGGAGCAAAUGUUUCAUCAAAGUCAAUGCCUUCAACUUGAGUAUAUCCUUGAGCAACGAGACGGGCUUUGUUUCUGACAACUUGACCAUGCUCAUCUUGCUUGUUGCGGUAUAUCCAUUUGGUGCCAAUUAUGUUGUGCUUCCGAGGAUCAGGAUGCUUAACCAGUUCCCAUACAUUAUUCAGCUCAAACCGUUGAAGCUCUUCUUGCAUAGCUUGAAUCCAUUCCGGUUCCAUGAAGGCUUCUUCAACUUUCUUGGGUUCUGUUAUUGAGACGAAUGCAAAGUUCCCACAAAAAUUUGCCAGCUGAGUAGCCCUUGAACGAGUAAGCGGACCAGGUGCAUUGAUGCUAUCAAUUAUUCUCUCAAUCUGCACUUCAUUGGCAACACGAGGAUGUACAGGGCGAAGAUUUUGCUCUUGCUGAUCAUUGUCAUUGUUAGUGGGAUUGUCUUCAGGCUGAGCAUUGUCUUCAGGUUGAUCAGGUGCGGAGAUGAUAAGUUCCUCUUCAGGUUGAGCUUCAGAGGGUAUGAUUUCUCCAGUUCCCAUAAGUUUGAUUGAUUCACUGGAUGGAACUUCAUCUAGCACAUUUGAUAGGUGCUCUCUUUGUGAGCCAUUAGUCUCAUCGAACCGCACAUCCACUGUUUCAACCACUUUAUAAUGAAAGAGAUUGAAGACUCUAUAGGAGUGUGAAUCCUUUCCAUAUCCAAGCAUAAAACCCUGAUGUGCCUUCGGUGCAAAUUUUGAAGUGUGAUGUGGAUCCUUGAUCCAGCACCUGGCGCCAAAUACUCUGAAGUAACUGACAUUUGGCUUCUUGCCAGUAAGGAGCUCAUAAGAUGUCUUGUUCAGAAGCUUGUGAAGAUAAACAUGAUUGAUUGUAUGGCAUGCAGUAUCAAUGGCUUCAGGCUAGAAUUUUCUUGGAGUCUUGUAUUCAUCAAGCAUUGUUCGGGCCAUCUCAAUGAGUGUUCUGUUCUUGCGUUCUACGACGCCAUUCUGCUAUGGCGUGUACGGAGCUGAGAAUGCAUGUGUGAUGCCCAAAGUAUCAAGAUAUGUAUCAAGGCCAGUGUUCUUGAAUUCAGUGCCAUUGUCACUUCUGAUGUGCUUUAUCUUGGCGCCAUAGUUGUUCAUUGCUCGAUUGGCGAAGCGUCUGAAGACAUCUUGCACUUCAGUCUUGUAGAGGAUUAUAUGCACCCAAGUGUAUCUAGAAUAAUGAUCAACAAUGACAAAGCCAUAAAGACAAGCAGCAGUUGUAAGAGUUGAGUAAUGAGUGGGACCGAAAAGAUCCAUGUGAAGCAGUUCGAAGGGUUGAGUCGUUGUCAUGAUUGUCUUCGAGGGAUGCUUGGCCCUCGUCAUCUUUCCAGCUUCACAGGCACCGCAUAAGUGAUCUUUCUUGAACUUGAUGCCCCCGAUGCCUAUGACAUGCUUCUUCUUUUCAACGGUGUGCAGGUUCCUCAUGCCAGCAUGCCCUAGCCUCCGAUGCCAGAGCCAGCAUUCUGAAGCUUUUGCUAGAAGACAUACGGCAAGCUGUGGUCCUGCUAAGAAAUCUACCGCGUACAAAUCAUCUUUCCGAUACCCUUCAAACACUAGAGACUUGUCAUAUUCCAUUAGAACAAGGCAAUGAUAUUUUCCAAACAUCACAAUCAUGUUUAAAUCGCAAAGCAUUGAGACAGACAUUAAGUUGAAGCCAAGGGAUUCAACAAGCAUGACUUUAUCCAUGUGUUGAUCCUUUGAGAUUGCAACUCUACCUAGACCCAAUACCUUGCUUUUACCAGUGUCAGCAAAUGUGAUGUGACUUUUGUCAGAUGGACGUAAAGUUGAGUCCAUGAGAAGACUUCGCUUGCCAGUCAUCUGAUUGGUGCACCCACUAUCAAUAAUCCAUUCUGAAGCUGCUGGUGUCGUACCCUACAGUGCAGUUAGGGGGAUAGGCUUCACGAAGAGUGUUGUGAAGCAAAAACAUUUGACAAACCAGUCGAUUAUGAAAGCUUAGAUCGAGAUUGGGACUGAUAGGGCAGGUAGCAAGCGACUUAGGAACAAAGUACAUAAUAAGACCAUUUGGGCAUUUGAUCUUGUGCCCUACAAGAUGUUUAAGGUCCCCAGCAAUAGCGUCAGACAAUUUUGGUUUUCGUCUGGAGACCUUUCCCUGCAAAAGAGAGUGAAGUUUUUCUUAGCCACCCACAUCUUCAGGGGUGGCUUCGAAGCAAUGAGUCUAAGUGCAGCAUCUGAGAACUUUGGCUUUGAAGCCCUAGAAAAAAGUCUUGCAUGUGGAUAAUAGUACUCAUAAGAAUAAGCAGAAUAGUUCUUGGUCUUAUGAACAUGGCGGUUUGAUGAACCACGCUCAUAUUCAUAGGCCUGAGUAUGGCUUCCCUGCAAAACAUUUGCGUUAGUGCGACUCUGGUGAGUCCUCUGUCUGUAUGAAGCCUUUGGACCAUAUGAAGCCUGUGGUCUAGGAAUUAUCUUCUUCACCUGUGGUGUCAUGAUGACAUUCACAGGAAGAUUCUCCAAACACCUUUUGGGCACCCAGAUCUUCUUCAUAGUCGGUCCAUUCCUGUAGUUAGUACCAAUAUACCUGGCAAACACUUCACCAUUCUGAUUUUUAAACAGUUUAUAGUUUGCAUCAAAGGAUUCAUCAAUAACGAUGGGGUUAGCGCAAGUGAAACCAGAUAGAGUGGAUGGAUCUACUGAAGGUUCCUUUGCAGCAACCCAUGUGGUUUUGGGGUACUGCUCAGGUUUCCAGUAAGAGCCAUCAGCAUUCAUUUUCCUUACGAACCCAACACCCUCUUUCCUAGGGUUUCGGUUCAGGAUCUGCCUUUCGAGGACAUCACAUAGUGUCUGAUGCCCUUUGAGACUUUUGUACAUCCCUGUUUCAAGCAAUGUCUUCAACCUAGCAUUCUCAUCAGCAAUAGUAGUGGUAUCCUCAGCAGAGGGGUUAGUUCCCACAUCAACAGAUGAAGAUAUUGCAAUAGCAGCAGCAGUAGAACUUUCAGCAACAGAAGUAGCAUUAUCACGCUCAAUGCAUUUAAGACAUGGUGGUUCGAAUCCUUCCUGAGCGGAACUGGUCUGUUCGGCAUGAAGUGACUCGUUUUCCUUUUGAAGAUCUUCAUGUGCCGCUCUCAAUUUCUCAAGAUCUUGCUUCCUUUGAAGAUAAUCAUAGGAAAUCUUUUCAUGAGUUGUUGAGAGCGUUUCAUGACGACUUUCAAGUUCCUCAUACUUAACUGAAGAUUUUUAUGUCUUCAAUUAAGGACUCAGAUCGAGUCAUUUCAGCGCCUAACAGAUCAUCGCUUUUGUCUAACAGUUUUUGAAUAUGUUCCAUAGCUUUCUAUUGUUUAAUGGCAAGGGAAGCAAGUUUUGCAUAGUUGGGUCCAAAUUCAUCACCAGAUUCAUCAUCACUGGAUUCAAAUAGAUAGCAUUCAGUUACCUUAGCACCUUUUGCCAUAAGGCAUGAUGCAGAAGAUGAUGAUUCUGGUUCGAAUGUCAUCGCUUUGAGAGAUUCCUUAAAGUCCUCAAACCAAGGAUCAUGACGAGUUCGAUGACCUUCAUAGACCUCAGAGAGACGGUCCCAGAUAAGCUUCGCAUGAUCGAGAUGCAUGAUUUUCCUGAACUGAUUUUGAGACAGACAGGAGUAGAUGACGUCCUUCGCCGUGAGAUUGAGAAGAGUGUACUUGCGAAUGUCAUCAGCUUCCGCCAUCUUGCACAGAUCGGUCAGACCAAUCUCAGUGACGGUCCGCAGCUCGCUGUUCAUCGCCAUGAGGCGCUUCUUCAUCAUGGCCUUCCACUUGGGAUACUCGUGACCGUCAAAGAUGGGGCAUGACACAGUCUUCAUUCCUGUGGUCGACAUAACUAGAACUCCAGGCGGUUAAACCAAAAUCACACAGAACAAGGGAGUACCUCGCUCUGAUACCAAUUGAAAGUGCGUUAUAUCGACUAGAGAGGGGGUGAAUAGGCGAUUUUUAUGAAAGUCUUCAAAACAUGGAAGUUUCAAAGACAAACGAUAGAAAUAAACCUAUUACCAUGCAGAGGAAGGUAGACUACACUAGGUAAACCAUAGUCAAGUAUUCAAUAAAGUGAAAGCACAAUGACUAAUAGCAGCUAGGUAGUAAGGAUCAGGUAGGAAGAUAUUAUGAAGCCAAACAGAACACGCAGUUACUCAGUGAAGACAAAAGAUAGUGCAACCAUACAAUGACUUCACAAGGACCAACAGUAAGUAAAGGGAAGGGAAGGAUGAAACAAGUGACUCGUUGAAGACAAUGAUUUGUUGGACCAGUUCCAGUUGCUGUGACAACUGUACGUCUGGUUAGGGCGGCUAGGUAUUUAAACCUGAGGACACACAGUCCUGGACACCCAGUCCUCACCGUAUUCCCCUUGAGAUAAGGUCACACAGACCUCACCCAAUCACUCUGGUAAGUCUUCAAGGUAGACUCCCAAACCUUCACAGACUUCGUUCACCGGCGAUCCACAAUGUCUCUUGGACGCUCAGAACGCGACGCCUAACUGGCUGGAGGAUUCACAGUCCUCAAGUGUAAUAAGUCUUCAGAUCACACAGACAAGAAGACUUAAGUGAUGCCUAACACUCUUAGGCUCUGGGUGGUUAGGGCUUUAUCCUCGCAAGGAAUUCUCUCUCAAAGGCUUCGAGAUGGGUUGCUCUCAAAUGACAAAAGCCGUACACUAACUCUGAGCAGCGAACCGUUUAUGGUUGUAGGGGUGGGCUAUUUAUAGCCACUAGGCAACCCGACCUGAUUUGUCCGAAAUGACCCUGGGUCACUAAGGAACUGACACGUGUUCCAACGGUCAGAUUUCAAACACACACGACAACUUUACUUGGGCUACAAGCAAAGCUAACUUGUCCGACUCUGGACAAGAUUCGCUCUCAUAGUCUUCACUCGAAGACAUAGGUUUUGGUUAAGCAUCACUUCAGUCAUUCUGACUGGUUCUCUUGGACCCCACUUAACAGUACGGUGGUUCCUAUGACUCAACAGAGAAGAAAAAGAACUACGAAAGAUGUAAGUCUUCGAGCUCCAUAGGCUUCAUGCGAUGUCUACUCUUGUCAUAGUCUUCAAUGAGAAUAUCUUCAUAAACCACCUUUGACAUCAAUGUUUUCAUACAUUUUUAGGGGUCAUCUCUGGUAGGAAAACCGAAUCAAUGAGGGACUUCUACCUGUGUUAUCCUGCAAUUUUCACAAACACAUUAGUCCCUCAACUAAGUGUGUCGUCAAUACUCCAAAACCAACUAGGGGUGGCACUAGAUGCACUUACAUGUACCGAAAAUGAAUGAUGAAAAGAAGUUAAGGACUUGCAAAGAAAAAUGUACGCGGACAGGAUACGGCUGGGAUGCGUCCGCGCGCUAGGCGCACGACCACCGCAUCCCAGGACAGGCCCGGACACGACCCCGUCGCCUUACCCAAACGGACAAAAUCCAAACAAAACGGACGUCCGUUUAGGGUCGUGCGGUGGAGUUGGCCUCAGAGUCGCGUUUGCUGCUUUGCGCUGGGAGUGGUGGAUGCGAGGCCACUGUAAAUUGGUGCUAUAAAUUAACUCUUGAUCAACUAUUAAAAUUGCCACUAUAAAUUAAGAUGAAAGGCCCCUUGAAUUGUUUGCCUCGUUCACAUAAUGAAUUCUUUGUGCAGGGAGUUCUAGCAGCGCAUUAUACAAGAAGCUAUGGCUUGAGCUAGGCUUUUGAUCACAGUGCCUUGCCAAGGUGAAAGGAUUUACUACUUUCCAGAUAGUUAUAUGGAACAUGUAUGUGUCAUCGCAUUGGUGUUUGCUUUUCUUGAUGCCCCAUAACUAAUGAAUGAAUUUUGCUACUUAACACAAACAAUAGCUAUUUGGGCUAUGUGACACUGCUUGCUUCUUGUGUUAAAAUGACAAUGACUUUGUUUAUGCCGAAUACUCAUCCGGGUAUUUAAAGAUCGCCACAUACACAUUUAGAACCUGUUAGGGUCCUCGUGGGUGUCAGACGUGUGCUUCUCUAGUAUGGCCAUGUAUUAGUUGACAAAUGAGUAUCCAUGAGAGGGUACCAGUGUACCACUUUACAUACAGUGCUUCCAGCCUUGUAGGCCUCACGAGAAGUCCCUUUGCCAAGCUUCACUGUGAUGCCUAACUAACUAUUUCACAAACAUCUUUGUUAGCCAAUAAAAGCAAUAGUGAAGGUAAAUAAACUCAUUUUCGCAUGUCAUGAGAAACUGAUUUCUUCCGGCUGCCCAAAAAAACAGAGUACUAAUACACUGAGAGACUGUACAAUUGUUCAGACUACUCUACAAAUUAAUUUUGGAACAGACUAAACAUAUCAGGAUAUACACCAGUUGACAGCAAAGAAAAUAAAUCAUCAUCUACUAAUACUCUACUAAAUGAAUACAUCCAUUCACAUCUCCAGAAUUGUAUUAUACAUGUCAGAGAAUGACUAACAAUACUUGUUCUUCUCUGAAAGCUGUCAAGAAAAUACAAUUAGUAGAAAAGUUAGAAGGAUUUUGAGCUCUAAACUCCAGUUAUCAAUACACUUGACUGUCUACAGAUCUCCAAACGGUUAGUUUAUGAAUCAUCAGAUUUACCUAUAAGGGAGCAAUUGUCUGUAAGAUGUGACUUGCUUGCAUGUAUUUCAUAGAUAAAUAUGUAAAUAAAAGUUGACUCGCUUACAUACCUGGAUAUUUACAUUCACAUACAGAGACAAUAUAUCUUCAAUUUCACAUAUAGGACAAGAAUGUAUAGUCACAAACUCACAAUUCCAUGGCAGCAAAAAUCUUAAACAAUCCGUGAACUCCAUAAAACAAUGAUAUUAGAGAUCUCUUGAUUUGUUGAUAUAUUGACAUAUAGAGGAAGGAGAUGUAGUCGAUAGGAGAGGAGAAGCAACCAUCAAUUGUGCUAAUGUCACCUCUCC